Molecule: long non-coding RNA, 106783 nt
Filed under: Setaria italica (foxtail millet)
Lineage: Eukaryota; Viridiplantae; Streptophyta; Magnoliopsida; Poales; Poaceae
Description: long non-coding RNA (SITA_LNC007279)
Source: RNAcentral
UUUUUUUUUCUUUAACCUUUAGGAUGAUCUUUCAUUCAAGCUUGAGUAUGUCCAUCCUUAUUUGGAUGGUGUGGACGAUCGUAGUAAGAACCGCACAUUCAAAACUAGCUGCUUCAACACCAGGAAACUGAGUCCUGUCUUUGUUGCUGGUCCCAACAUGGAUGAAGCUCCACCUGUUUGGAUUGAUAGAGUUGGAUUUAAAGCCAACAUAACUGAGGUUUGCACAACAUUAUGUUUGCUUAAUUUUAUGAACAGUCCUAUUCAAGAAAUAUUUGUAACAUAAUUAAAAUACUAUUUGGAUUCUCAGAGCUUCACGAGGCAAAGCAAAUUCACAUAUGGCCUUGUGGUUGAAGAGAUUACAACACGCGAUGAAACUAAUAGUAUCUGUACCCAUGGUUCUCGAGCAAUGCCUAGUGGUGGUUUGAGCAUGGAUGGGCCUCCCACAACCCUUAGUGGUACUGGAGUUGAUCGAAUGGCAUUCCUACAGGCCAAUAUAACUCGAGACAAUACUGAGUUUGUAAAUGGUGCAGUUAUUGGAGACAGAUACAUUUUCCAGGUAAGCUAUCUGUACCCUCGUGGUUUCAAGGACACACAUUAAAGUAAGCCUUUGAGGCUCAAGCGUUUUCCUUGUGGCUCUAAAUAAGACUCUUUAAGAUAAGACUCAUUUCUAUUUAAUUACUUGAAAAGGGACAUGGCAGACCCUCUUUGUUAGUCCCUCCAUCCCAAAUUGUAGGUCAUUUUAGGCUUUUCUAGAUACAUAGUUUUUGCUAUGCAUCUAGAUAUAGGUCAUGUCUAGAUACAUAGCAAAAACUAUGUAUUUAGAAAAUCCAAAACGACCUAUAAUUUGAAACGGGGGAGUAUAAUCUUUUGAUUAAGUAUUGUUUUCAGUUCAAGGCUUGGCACAGUGCACCAAACCAUUCAGUAAAACUUAUGAUUAUAUGUUGUUUAUCUUCAUUUUUUUUUUGGCUCAGUGGUCUAAUUGUUUUCAAACUUCUAUGUUGAACUUGCACUGGUUCUUAUUUAAUGGCUCCAUGCUGUUAUACUAGAGUUUCCUAUGGUAAAAUACAUAGACUGAAUAAAGUUUCCUUGGUUGCAGUUGGACCAAGGUCUUGGCAUCGGAAGCAAAAACCCAUUCUUCAACCGUCAUCAGCUUACUAUGACAAAGUUCAUCAAUUUAAAUAAUCAAGAGAAAGGUGCUGGCAAGCCACUACCAGCUGUUUUGGUUCUUCAUGGUCAUUAUGCUGGUUGUGUGGGAGAUUUGCCAAGCUAUGAUGCAUUUGCACUCGGAGGUCCUUACUCUGUUAGGGGCUUUAGUAACGGUGAACUAGGUGCUUCUAGGAAUAUUCUUGAGGUAUGCAUUAUCAUGGAAUUCUCAGAUUUCAAUAUCAUGCAUCAUUCUCAUCACCAAUAAAUAUAUUGUUGCCGUACAUAUGUACUGAUUCACUGCUUCUGAACUUGUACCUGUAAUUGACACCAUGGCAUCACAGUGUUAUAUGGUAACUAAAGUUUAUGUGUCUGUUAUCUAUGCAGCUUGCUACUGAGUUGCGCAUCCCUGUAAGGAACACCCAUGUGUAUGCAUUUGCUGAACAUGGCACUGACCUUGGGAGUUCUAAGGAUGUGAAAGGGAACCCUACAGAAUUCUUCAGACGUGUUGGUCAUGGAUCUUCAUAUGGUGUUGGCGUCAAGCUUGGGUUGGUAAGAGGAGAGUACAUUGUAGAUCACAAUGCUGGUACAGGGACCAUUUUCUUCAGAUUUGGUGAGAGAUUUUGAGUGCACUUCAUUCCACCACUUGGGAAGGCACAUAUUUUCGACGCGGCGCUGUUUUAACACAGCUGAAACCUGAAGAGUGAUGCUUGUGGGCUGUGGUAGGAUUCAAAUGGCAUUAAAGCUCUGCUGAAAUAAUGAAGCUUUGUUAUUCCCUGAGGAAGAGUGAUAACUAGUGUGAGUUGAGUUUUUUAUUUUAAUGUAGGAUGUAAGGUCAGGUCUUUCGGGGCUUGGAGCUCAUAAAGGAAUAUGAAUGUUCACAAAUUUGGCCAUGUCUCCUGUUUUGACCGUCAAUUGUGUUGGCAUCGCUUCUGUUAAAAAUUGUCAAGUCGUUUCACCAUCUACCAUUUGUUCAGUUGGUUAGUAUUACAGUUUUGUUCCAUUCUCAUAUUGUGUAUUGUAGCGAAGCUCUAACUUGUCAUGAGUCAUGACGAUGCCUUGGAUCUGAAUGUUGUCAUUCGUCUGCGGCUUGUUUUUUCCCCCUAAACCAGACUUGAAUACUGGCUUCAAAUUCAAAUUCAAAACGGACAAGAUUUGUGUUGCAUAGUUUUAAGUAUGAUUAUUUUGUAGAGCUUUUGAUAGUGUAUUUUAGAUAAUCUCGGAAAUAAGUUUAUAUGUUGAUUUGGUUGCUAAUUAAAGUUUACCUGUGAAAGUUCUUAAAGCUGCGGGGCGAAUUCAAGAAAUUACAGCAGAUAUCAAUAUUACUGGAACAUUAGAGUCGUCACCUGUUUACGAAGUUAAUUACUUAUCUUAUAGUACCAUUAACAAGAGGGACGUCACUUCGAUCGGCUUGCAUUUUCCCGUUCGAAUUCCAUGGAUGAGAACCUGAACGGACGUAGAGCUCAUGAACGCAGGCGCAACAUCCAGCAGCUCAUGGAUGAAGCAGCUGACGAGUGCUUCCUGGCAAGGCCACCACAGCCGCGUCCUCCACCUCUUCUUCACCAGCCUCCAAUCCGGCGACCGCGGCGCGGUGGAUCCGCACCCCGCGGCCGUUCCCACGGCGCUCCGCGCCUGCGCGCGCCUCGGGAAUGCCUCCUCCGGUCGCCUCAUCCACGCGCUCCUCCUCACCCGGUUCCCGUCCCUCUCCUCCGACGCCGUCGUCUCCACAGCGCUCCUCGACAUGUACGCCAAGUGCGGCCUCGUCGCCAGCGCCCGCAGGGUGUUCGACGAAAUGCCUCGCAGAGACGACCUCGUCGCCUGGAACGCGCUGCUCGCGGGAUACGCGCGCCACGGCCUCCCGGAGCGCGCGCUGGCCCUGACCAUCAAGAUGAGAGGCCAGGGCCUGCGCCCCGACCUGGUUACAUGGAACGCCGUCAUGUCCGGUUUCGCUCUGGCCGGCGACGACCACAUGGCCGAGGACUUGGUCCGGGCCAUGCAAGACGACGGGUUCCGGCCCGACGUGGUCACCUGGACAUCACUUGUCUCCGGGUCGGUGCUGAACUUCCAUUACGACAGGGCGCGCACACUGUUCCGGAGAAUGGUGUCCACCGGCACCCGCGUCCUGCCAGGCUCGGCCACGAUUGCCAGCAUCCUGCCUGCCUUCGCCAAUGUCGCCGACGUGAAGCGUGGUAAGGAAGUCCACGCCUACGCCAUCGUGGCCGGCAUCGAGCAAGACCUCACAGUAAGUAGCGCUCUGGUCGACAUGUACGCUAAGUGCGGGCUCGUGCUCGAGGCGCACCGGCUGUUCGACAAUAUGACGGAGAGAAGCACGGUGACAUGGAACUCCAUGAUUUUCGGCCUCGCGAAUUCCGGCCACUGCCAAGAAGCCAUCGGCCUCUUCGACCGGAUGCUGCGUGACGGAGCAAGGCCGGUCCACCUGACGUUCACCGCCGUUCUAACGGCUUGCAGCUAUUGCGGCAUGGUGGAGCUCGGGAAGGGCCUGUACCGCGCCAUGAAGGAAGAGCAUGACAUUGAGCCGAGGCUGGAGCACUACGCCUGCAUGGUGCAUCUGCUUGGCCGAGCCGGCAAGCUCGCCGAGGCGUAUGAUUUCAUCAAAGCCAUGCCCCUGGAGCCCGACUGCUUCGUCUGGGGGGCGUUGCUGGGGGCAUGUCGGAGCCAUGGCGACGUCAAGCUUGCCGAGCUGGCAGCGUCCCGCCUGCUGACCGUCGAACCGGCUAAUGCAGCUAAUUGCCUGCUUUACUCAGACGCGCUGGCGAGCGCAGGCAGACAGGAUGAUGUCCUGAAGACGAAGAGGUUGGCAAAGAGACGGCGAAUGAAGAAGCUCGACGGCUGCAGCUGGCUAGAGCCUCCAUAGGCGAGGGCGUAAUCAUUCCUCUGGCAUCAGAAAAGAACAGAAUUGAUUGAUCAUGGAUCCACUGUUGAUUAUUCGCGGUUCCUCAGGAUUGCAGAAGACGGGCAUGAGGGUUAACACCAUCUAGUUAACCAUCUAAUCUCCCUUCCUACAGAAUUGAUUGAUCAUGGAUUCACGGUUCCCCAGAAUUGCAGAAGCAAAUGCGCAGGAAGGUAACAUUCAUGUUAACCUCAUCUAAUCCCCCUUCCUACAUAUGGAUGUAUUGGAUGCUACCACGAGUAUAAAAAAAAUGCUUGUGCAGACUACUGAAAUUAGCAGAAAUGUUUAUCAUUCACACUAUUUACUCAACGUUUAGACACGGAAUAUUUAUAACUACUUAAUCACAGCGUAACUGGGAGUUACUAUACAAGCAUAAGCAGCAUUAUGGUAUUUAGUUAUUUCAGAACAGGAUAUUAUUUACGUACCAAUCCCUAGUUACAUAACACCCGAAGCACUUAUAAGUACAAGGCAGUAGCACGAUCCCACAGCUUCCUCUCUCAUGGUGUCAUGCAUGGUCUACCUCCAGAACGAUCAAUGACUCUGGAAGUUUGAUCCACCAUCUGGUGCUGGGCCUAAAAGCAAAAUCAUUCCACCCCCAGCUUCAUCUCCUGAGCCUGUUCUCUCAACAGGGGGUGCCCUCCUUGCAGAAGCUUGGCGCAUUGGCUCGAAGAAUCUACCAGCCACAUCAGGAGGUUGCUCGAAAGAUUCCUCCCCAGGCAGAACAAGGAGCCCUUCAUUCCGGAGCAUGGACGGUUCAUUGUAGCAGGCGAUCCACAAUGAGUCAACGAGCUGCCUCUCUUCCCGUGCAGCAUCCAGAUCUUCAGGAGUCAUCCUCCUUAUGCUUUCUACGCGUCCCCGGAGAAGCCGUCGUAACCUGUCAUGCUCUGCUAGUAGACUCCUAUUUCCCAGUGUCAUGUCCCUUGCAAGCUCAAGCAAGCCCCCUAAUGCUGCUUCUCUAACACCAGAGUCAUUACUGGAUGCCAAGCGCAUCAUAAGGUGGGGGAAACCUAGCUGCGCAAAUACUGAGCAAUCUGAAUGGCUUUCGCUGAGCAGAUAGUGAGUCAGACUCAAUGCUUUCCUGCCAAAUAGGGAAAAACAUCUUAGAAAGAACAUUUAGCAAGGCAUUUACCCAAAAAACAGCACUAACAAUCUCAUAUCAAUUAUGUUACCUCUGAAAUCUUGCACUCUCUGAAUUCAAUGCAUCUCUUAGUCCUGUAUAUCCAUUGGCUAAACGAAAUGCAGCAACUCCUGGUCUGUUGUUUCGUAUCAAGGCUGAAUAAUAAAUAAGAACACCAUCAGACAAGGCAAUUUAUGAUAAAAUAUACCCUUACCAUCUAAAAAUGCGGACAAAAUACUUACAAGAUAGAGCACCAAGAGCUUUUAUGCGGGCAGUAAGGUCAGGAUCUGAUCUGAAAUUGGACAAGAGGGGCUCAAAACCACUAGCUUCCAUGACCAACUGCUGGCUGGUUGGAUUGUUCUGAACAACUGUUGUCACCACAUCAGCUGCUUUUGCUCGGAUACGGGCGUCAGAAUUUCUGAGGAACUUGAUAACUGGAACCAACCCACCAACAGAGUGCAAAUCUAUAACACAGCAGAGAGGAAAAACAAAAUAACCGUGUAAAUAACAAAUAAAUUAGCAUAAAAAUCCACAGUUUCACAUAAAGAACAUUUUCAAUUAGGUCAAUGGAUAUUAUUGCUUCAUUGUAAACAGUUAGUUCAACAUCCAGUCAACUUUUUUUUCCUAACGGAUCAGCUCCCCUUGAAAUUUUGUAUGCUAGCAUAUUGAAAGGGGAAGCUGAGAAUUCACCUGAACAGCAAUAUUCUAUUGCCAAAAAAACCACUAUAGUUGCCUCCAUCCAUUUGUUUAGCCACCUCAACAGAAACUACUAAUGCCAUUGAAUCAUCCAAUGAUGUGAAUGUAUUCAGUUUGACACCAGUAAUGCAUGCCUCCAAGUGCUACCAUGGUCUCCUACAGAUGGAAUUGUAGAUUUCACUUAAAAGCAGAUAAAUUUGAGUUAUGUGUGAAUAAGUGCAACAUUCAUAAACCUUAUAACAUGCAGCAAUUACCAACUGACACAUUAAAUAUCAGACAGCUCCCGAGGAAUUUUGGGUCAAAUGAUGGGUAGAAUAAUGUGCAAAGAUAUGGUCACAAUGAGCCAUCCACAUCAAGGGCCCUCAAGAAUCCCACAAAGGAGGCACCAUGUUAUAUACCACAAUUGGAGCCAUAUUUAAGUCAGGGUGGGGCUAUACAAAGAUUAUUACCAUAAAAACAGAAGCUAGUUGCAAAAUAAGAUACAAAACAUGUGAUUUUGUGAACACCUGAAACGAUAACAAGACAUGGAAAAAAUUAAACAUGAACCUGGGACAUACCAUUUGCCAUGUCGAUAGACUCAACAUGUACCUGCAGCUCACUCAACAGACCUGCGAUUUUCAAAGCACAUGGAUUAGUAUCAAUGAGGUAUGAGAAAUGCCAUGAGAUACUAAAUCAGUCAUUCUAUUAAAACAUGCCUAUAAAGGGAGAAAUGCUAUCAGAUACUAAGUCAGACAUGCGAUUCUAUUAAAACAUAAUAUUAGAAGUACAUCAUAAAGGCGCAUAGGAACAUAUCUCUACCGACCUAAAAAUGGUGGAACUGGGAAUAGCAGAGGUAUUUGGUAUCUAAUCGAACCACAGAAUAUUCAAAGUCGAACAACAGAAAGACAUUGUAAACUUUUUUUUUUCUUUUGUUUUCUUUUCAGAGGGGGAAUCAUUCCUUAAUAUAUGCUCCCUAAAGUAAAAUUACCUAUUCGUUACAGUGUGCUCCAAUUUAGGAUCUGAAUUGCCUAUCUAAGCUGCAAGCUGCCUAAAGAAAAAAAAGGCUGACUGAUUCCAUUCCAUAUCUAUCACCCUUUAACAGAAACGCAUCAUCCAACCUAAAAUUUGACCGCUGAAAUCGACACCAACCAACACUAGCAUACGUGCUCAGCGAAUCCCAGCAGGAGAUAAGGGAAAUGCAGCGUGCAAUGCCGCAACUGGUAAUUGGAGCCCAUACCUUCGAUAUCGUCGUGGGUGAUGCCCUGCGCCUCCAGGACGGCAGGCGGCGUGCUCAUGAGCAGCGCGAUCUCCCGCAUCCGGCUCACCACGUCCACCAUCAUGUGCCGCUCCACCGCCUCCGCCAGCCACCGCCGCUCCUCCUCGCUGUUGAUCGGCGCCACCAAAAACCAACACGCGCUUCAGCCACAGGCCACAUCCGGAAGAAAGACACAAGCCGCCUUCCCACCAGCAAUCGAACAUCCCCCUUACCUGAUGGUGCGGGACGGCCCGGCCCCGUCGACGUAGGAGAGGCUCCAUUUCAGCAGCCCCGCCCAGCUCAGCCUAUCCCCCGCCAUCCCGUCCUCCUCUUUCAAUCCUCCCUGAUCCCACGGCGCUGCCGGCGAAACCAAACCACCGCGCGUCCGGUGCGGUUGCUCUCUGCGGUUCCCGAAGCCGGUGAUGCGUGCGUGCGUCUCCCUCGUGUCGUGUGCGUUCGUUCGCGGCGAUGCGAGAUAUUUCCGGUUCUGGAUAGAACAGGCAGGUCAGGGAUGACGAGCCAAAACGCCAAACAAACGCCGAAUGCGUCACAUCACGGUGGUGUUGGAGGAGGAAGGUUGGGGAUAGGGACGGAUCUCUCUGGAAUUCACUCGGCUGUUCGGACCCAGGCGCGGAAGCUCAGUGGGCCGAAACGGCCCUUAUUGUGCUGCCCCGGGGUUGGCCCGCCUAGGUUUUCUGAUACGGCCCAGGCCUUUUUUCCAUCUCUCCCUUUCGGCCGUUCGUUUCGACCGUUCAUUCGCUUCACGGGCGCGAGGGACGGGAUAAUGGCGGCAGCGGCAGCGAGCUCGCUCUCAGUUCUGCCCCUCGCGCCGCGGAGGCCGCUCCCGCUGAGGCGCGCUGCUAGGAAUGCGGAGGGUGGAGGGGCUUCGAGGCCUCUGCGCCUCGCGAGGUUGCGGCUGCGGCGCGGGCGCCCAGCUGCUGCGGCCGUGGCCGGCGACGCGGAGUUGCCCCUGGAGGAGGCGGAGGCCGCGAUGAGGGUGGCGGCCGACGACGACAGCGUCACCGCCACGGUGGUGUCCGUGCUGCUGACGGUCGCGUUCGUCGGCCUCUCCAUCCUCACCCUCGGUGUGCGUGCCUGGGCCUCCAUGAGUGGCGAAUAAUUGUUGGUCGUUUUGCGAGCCGGUGUGGUGUUGGAUCAUGGGAUGGUCGAUGCUGAUCUCGCCAGGCUGUGUUUUUGGCUGGCUCUCGAUUCUUUGUGCAAUGCAGGUGAUCUACCUGGCGGUGCAGGACUUCUUACAGAAGAGGGAAAAGGAGAAGUUUGAGAAGGAGGAGGCCGAGAAGCAGAAAGAGGAGGCCAGGCAGAAGAGGGCCAAGUCCAGGAAGAAGAGGAGAAAUUAUUGAUUCCUGCCUCUCGUUUGUCUGCCACCCCAAUGUGAGCAAUUGCUCUUCUCUUCCGCCUUAGCUUCUUGUAAUAGCUGUGACAGUGUAUGCAACAUUGCAUAUUUAGUAUCGCGUGAGGUUUUGCUUCCCUCUGCAGUUUGCACUUAGGUUAGAUGUGAUCAGUUCAGCUGCGGGACAUGCUAAACAAAAUUACCGUACAACUAGUUCUAGGAAUGUUCCAUUUAUAAAAGUGUGGAAUGCUUCCAACAUAUUAUAUCAAGUGUGAAUUGCGCCACACUUAAAAUAAAUUGCAAGUGAAAGUGAUAAAGACUUGAAUUUGGAAAGGCGAAUGCCUUAAGGACACGACUCAAUUGGUCCUGUAGAAUAUGCUUGGAUGGGACUAUAGAAGGUAAUCUGAAGAAGAUAGCGCAGGUAUGCUCAUGUCACUCGGAGGAAGUGAUGAUUCCUGUAGAGAUAUGCAUAUUCUAGUUGAAUUCACCUUGCUGGUACUUCAUAGAUAUUCUACCACAUGGCUACCAUUUCGAACCUCAUGAAGAGUCUUUGCAUACCUCUGCUGAAGUUCUUCUCGCAAUGCCCCAGGCAGACAGCUUUCAUGUACUACUAUCAUAGAGACUAAUCCAAGAUAGUUUGAUAGCUAGUCAUCCAGGGUGUGUUCAUAUUUAGUUUUGCCUUCUGUCAGACAACAUCUUAGUUAGCGGCUCAUGUGUGUUGAGGUGUGAGACUAUAGAAAUUAGACCUAGAACACACCACUUAAACUAGAUCAAUGGCCUAAAUAAGUGAUUCUCAAGUUCAAUUGACUAAUUGCACCCACCUUGGAAGUUUAAAUCAAACAAUUCCAGUUUUACAUAAAUGAGACUAUGAUGCAGUUUACUCUCGAGUCAAAUUUUUAGCCACUUCAUACAGAUGUCUAGCUGUACUCCUGACAUGAACACUUCCUUUUCUACAUUUUCUCUUCUCUCGUUUCUUUCUGUCUUUCACUAUGCAGGAGGAUAGGCUGACAGAAUAUUUCAAAUUUUUAGGCCUUCCACAUCGAGCUGAUGAGUCAAGAAUUUUUGUAGAUUUUUCAUGAAUAGUUGUUGCCUUAAUUAGUAGUUAGAGCAAUUGGCUCCUCCCUUUGUUAGUGAACCAUACUCCCUCUACAAUGGUCGACAUUGUCAUGUUGCUGUUCCUUAUCUGAAGCCUGACCAUACAGCCGAUCACCUUUACUAUGUAUCUACCACAUAGAUCAUACUGCAUACUUAAGUCUUGACUCCUCUGUCCAUUGCAUUUACUUUUAUACAGGUUAUGCUCUUCGGAUGCAGAUGAGUCUUCAGUGUGUGCUUUUCUCAGAUAUUUUGUCAUUGGAAGACUGGUUAGCUGCUUGCUUCUGUUAGCUCUGUUCAAGUUAACCCCAUUUCUUCUCAUUUAUUCUGGUUUGUGUAAAAGUUAUUGUACAACAGAUGCUUCAUAAAUUUUAUAUGUCACCUCAAUUGCAUUUGCCAACAUGUUGUACUUCAAUACAAAUCAAGAAGUACUAACAUGUUUUACUCAGUUUGUGUUUUCCUGGGGUGUACACGAUUCCUUUCAUGCCAAAAUUUGCUAGUGUGUGUUACCGGUGUUGGGGUGUAUCAACAGUUUGUGAUUUUCUCAAACCCUGUGCCGCUUUGGUUGAAUUUAAGAUUGAAGUAUGAAGCAUCAAAUCCGCCUGAAUUGUUGAAUUAUGCACUUUCAACUUUGAAACUGAAAUCUUAUAUUUUCUUUGUUGCUUCAUGCUGAAGUAGGUUGGAUUUGGACUGGUUAGGCAUUGACUUUUGGAAGCUACAUCUGUUGGUGUUUAGACCCGGCAACCUACCGAGGGGAGUGCUCGAGGUAGUGCUUUGGUUAAUGGGGCUCGUCGAGAUCAGGAACUCGAAGGUAAACGCAGACAUACGAUUUAGACAGGUUCUGGUCGCUGAAUAGCAUAAUACCCUACGUCCUUUGCGUUGGUUGGAUUGAAUUGCUUUGGAGGGGGUCUCUGUCUCACCUUAUAUUGCCGAGGGCAGGGUUACAGGUCGGUUGGUUACAAGAAAACUAGUUAGAUUCGACUAAAUGAGUUCUACUCUUAUUACUACGAGUAUUUUUCCUAAUCCUCGACUAGGUCCUGUCUUUCCACAUAGACUACGUCGUCUUGCGCUAUAAUCUCCAUGUCAGAUAUGUUUUGGUGUCCAACCCCAUAUUUAGGAUUGUCCAAACCUUCUCGUGGGCUUAUAGAUGUAUGUACGACAAGCCCUUGAGUACUUUUUAGUUAAAUGCAAUAGUUUCGAGUUUUUUUUAACUUCAUCGACUAGUUCUUGGUGCUCUUCGAGUACUUCGUCUGGCUAAAUCUUCAAAUGUAAAAAAAAUUGUCAUGCUGCUAGAAUGUACUCAAGCCUCAUUUAACUGAGUCCCGUGUCCUUCAAUCUUGAAUUUUAUGUGGAAGUGCGACAAAAGUCGCACUCCAUAUGGAGUAGCCCCCGAGGCUUAGUUUGAAUCAAAGAAUCAGGCUAAGGGUCGAUCUGUAAUUUGCAUCACUUUUCCUUAAAACCCAGAGAAAUUUUUUUUUAUGAUGCACACAUGACACACAACCCCGAGCCUUUUACCAACUAGUUUGGCAACCUCUGGUCAACGUGACUAUCUCUGAAAGGAAAUCUCAUCUCUUCUGAGAAUAGAGGUAACGACUAAUCAGGUGCCGUGAAAUCUGCGGAUCUGUUAAACCUGAAUAUUCCUUUAUUCACGUCGUUGUUACUGUGCCACGGUGAUAAAUAGCGGAGGAAGUUAUCCCUUUUCGUUUCACCUUUGCCAUUUGCUUUUCCGACCUCCAUACUGUAGCCCUAGUGCUGCUGCUGCCCAAUCUCCGAGCGCUAGCGCCGCCGCCCCCCACCACUGAGGCCCCGAGCGUAUGCGACAGAAGAAGCUCGUGACAUUAAGGAUGGUGAGGAAGGCUGAUGCAUCCAAAGAAGUCGAGGGUGAGAAGAAGAAGAGGUCCGACAAGAAGGAGCCACAAUUGCCGGCACCCAAGUACGGGAAGACGGAUUAGACUGCGCCGCCAACUCCUAGUUGCGCUUGGAAGCGGUCAUUCUUAAAAGAGGAGGAGAUUAAGGUGUCUGUGGCCGCCAAGCUGCUCCAAGAUCAAGACUUCAUCAAUUGGAGAUCCUCCUACGGCAAUCCGUGACCAUUGGAGGAAUACCUGAUGAAACAGUAAUUUUCGCUCACUUCAUCGAGCGCGGUCUUGCACUUACAGACUUCUGAUUUUUCCGGGGUCUUCUGGAUUAUUAUAAGUUGGAGCUGGUUCCUCUGAACCCCAAUGGAAUCCUCCAUACUGCUAUUUUUGUGCACUUCUGCGAAGCUUUUCUGGGAAUCCGCCCCAACUUUCAGUUAUUCCGAAAAUUUUUCUAUGUAAAGCCGCAACCGAUGAGGGAUCAUACUCAAGUAGUCAGAGGUGCCGGUAUCCAGAUGCGGGAGAAACUCAGUAGCCUGUAUCUAGAGUAUGAAUUGAUAGACUUCAAUGCCGAGUGGAAGGAGAAGUAGUGCUACAUUGGCAACCACGAUCCCAAACUACCCAAACUGACAAGGCAUCGUCCCACCUGGAACAACCGGUGGCUGGAUGAGCCAACUCAUGGGGAUUGCCUCCAACUACCCGAACUCCUUGAUAGAAUAGCCAAGCUAAAGCAAGAAGGUCUCACUGGAGUUGGAGUAGCCUUCAGCUUUAUGAAGCGAAGAAUCCAGCCCUUACAAUAGAGAUGCCACUGGGGCUAUGAGUAUACUGGAGUCAAUGAUCCAUCCAGACUUUCACCUGAUGAGCUCAAUAUAGAUGAGAUUAUGGUGAGCUUGAAGCGGAUGUUCAAAAAUGUGGGCGAGAUCCCCACCAUUGUGCGGGAAUUCAACGCUGCCAACCCGCCAAAGCCUGUAAGUACCCGUAGCCAUAGCCUCCAAAUACUUAUUUUUGUAGUUGUUGGGUGUGCUAACUUGACUUUCUUUGCAGGAAGAUGUCAGCUUGUACUUCUCUGCUUCUCCUCCUCCCGGAUCGGAAGAUAUUUGUGAAGCUGCUCCUCGCGUGCAUAUGGCGGAGAGCACUGAGAGUGAUGACGAGGAAGAGGAAGUACUCGAGACCUUCAGCAGCACCAGUUCGGAUGCUGCGGAGAAUUUUGAAGUCAAGGCCCAGCCAUUUGCUAAGGUCGGGUCAUCCUCUGAAUCGAAGAAGCGCACAGCUGAUGAGGAGCUCGAAGCUGCAAUUCCUCCGCCACCAAAGAAGAAGCGGUCCAUUGUUGCGAAAUGGGUCGUGAAGAAAUCCGUCACCGCAGAAGAUGUGCCUCCCGCGUCCGGUAGGCGAUUCCAAUAUCACCACUGUGUCUACUCAAGAUGACAUUGAUGGUUUGCAGAUACUAGAGCCGGUGAUGGAUGCUGAAAAGGCGGCUGCUCUCGCUGUGCAAGACAGGUUGCCAGUCAUUGAGGAGGUGAUCAAUAUUGAAGAUGAUCCGGAGCCUCAUGUUGCUGUGAUGGACCCUGCCGGCGCAAGAACAACUCGAAGAGCAGAGGCGGCGGCUAAGGCUGGCGAUGAUCAUGCUGCGACAUUCAAGCCGUGCCAAAGAGACUGUUUCCGACCAUUAAGCCGCUGCGCUUUACAGGAGAACUCUCUUUGUAGUUGAGGAGAUCUAUAAGGUAUGUCUUGUUGCUCCUUCUUUGAGUACUAAUUGUAGCUCAUGAUCGACUUGUUGUGUCUCUGAAGUUUUGUCUUAUGCAGGAAAUCCUCUAAUAUGAACCUUGGAGAGCCUAGUUUGAGGCCCGUGACAGAGUACAUUUCCUAAUCUUUGACUAGUUCCUGUCUUUCUACGUAGACUACGCCGUCCUGCGCCAUAGUCUACAUGUCAGAUAUGUUUCGGUGUCCAGCCUCAUAUUUAGAAUUGUUCAAACCUUCUGGUAGGUCCAUAGAUGCUAUAUUUUUACGUUCAAUAUUCUUCUUGAUGAGCAAAAUAACUUGACCGUUCCUUUGUGAAACGUGCCAAGUGAGUUGUGAGCCCUGUAUUGCAAAGCGCUGUCUGUUGCUGGAAUAUGGACCGUUCCUUUGUGAAAAGGGAUUGCAUUAUAUGGUGAUUGGUAAUGGCUAAUGGAUAUGUUGUGUACAGUACAGGACAACCUCCCAUGUUUGAUAUACAAAAACAACCCUUUAGACUGUAAGGAUAAUGUCUUAUAUCAUUUGUUUUUUUUAUAAACGAAGGUUAUACAAAAAUAACCGGUGUGUGAUUUUUUUUUGUUGGUGUUGAAUUGCUCUGUUCAUAGACUUUAGAAUAGCAGAAAGGCCGUGGCAAGACCACAAGGGAUGGGCCGGAAGCUUCUCAUCAGCUCUCUUUCAUUACUCAGCAGACAAGGGGUGAUGUAGCGUGUCUGAUUGAGCAUGACAGCAUAUGAAGUUUCUUUGUUGGUUCUGUAGAUCUGAUCUACUCCCCUGACAUGGACUCCAGCACAUGUCAAACAUUACUGACUUUUGGCAUCUGUCUAUUUUGUGCCUGUACAUGUGGCCUGUAGGCACACGUGAAGGUCAAUUUGUCUGCGGUUAUUUGUUUAUUAACCCGGCAAAAGCGCUGUAAUAAUUCAGAAAGUGAUUGAGGUGGUAACGGCAGGAGACCUUUGACCCCUGUAGUCACCGACGAGCCUCUAGUGGUGAUUCGAAAGUGACUGAAAGUGAAGUUGUUGGAAGAACGGCGACCAUUCACGGAGCCAUCUAUAACUGGGAAUCGUUUCACCCAGAUGCAAAAGUGAAGUACAUGUACAACAAUAUAUUGAAAAGUAAGAUAGGAAUUUUCGAAAAGUGUUGAGAAAAUGAAACAACGAGAAUCCAUGUACGCUUCUUUUUUUAACUAACGGUAAAUUCACACGCAAAGAAAAUUCAAUAGUGCCAUGAUAGUGUUCAUCUUUGUUGUUUGUGCCAUGUUUAGAUGGGUUGCGUCAACAAGUUUGCCAAAUUUAUUUACUCUAUAAAUUCAUACUCCGCAAUAUGACAAAUUUAUUUACUGUGCCAUGUUUAGUAGGAGCAUGCAGCUGCAGAACUCAGAAGUGCUGUUUCCAAACUGGUGGCCAGCGUCAAACCAAAACCUCAAUCAAUUUAAACCUGUCGCCUUUUACCGCGCAAGUCAAAACCGCCCACCCUUCUUCCAUCCACGCGGCGGUUUGCUAAACCCGCCCGGGCGCCGCCGAUCCAUCCAUCCCGGGCGGCCUUCCCCUUUGACCUUCCACGGCCGGCUGACCGGUCAACGUCACCCCCGGCCGCUAGCUAACGGCGUGUGCCUUUCCCAAUCGCCACGCUCCACGUGCAGUCGCCGUCACCCGGGACGUCACCGCCCCGCCGGACGGCGUCCCACAUAAAACCGCCCCACCCACUCACCCACCCCGCAAUUCCCCUCCCCACCUCCUCGUCUCCGCUCCCCGAAAGCCCCCGAAUCGAAUCCGGCGGAGUUCGAUUUGGGGAUUUCGGCGCCUCGCCCCCGGAAAUUUCUUGGAUCUGAGGCCGGCCGUCGUCUUCGAUCUGCGGCUGGAGUGAGUCUGCAAGUUUUCCGGCUCGAUUUUGGUCGGAGGGUCGGGGGGCUUCGAUUGCGGGGAUGGAGUCGUCCCCGGUGUCGUACUGGUGCUACCGCUGCAGCCGCUUCGUGAGGGUGUCUCCGGCCACCGUCGUCUGCCCGGAGUGCGACGGCGGCUUCCUGGAGCAGUUCCCGCAGCCGCCGCCGCGGGGCGGCGGCGGGAGCGGCCGGCGCGGGACGAUGAACCCGGUCAUCGUGCUCCGGGGCGGAUCGCUGUCCGGGUUCGAGCUCUACUAUGACGACGGCGCGGGCGACGGGCUGCGGCCGCUGCCCGGCGACGUCCAGCACCUCCUCAUGGGGUCCGGCUUCCACCGCCUGCUGGACCAGUUCUCGCGGGAGGCGGCGGCGCCGCGGCCCCCGGCGUCGAAGGCUGCGGUGGAGUCCAUGCCAUCUGUGACGAUCGCCGGAGGCGGGGCCCACUGCGCGGUCUGCCAGGAGGCCUUUGAGCCCGGCGCCGCCGGGCGGGAGAUGCCGUGCAAGCAUGUCUACCACCAAGACUGCAUCUUGCCCUGGCUCUCCCUCCGCAACUCGUGCCCCGUUUGCCGCCAAGAGCUUCCGGCCGCGGCCACCCCAGAUGCGGAGGCGGAUGCGGGGCUCACUAUCUGGCGACUUCCACGCGGUGGAUUUGCCGUAGGGAGGUUCGCCGGCGGGCCCAGAGAGCAGCUCCCGGUCGUCUACACCGAGCUGGAUGGGGGCUUCAGUAACGGGGUCGGCCCGAGGAGGGUGACAUGGCCAGAGGGAGAGAGGCAAGUGGAUGGCGGUGAAGGUCGGAUUCGCCGUGUAUUUAGGAAUCUGUUUGGCUGUUUCGGUCAUGGCAGCCGGCAAGCGAGUUCGUCGCAAUCUCUUAGUGGCUGAGCACAGUUUUCCUUGGUAACUCGUUUUCAAUUGAUAGUGCUGAAGAACUAGGGUUAGUGUAAGAAGGGAAUCCAGAUUAUAAUUUCUUGGGACUUUUGAUGUAAAUGAAGGUCUUGCAUUAUCCCCUCUUUUGUCUCAUUUAAGAAUUAUCGAGAGAUGGGUAUGAGCAAACAUCUUGGAGUGAACAUGGCAACCAAAUUAGUUUGAGCAUGGCAAGCAAAUUCGGUCAAACAAGUGCUUCAAGGAAGUAAUAGCAAUGAAUGUUGGGGAAAUCAAUCCUUUGCAAGAUUGUAGUUAGAGAGAACAUUGGCUGUAUUUACAUCCCUACCAUUUGUGUACAUACUGGAUCAAGAUGAAUUUCCAUUUUGCUAUAUCAUAUAUUUUAUAUUAAAAAUUGAAAAAUUCUCUGAUGUUACUUUUGUGCAGCAGGCCAAACCCCGUCAUUGUUUGAAUCCAAAAAAAUAUGUGCAUCAUGGAUUAGUCACAACAAUGGUCGCCCCAGCACUAGCUAAUAAUGUUUAAUGGUCAAAACUUAGCCUAGCUGUGCUCAUGUUUCUAAGUAGCAACCUGCCAUUUUUAUUCUCUUAAUUUCUCUGGUUGUUUUCCCCUGCAGGUUUGAUGCCUUUGUUUCCUCUGCUAAAUAAGGAAACCUCAAGUCCCCACACUCUUUGUAUGCACUGAGAAAAAUAUAUUGGCUAUAUCUAGAUAUCAUGAUUUUAAAUUGUAUUUCUAGUGUGUUCAACUAGUGUGGGUGCUAGUUUGGGUUGGUGCACAAUGAGUAAAGGUGAUUAAAAAGAGCAUCUAAAUCUAGCAUUGUCGUGUUAUAUGAAAACUGUUUAAAUUACCACAUGCCCAAUUAUGGAUGGUUAGAUGAAUUUUCUUUGAAUACAACACACGUCCAGAUGGAUCCUACAAAUCAUGGAUCUAACUUCGCUCUUAGUAGUAAAGGUCCCUACUAUUUAUUUUCAGCUAUUUGUAUAUGAUGAGUAAGAUAGCGGGGGUGCUAUCUUGUAGCAGACAUUCUUUGUCUUUGUCCAUCCAUGUAGCUCUCCAUCUUGUUUGCAAGUCAUAUGGGUCAUAAUAGUGGUUGGCCUAACCAUGAAAUUGAUCCUUGUUAUUUCACCUGCAUGUCCUUUCAAAUAGUAACAUACUGAAUUUUCAAUGAUGAUAUGAGCUGUACACUGACAAAUUGCCAUAGCUAUUGUGAUUUUCAUCUAUUUGGAUUUUUGUAAUCUUGCAUAUCUAUUGUGUUUGCUCCAGUUUGUUGUUUAGAGCACCUCAUCCAUGCCUUAUUAUUCUGUAUUGCCUUUAAUCUGAUAUAAAUGUGUGGCUACUUUUAGGAGUUUCUUAAAAGCAGAAGGGUACCUGAGAAACUGCAUACAAUUCUCCAUAUCCUGAUCUUUACUUUGCUCACUUAAGUACUGUAUGUACCAUUUGACCUAGGAAAAACCAGCUGUAUGGUGCAGUUGCAUGCCUUUGUUGUCCUCUUCUUUUACAUCUUUUCUGUUUACAAAAUUAAUGCUGAAACAGCAUGCUUGCAAGGGCUCUGCUAUCUGCAGGUGGAAAAAUAAACUGACAUCAAUUGAAUAUCUUUACAGUAAGGGCAAGAAAUCAGUCUCAUUUCUUCAUGUCUAAGUCCAUGCAACAAUUCAACUGCUGCUAGUGAAGCUUGUUGAUGUUUAGUUCAUGUCAUUUUCCUUUACCUCUCGUUUGGGCUGUUAUGUACUAUUUAUGGAUAUAGCUGUAAUCCUUUUAUUGCUCUCGCACCAAUUAUUUUUUCCAUUAUAUGUUGUGGAAGAUUCUGUAUAUUAGCUAAUCAGUAAUAACUCACAGCGGAUCCUAACUAGUUACUUUUCCUGCUAUCCUCUGAGUACUCGUCCAGUGACUGUAUAUUGUUUUAUGUUUUUAGUUAUUUGCUUUGCCCUUUACACUGGUUCUUUGUCUUGCUACCCUUUGUAGCUAAAUUGUUAUAAAAAUGUUGGUCUAUGUAACUAUGUUAUGCAUCUCUGUUGCUAAUGUUAUCUUUUGUGGAUUCCGGAUGUAAAUGCUGUAUACUUUUCAUGAUAAUUAUCCUUCAUGCUUCUUAUAGUUGCAGGUUGACAUGAAGAAUUUCAGUGGUCCAUGUGACUGCUUACCUUUCACAAGGUUCUCCAGCUGACAGCGGCGAUGGUCAUUUAUUUGUGAGGCUCUCACAGUACAACAGUACAGUAUGAGUCUGCUUCUUCUUGUAUCAUUACUGGCGAUGUGGGGGCAUGGGUGAGUACCCUAUCCGAUUCUAUGUAUGCAUCAUUAUAGAAUUGCCAAUUGCUGAGCAGUGAGCAGUUUUGUUAUGUGUCAAGAUGAAUGUAUUAUCUGGGUUGUUGAGCAAUCAACAUCUCUGAAUGUCGGUUGAUUCUUUAGCCUGUUUGUGCAACCUUGCAUGUAUACUGCAUAGGCCAUGGUGAUGAUCAAGCAUUGGGUCCAUUCGUGACAAAGAUUGGAAGGCAGCUGUCAGGUCAAGCAGGACUGGACCCAUUUCAAGCCAUCUAUAGUCAGCAAAUCAUGGGGGCUCGUCUUCACUCAAGGUAAGGUAAGCACCUUCUGUUAGGUAACCUGAGCUUGAGGCUAGCUUAAUAGCAUUCAGGGAAAUGUUUGGCAUGGCAGGAUGGCUCAGUGCACUGGAAUCUACUGGUGGUGGUUUGGUGGACCUGGUCCUGGAGAGCUUUCGGCAUUCUGGGCAUCACUGUGAGUGCUCGAGGAAAAGGACUCCUGCCGAAUGAGCACCCGAACUGCUCACUGCUCAAUGCUUUAUGCCCAUUCCUGACUUUCAAGAGGCCUUGGGAAAGAUUGACAGCUUUUCAUCUAUGUGCCAAUUCUGUACCGCAGGAAGUGCUAAACGAUGUGGAUGUUCUGCAUACCUUCCUGCAAUAAGGAGAAUAUUUUUUGGUAUCGAAAGAGGUGAACCUUCUUCCAGCUCCAUGUUUCAGUGCAAUGAACUCGGUUCUUUGCAGCACGGCAGAAGUUGGGUGUGGAACUGUGGGAUCAUCCAGUGCUUCUUUCAGGAAUUCGACGGCUGUUAGCACGCAUAAUGUAGCCGCACCUUCCUGUGGCAUGCAUUAUAAUGGUUGCUUCAGAAGGAAUGGUCCUGCAGCGUCCUUGCAACGCUUUGGUGAGGCACUGAGGCUCCAUGUUUUCUGAAAGCCUUCUCCACUUUGUUUGGUUCCAAGAUUUGAGUACUCCAUUGUGUGGUUGUCCCCGAACUUGAGCAAUCAGAACGUAAAGAAUGCGUGGUCGCACGCAGGAUACGAGCGUUCCUGCCGUGCAGAUCCAUGAGUGCUUUGUAGAGCAGAAGUGGAUUGGAUGGUUUGCACAAGCGGUGGUAUCUUAUUCGCCCCCGGCAGUCUGGCACCAGCCUUCAGUUGCGCAUGAUUGGUGCGCCAUGUGUGUGUAUGAUGAUCGCUUCUAUUUGAAAAGAACCGGAGUGGUGAUUCGUGUCGGGUCAACACAUGUGUAUCCAGCGGCAGAAGCUAAUCAUUUGCCAAAAAACGGAACUGAAUACGACGAGCUCGACGUCUCGUGUGUAGAUUCUGGUGAUCAUAGCAGCGCUUUGACCGAGUGCGAGCAACGUAUGUCUGAUGCUGUGAUGCAUGAACAUUGAACAACUCACCUGGCCAAAUUUCAGAAGCAACGGCGAUGAAACCGUAUGAAACGUCUGCUCAUUUCUCUUUGCACCGCUUUCCUGCGCUAUCUUUCCAUCAUGUUGCCAAUGCCACACGACAGGUCUCUCAAGUGGCCCACACGUUGAGGACGUACUGGGUGGCACUGUCACUGACUCACUGUGUGCCUUUUAUUUUCUGGUGCGCCGAUGCCGUAGCCCGUGGUGCCCGUUGCUUUCCCUUCACGUAUCGGAAUGUGGUAAAGGUUAAAGGCGCCUGCAGGUUCGUUCGUAAGAAAUGUCGCGUCAUUCUCGCAUGAUGCCGGCAGCGGUGAGGCAGAGGCAGAGCGGGGCAGAUCACAGGAGCCGGCCGUCAGCCCGUCACCAUCAUCGUCUCGUGCCGCCGUGUCCUCGGAGUCGGAGGCUCGGAGCCACUCGGCACUGUCGGCAGAGCCACGGCUGCCGUGAAAAAACUGGAACGGGCAAUCUUGGGGUUUCCUGACUUCCAUGUAGAUUUGCUCAGCAACGGAACGGGGGCAAGGAAGCACGGAAGCACGGGAAGAUGACGGGCCUGUGGAUGUGGUUGCGUUGCACUGGCAGGUCUCCAGCUGUCGACCACGGGUUGCCCAACCGCAGGCAGCAUGAACUGGCGCGCGCUACACCGAACGCCAAGGGCCCUUUUCGGCAAAUCUAGCGAGAGAUCGUUGGCGAGGCAGCUGCGCUGAAAGCCACUCGCCUCCGGCGGGAGUCCUCGCUGAUGGACGCCAAAUCUGUAGCCUCAGCCCUCAGGUCCUGAGGUCCAGGAGCAUGUCUCGCUUUAACUAAGCUCCAGUGGCGCCACCUGGCCGGACAACCCGAGCGGUGACCAGUCACAGUCAGUACGCGUAUUGAUGAGGUCGCCGACCACUGCUUCGCCGGGGAUCGGAGAAGAAGAAGAGUCGAGCCUUGGAUGGGAGGGACGCAACCUGACGCAGUGUAACCUACUGUUGCUGCAAAAAGGCCUGACACGUGCCCUCGUACGAUUGCCGCUGGGCGGUGGAAAGAGGCGGACGCUGGGUCGCUGGCAUUAGUAGGGAGGAGUGUGACGCAGCAGUCAGCGGGGAGCGAGAUUCACUUUGGUGGAGCUUCCAUGGGCUCCGGCUCUACCUCAUACGUACUGUACAUGUGCUGUAGCUAUACUAUUUACAAGAGUUAUUUUUCUCUCUUCCUCUCGCAGACCGGCAACGAGCUGAUGGAGCCACAAAUUUUGGUUCCACCGGUCCAGCUCACUCCUGCCACACACAGUGCGGGAGCCGGAGCCGGAGCCGGAUGGAGCGGGAAAAAAAAGCCGCGACCGCGCGACGCGGGCAGUUUAGAAACAGAGAGUGACCGCAUGCCAUGCAGCAAAUCCUUCUCCUCUGCCUCUCUCUCCUCGCCCACGCGGUGGCGGCGGUGGCGGCGGCGGCGGACGGAGAGGCUCGCUUCGGAGGGAGAGUGCUGCUUCCGCUGCGGGUGCAGGGGGCGCCGCCGCCCCCGCAGGCGCCGGCGAACAAGCUCCGGUUCCGCCACGAUGUGAGCCUGACCGUGUCGGUGGCCGUGGGCACGCCGCCGCAGAACGUGACCAUGGUGCUCGACACCGGCAGCGAGCUCUCCUGGCUGCUCUGCAACGGGACCGGGACGCGGGCGCCGGCCCCGCCGCCACCGGGCCCCGCGGCGGCGUUCAAUGCGUCCGCCUCGUCAACGUACGGCGCCGUCCGCUGCCCGUCGCCGGAGUGCCAGUGGCGUGGGCGCGACCUCCCCGUCCCGCCCUUCUGCGCCGCGCCGCCGUCCAACUCCUGCCGCGUCUCGCUCUCCUACGCGGACGCCUCGUCCGCCGACGGCGUACUGGCAGCCGACACGUUCCUCCUCGGUGGCGCGCCGCCCGUGCCCGCGCUCUUCGGCUGCGUCACCUCGUACUACUCCGCCACGGGCGGCCGCGGCAGCAGCGGCAACGCCACCAGCUCGUCCCAGGAGGCCGCGACGGGGCUCCUCGGCAUGAACCGGGGCUCCCUGUCCUUCGUGACGCAGACGGCCACCCGCCGCUUCGCCUACUGCAUUGGCCCGGGCUACGGGCCCGGCCUCCUCGUCCUCGGCGGCGACGGCGCCGCCCUGGCGCCGCCGCUGAACUACACGCCGCUCAUCGAGAUCUCGCAGCCGCUGCCGUACUUCGACCGCGUGGCCUACUCCGUGCAGCUGGAGGGCAUCCGCGUCGGCGCCGCGCUGCUGCCAAUCCCCAAGUCCGUGCUCGCGCCGGACCACACGGGCGCGGGGCAGACCAUGGUGGACUCCGGCACGCAGUUCACCUUCCUCCUCGCCGACGCCUACGGGGUGCUCAAGGGCGAGUUCCUGAACCAGACGCGCCCGCUCCUGGCCCCGCUCGGCGAGCCGGGCUUCGUGUUCCAGGGCGCGUUCGACGCGUGCUUCCGCGCGCCGGAGGCCCGGGUGGCCGCGGCGAGCCGGCUGCUCCCGGAGGUGGGCCUCGUCCUGCGCGGCGCGGAGGUGGCGGUUGCCGGGGAGAAGCUGCUGUACAGGGUGCCCGGUGAGCGGCGCGGGGAGGGCGGCGCCGAGGCGGUGUGGUGCCUGACCUUCGGGAACUCGGACAUGGCGGGCAUGUCGGCGUACGUGAUCGGGCACCACCACCAGCAGAACGUGUGGGUUGAGUACGACCUCCUGAACGGCCGCGUCGGCUUCGCGCCGGCGCGCUGCGACCUCGCCACCCAGCGCCUCGGCAGCGGAGCAUAAGCCUUCCACGCGUGCGCCGUGGCAUCUGUACUCGUUGACGUUGUGGGUCUCGCCAUGGAUGGCACACAGCAGCAGGGCGCGAAAUCGUUUGUAGAGAAGAUGGUCUCUCCGAUCACCUGCUGCUGUGUCAACUUUGUAUUAUGCGAACAAAUAUACGAGCCAAUGACAAACUGCUAUACUAGUAAUUUAGUUGUUUACACAUGCCAGCCCUCUGCUCGAAUUUGGGACAGUGUCUACACCAUAUUUUGAGAGAGAGUUGACCAAUGUCUGCACUUGGCUAGCGUGCGAGCUGCCGAGCAGAACGUCGUGGUCUCACUUUGCGUUGGUUGCGGAGUGGUGGACCAAAGUUAGCUCUAUGCCUGACUUCUCAGAGGUCACUAUGUCAGAUCUUAUUACAGUUCAAUUUGAGAAGUGGCAGGGGGAAUUGAAAAUACAUAACACAAAACUUAAUUUACGACGAAAUUUCAUCAGCGAAAAGUAGUGAAAAUAAAUUAUGCUUGUUAUCUAACAACUAUAACUUUCAAAUCACAGUCGCAAUCAACCUUUUGGACAGAAUCUGAGUUAGAGCUUGUUCCCAUAGACUACAUGGUCGCCGCAUAUGAGAAAUCGACCUACCUGGCGCGGGGAAACCUCCGUGGAAGCGCAGGAGCGUCGGUCGUUGGUACCGUCGCCGGAUGAGAGCUCAGGAGAGGGCAUCCCAUGAGUGAGAGUCAAGAGGGGGAGAAUGAGGUCGCCUCAUUGCUCGGGGCGGAUGAGAGACCGGCCGGAGAGGUUUUCUUGCGUUUUAGCCCUCAUAGAUGAGGCAAGGGAUCAAGAAGGGUCUCGGUUGGAGUUGCCCUAAAUCUCUGCAGAGGCCUUUUUAUUUCUUUGUGAUGUUCUGCAAUAGAAUAGUAUGAGAAUUGUUCUGAAGAAGUACAAAAUCAACCAUGUAACAAGCUGACAGCACUAAAUGGAGGAACUCGUGCAACUUCGGAGUGCUCAUCUUAUCCCUCUCUGUAGUCUACAAGGUUAAGAUUAUUAAUUUAGGUCAAAGGCUGCAAUAAGAAAAUUAAUCCCUGUGACUAAUGGAAUACAUAACAGGGAGACAUCUUACAACAGAAUGUCCAUUUACAUGCAUCAAAUAGAAUUUGCAAAUGUUUCACUAAAACAUAUAUAGGAACUAUAAAAAAGAAUCCAACUACUCAUUUUCUUGUCUCUCUUGAUUUUUUUAUUUGAAUUAGCAAAAGCCGAAGGAACAAGUGGGUUCUUCCUUUUUCUAAAACAAGAGUUAAAGGAGCUCAGGUGCAUAAUAAUGUAGCCAUUUUCGAUUAUAAUGGAAGCUCAACUUCACAUGUCCUGGAAGAACAAACAAUGUAUAAUCUGAAACAUUUUGAUAGAAGAUGCAACCACCAGCAAUUCAGGUAAACCAUGAGGCGACAACAUGCCCGAUGAUCCAUAGGGUUAGUGUUGGACUAAUUAGCCUAAUAGAUACAUAGACGAUGCAAUGGUCAAUUUUUUACGAAACACUUUGUUUUCUUUAUGUAUAUGGAUGAAACAUACAUAAAUAUUUAGCACGUCAUGAGGACAUAAGUAAGCUACAAGUGAAAACACAUGCAUUACUUCCACGAGUAAACAGAGUAACACCUAGAUUGAUUCGCCGUUGCCAUCAGAAUUGUUUCUUGCUUGCAAUAAUAAUAAUGUGUGUCAAGAGAAGGAUAAAAAGAUCAGUAACCAAGCCUGCUUGGCCAUAAACAGAACCGUGAACACUAUCACUCAGGUCAAGAAGGAUCAGGGUACUUCAUCUAAACAAAGAAGUACAAACACAAAUCCUUAAUAAUUGAUAUGCGUUGUUCCUCUGCACUUGUAGUCUCCAGUGUUACCACACUGACAUACUAAGUACGAGAUUCAUCCAAACAGAUAGCAUGGUUAUGAUUUAUAAAUUUAUAACACGUGCAUGCAUGCCCAAAGGAAAAAGAACCGGUACGGAGCAUAGGAGUCCAAUCUUACAGUGGGAAAAAAAUCCAUAUGCUCUCCACACUUCUGAACCAAAUGGUGCGAGAGGAAGCAUUGUGAUAAAACCCAUGGUACCAAGUGUAGGCUAAUAUCUGACCAACGUACUCUCAUCUUGCUCUUUAGUCUUUACCAUCACCAUCACCUAGCAUAAGCCUUGUCGUAGCUAUGCAAUGAAAUUAAUUUCAGAUAAUAUUAGGUCAGGUGUCGAGGAUUUGGUCCUCUGUUGUGAUUCUAUGAAGUCUUCACCUACCAAUUUAGAGACCCCUGCCCUUCUUUAUAUACUCCAGGGGACGGGAUUACUAGUCGGUUAUAAGGAGAAGUCCUAGUAGGAUUACAGAGUAAUCCUAGUAGGACUCUAUCUUCUUCCUUCCUUGCGGGUAUUGGGAAUCUAUCCCCGACAAGCUCCCUAUCGCUUCAUAGUCAAAUGCAGCAGUCUUCGAGUACUUUUUAGAUCCCUCGCUGAGUAGUUUAGUGCUUCUCGAGUACUUUGUCUGGCUGAAUCUUUAAAAUUCCUCAAAGCUGCUAUGAGGCUAUGGUGUGCUCAAGCUCUUGAUUGUCUUGAUUUUGUAAUCUUCAUCUUUGAAAUGUGAUAUGGAGAGCGGCGGAAGUCGCACUCUAUAUGGAGUAGCCCCCGAGCCUUAGGUUGAAUCGAAGAAUUAGGCGUCUUGAAAAAAAACAACUGCUGGAUGUAGCUAAUUAGCCCCCAAGCCUUGGAAUGAUUAAUUAAUCAAUCCGAGGGUCUUUAGUCUUCACGCCAGUUGUCUUUCGAGUAGUCAUUUGGCGUCCAGCCCCGAGCUUAUGCACCAGGUGAGCCGUAGGAGCCACAUCAAGUAGUUAUUUGGCACUUAGCCCCCAAGCUUGGAAGCUAGCUGAGCCACUGGAGAUAUUCCAAGUAGUACUUGGCGCUUAACCCCCAAGCCUGGGAGCUAGCGGAGCCAUUGUUAGUACGCUAAGCGUCCUAGAGAAUCGUCGCCGAAGCUUGACCUGCAAAAAGAGAUGUAUACAUUAUGUAGCAUAUUGAAACUACUGAAAUUUAUAAAUUUCAGUGAUGAAUGUAAUGUAAAUGUUAUGUGUCAUGCUCUUAUUUCGGCCACAUUUUUUCUGAGUAGUUAGCCUAUUAUGUUUACGCUCCAAGUCCAUGUUUAGCCAUUGCCACUACGUGUGAGAUCUUUAUCUCAUGUACGCGUACUGGCACUGCCGCUACAGAGAUCUUUGUCUCACGUUCUAACGUUUAGCCAUGAUAGAAGAUCCGAGACUUUCACGAAUUGAGGUGUGUUCUGCUCGAGUAGAUUAACAACCGCUAAGAGAAGACAUUUAAAAUAAGUAGUCGGCAUUGCAACAAAAAAUACUGCGCGAUUGUCGGCCAUACAUCUAUGGGCCCACCGGGAGGUCUGGACAGCCCUACAAUACAUGGUUGUUCACCGAGACGUGUCAGGCAUGGAGACUAUGGUGCAGGACGGCGUGGUCUACGUGAAGGAUAAAAACUAGUCGAGGAUUAGGAAACUACUCGUAGCAAUUAGAGUAGGACUCUCUAGUCGAAUCCGACUAGUAUUCAUGUAAACAACCGACCUGUAACCCUGCCUCCGGCAAUAUAAAGCGAGGCAGGGAUCCCUCCAAACAAGUUCAAUCAAUACAACACAACCAACAUACAGGACGUAGGGUAUUAUGCGACAUAAGCAGCCCGAAUCUAUCUAAAUUGUGUGUUUGAGUUCGCCAUCGAGUUCCUGAUCUCGGCGAGCCCCACGCAUAAAAUACUACCUCGGGUACCCCUAGGUAGGUUGCCAGGUCUAAACACCGACAACUAGUGCACCAGGUAGGGACUCUCGCCAAAGAUCCACCGGCGAACUCGAUGGCUCAAGUCAUCAUCAAGCCCACCGUCACGUUCGAAGCGGGCGCGACGUUCGUCUUUGGGUCCUGAGUCCGCGUCACAGAAGGCGCUGGAAACUUCCACCACCAUAUCGCGCUGGCCCCGGAGGAGAAGCAAUACGACAUCAACCUUCAUCGCUAAGCUUUGGAGGAUUUUGUUGAAAAAUUCAAAUUUUCGACCUCUUCCGAGGAUCGAGGGACGAGUCCGAGUACAACUCGACUCUCCCACCAAUCGGACUAGUUCCCAUGAGUUAAGUCAUCGUGUGAAUCAGUCUACAAUACAAGUCAGUUCCCGUUCAGACUCCGAAAAUCGGGGGCCGUCUAUCAAGACACCCUGUCCAGAUCACAAUUCAACUCGGAUUUGAUCGAGGACCCCGAGUAGUAGACUACUACUCGGAUCCGGAUGAUGGGACUCCUUUAUCGGGUCCACAACAAGGUCAGGUAAUCACAUCUACUCCGCAAGGCAGAUACGUCUAUUGGCUCAACAUGAAGCUACCUACUCUCGCCAAGCAUGACGAGUCACGCCUUGUUGCCUAUCUUGACAACCUCACAUACCAGAAGGGGACCCCUCUAUCGCCUAUCUACGAAGAAGAUAGUUCCACAGAGGUCAUCACGUCAAGUUUGGGUAAUUUCUCCUCAGAGCGAGAACUACUCGCCAUCGUCGCUGCUCAAGAUGGCAACAAAGAACAGCCCCCAGAAAGGAAUCCGUGACACAAACGUCACCCAGAUGAUGUCUCACAGGAUGAACUCAUCGCCAACAUGCAAGGAGAAGAGGCUGAAAGUCAAAGGAAUUGUCGGCGGGCAAGAAACGCUACAUAGGCAGAGUGUCGACGUCGCCUUGCAAACGAACUAUCCAUCAUGAACCUGAAUCACGCGGUUGAAGCAGUUCAAUCGCGUCAGCACCAUGCCCCUCUCGCCACCAUUGCAUGUUUCGACCUGAGUACUCGGGCAAUGCCAUAAACCAAGUACACCAGGCAACUGGCUCUAUUGGUAGAGCAUGCGUACGAGCAACUCGAUCGGCAGAGCCUAAUCUACUCGGUUCGACGCACUUCUUUUCAUCACGGCAGUAGCGCCAGACCUAGUCGCAACGAGAAUGCCAAACCUAGUCAAAACGAGGUUCCCAGAAUUGAGAACCCCAGACCAAGUCAGCACAGGGCAGAAGGUAGUUGGGUGGGACCCUCGAGAGGCUGUGGCCACCGUGGGCCCUAUCGAGAGCUUCAACAACCAACGCACGACCUCCAUUAGAAGCUCAACAAGAAUCGCAACGCUCGUGACAUCAUCGAAGGGCGCCGCUGCAAACAGAGCAGGAAGUCGACUACUCUGAAGAAGACUCUGACGGGUUUCCCGCCUUCUCCAAAUGAGUACGAAAGAUGGUUCUACCCGACAAGUUUAAACCUCUAGGUAUUACCAAGUACGACGGCAAGCAAGACCCAGUCCAAUGGCUGAGGUACUACUCGUUGUUAGUUCAGGCGGCAGGAGGAAACGAUGACACCAAAAUCAUCUACUUCCCUAUCUACAUGGAGGUAGGGCCACUCGCAUGGCUCGAAUCUCUAGAAGGCAACUCCAUUGACACGUGGAGUCAACUCAAGGCGGCAUUCACAAACAACUUCGCAGGGGCAAUGCAAUGUCCUAGCAACAGGAUCGACUUAUCUCAAAUCAAACAGCAACAAGGCGAGACCCUGCGUAGUUAUCUAUGAUGUUUCUUUGACAAGAAGGCCACCAUUAUGGACAUCACGGAGUGGGACACUAUAGGUUGCUUUCAGAACAGUCUCAAUGACCGCCGGAUGUUCCAAGAUUUUGGCAGCAGAUGCCCAGAAGAUAUCAAGUCUUUCAAGAUUAUGAUACAAGCCUGGGCGGACGAAGAAGAUAAAGAUAUCGAGCAGUUUGAGUCUAGUCAUAACAGAGGCCUAAACAACAACAACCAAAGCAAUGGCCAACGUAACAACAAGAACCGCAAUGAUCGCCCCAAUGACAAUCGAGGCAACUACUCGGGUGGUCAAAAUUGCAAGAGAAAGCUAGACAAUACUAUCGCAGUGAUGUCUCAGUUCUCCAAGAAAAGUGGCAAAAAUCAAGGACUCCGUUCAAGGAGCUCCUAAAAAAGCAGUGCCCAUAGCACUCACACUCCAAGUACUCUACGAUGGACUGCUAUAGUCUUCGCAGAGUCAUGAAAAAUCUAUCAGAACUCUCUGGAGCAAAGGAUAAGGGCAAAGCCAAAGAAGACGAAGACGACGACGACAAGUUCCAGAACCCAUCCAAUACCGUCAACGUCAUCUUCGGCGGCACACCAGGUACUCAUCGGGUACUGCUACCAAGCGGUCCCAGAAACUAGCCCUCUAAGAGAUCAUGUCCAUUAAACCAGCAACACCUACAUUCCUCAAGUGGUUCGAGAUGCCAAUCACCUUCUCAAGGAAGGAUCAGUGGACUAGUUUAUCAGAUCCAGGAUGUUAUCUUCUCGUCCUGGACCCAGUAGUCACGGGUUCUCGACUCACCAAAGUACUCAUUGAUGGUGGUAGUAGUCUCAACGUACUCUUCGACAAAACUUUAAGGAAAAUGAGCCUCGACAUUACGGAUAUGCUUACCCUGAUGAACUCUCCAUUCUACGAGAUCGUCCUAGGCAAUGCAGCUAUACCCCUAGGUCAGAUAGUCUUGCCAGUUACCUUCGGGACCAAGGAACACUACCGGACAAAAUACAUCCAAUUCGAGGUAGCCGACUUCGAAACUUCGUAUCACGCUAUCCUCGAAAGACCUGCACUGGUCAAGUUUAUGGCCAUCCCACAUUACGUGUACCUAGUACCUAAAAUGUCGGGACCAAAGGGAGUAUUUUUCCUGCGUGAAGACUUGAAAAGAUCCUAUAACUGCAACACAGAAGCCAUGGAGUUGGCAGCGACUACUCAAGUUCCAAAUUCCAUGAUGCAAGUCUUCGCUGCCUCCAAAAAACUGUCCCAGACAGAACUCGAACCAAAGAAAAAGUCGGGGGCAACCAAGGUCCAGCCGGCAAGUGAAGUCGAUAUCAAAGACAUUGACCUUGAAACUAGCGAUAGCUCCAAAACUGCUCUGAUUGGCUCAGGGCUGCAUCCCAAAUAGGAAGAUGCGCUCGUCAGCUUCCUCCGGGCCAACUGAGACAUAUUUGCAUGGAAGUCAUCAACUAUGGUGGGGGUGCCCAGGGAGUUGAUCGAGCAUGCACAAACGACAACGACUACGUUGAUUCGCCCAAGAUAGAAGAGAUGCAAUAAAAAAAGAGUUGGCCAAACUACUCGCGGCUGGUUUUAUAAAAGAAGUCUAUUAUCCAGACCGGCUGGCCUAUCCCGUCUUGGUGCGCAAAAAGAACAACAACGAGCGGUGGAUGUAUGUCGACUACACGGACCUCAACAAGCACUAUCCAAAGGAUCCCUUCAAGCUCCCUAGGAUUGAUCAAGUCAUCGACUCGAUGGCUAGAUGCGUUCUACUCUAUUUCCUUGAUUGCUACUCGGGAUAUCACCAGAUAGCUCUCAAGGAAGAAUACUAGAUUAAGACCAUAUUCAUCACCCCUUACGGAGCUUUCUGCUAUACCACAUGUCCUUCGGGUUGAAGAACGUAGGUGCCACAUAUCAAAGAGCUAUCCAGAAGUGUUUCAAGAAAUAAUUAUACCGCAACGUAGAGGCGUACGUGGAUGAUGUGGUCGUAAAGACCAGAAAUCCCGACGAUUUGAUUGCGGAUCUAGAUGAAAUCUUUGCAAGCUUGCGAAGCUUUCGGUGCAAGCGGAACUCAGCAAAAUGCGUGUUCGGUGUACCCUCCGGAAAACUACUCGGGUUCAUUAUUAGCCAUCAAGGAAUCAAGGCUAACCUUGAGAAGAUCACCGCCAUCACAAAUUUACAUGCCCCAUCGUGCAUCAACAACAUCCAGAAGCUGACUGGAUGCAUGGCGGCACUCAACAGAUUUAUCUGAAGACUUGAAGAACGGGACUACCCUUCUUCAAACUACUCAAGCGACAAGAUAAAUUCCAGUGGACCGAGGAGGCAGAACAAGCCCUUCAACAAUUGAAGGACUUCUUAUCAAAGCCACCGGUCCUCACGGCACCUACUCCUAACGAAGACUUGUUGCUCUACAUCGCCACAACUACUAAUUUUGUCAGCACUACGAUCGUGGUCGAAAGACCAGAACCAAGCCAUGUAUACAAAGUACAGAGGCCCAUCUAUUUCAUUAGUGAGGUGUUGUCAGAUUCCAAAACUAGGUACCCACCAGUUCAAAAAUUGCUAUACGCAAUACUACUCACCUCGCGGAAGCUACAACACUACUUCCAGGAACACAACAUCUCCGUCAUCACAGAAUUCCCCGUGGGAGACAUCCUCCACAAUAGAGAUGCAACAGGAAGAAUCUCCAAGUGGGCAGUAGAACUCGUUGCCUUGUCCCUGAAAUUCAAGUCAAAGAUUGCCAUCAAGUCGCAAGCACUAGUCGAUUUCAUAGCAGAGUGGCGGGAAAAUCAAGAACCCACAUCGGCAGAACGCCCAAAGAAUUGGGUCAUGUACUUUGAUGGAUCGCUCAAGCUCGAGGGCCCAACGCAGGAGUACUCCUAAUCUCAAAGGCGAACAACUCAAAUAUGUGUUGCAAAUCUUCUCAGAGGUCUCCAACAAUGAAGUUGAAUACGAAACGCUUCUGCACGGGCUUCGCCUGGCAGUCUCACUGGGAAUCAAGCGAUUUUUGGUCUACGGUGACUCACUAGUACUAUCAAUCAAGUCAAUGACGAGUGGGAUCGCCACAAGGACAACAUGGAUGCGUACUGCAUUGAAGUACGCAAGUUGGAAAACAAGUUCUCUGAUCUGGAGUUCCAUCACGUGGCUCAUAACAACCACGUGGCCGUAGACGUCUUGUCCAAGCUUAGAUCUACUCGUGCUCAAGUCCCAGAUGGGGUCUUCAUCCAUGAGCCACACAAGCCAUCCUAGUGGACCCAACACCAUCUAAAACCACCGAUCGAGGCAACAAUGUGCCAGACCGAGAGCUUAUAAUGGUCGAUGUAGACUAGAGAAUCCCCUUCAUCGACUAUAUUAAGGAGCACAAGUUGCCUCCCGACAAGAUAGAAGCAGAGCAAGUCUCACGAUGAGGCAAGAACUACGUUCUAGUCGGAGACAAGCUCUACAGAUAAGGUGCAUCAUCAGGAGUACUCAUGAAGUGCGUCUCACGGUAAGAUGUCAAGGACAUAUUGGAGGAGAUCCACAAGGGCAUCUGCGGCAACCACGCAUCAUCAAGAACGAUCGCGGGCAAAGCUUUCAAAGUAGGAUUUGAUUGGCCUACAGCUCUCACUGACGUCGAAGAACUAGUCCGCCACUGCCAAGGUUGUCAAUUCUUCACCAAGCGGUAACACAUGCCUACCUACAAGUUGAUCACCAUAAAACCCUCUUGGCCCUUUGCAUGCUGGGGGCUAGACAUGAUAGGCAUGUUGCCUACGGUGCCUGGAGGGUACAACCGAGUACUCGUGGCGAUCGACAAGUUCACCAAGUGGAUCGAGGUGAAGCGGCUAACCUGCCCCAAGGCAGACAAGGUACUCGACUUCCUCGAUGAGAUUCCCAAUCGCUACGGCUUCCCCGAUCGCAUCAUUACAGACCUGGACUCAAAUUUCAACAACCACGAGUUCUGAAAGUACUAUAAGAACAGCAGGAUUGACGUCUGGUACGUCUCUGCCGCUCAUCCGCGGGCCAACGGCCAGGUUGAGCGCACCAAUGGGAUGUUACUGGAAGCUCUAAAGAAAAGACUACACAAAAUUGGCAACACCAAAGGGGGCAAGUGGCUCAAGGAGCUACCCAUUGUCCUUUGAGGGCUUCGCACACAGCCGUGCAAGCCUAUAGGGUACUCACCCUACUUCCUGGUCUACGGAUUAGAAGCGGUCCUCCCCGCCGACAUCAUUUGGAAAUCUCCAGUAGUCGAGCAAUAUGAGGAGGGUGUGGUAGAAGAAAUAAGGCAUCUUGACUUACACAGCCUUGAAAAAGCUCGUUGUGCAGCACUCAUCCGGAUAGCAAGAUACCUUGAAGGGAUUCACCACUGUCAUAAUCGCAACAUCAAAGAAUGUUCGUUCAACACAGGCGACAUGGUCCUUAAGCGUAUUCAAGACACCAAGGGGCUGCACAAGCUAAAUUCACCAUGGGACGGCCGUUCAUCGUCUUGAAGGUCACUGGACCUAGGUCGUAUAGGCUCCAAACUCUCACUGGUGAAGAAGUCGACAACUCGUGGAACAUCGAACACUUAUGUCGAUUCUACCCAUAGUUUACAUAUUCAUGUAAAUCGGCCAUCGGCCUCAGUUGCAUAAUUACAACUCAAUAAAGUAGAGUUAUUUUUUGUCGUAAAAAACUAGUCUCUACCUAAUCGCGACAUGCAAAAGCAAAGUCCGCUGAGCUAUUCAGCUCCCCGGGUACUAUCACCCAACUUGCAGCUUGUAUUUACAAGUCUGCACAAAUAUUAUUCUAAAGUUAUUCAACUCGUUGGACAAAAAUUGUCCAUAUGCGGCUUGUAGUAGCAAGUCUGCACACAUAUCUAUCGGGUUAUUCAACUCGUUAGACAAAGCAGCAACUUGCAAAAAAAAGCAGGCUUGCACACAAAAUUCUUGAGCUAUUCAGCUUUUUUGGACAAGCUUGUCCGUCGAUGGUCUUCAUAAAAGAAACUGUCAGCAAACUUGGGAGUUACCUAUACUACCCGAGAUCUUAUCUAAACAAUUCUGUCUAGUCACAGCUUGUAAUAACAAGUCUGUAGUUCCAGACCUUCGGAGCACAACACCCAAACAACCCGGAGAGGUUGCAAAGGUAGGCUCCAGUUCACGAAAUCCUGAAGAGUCUACUCGCCCAAAGAGUUUGACUACCUAGAUACUAGAGUACUUGCACUCCGCAAAAGGAGAUGUAUCCUAAGUGUACUCAACAUCGUCUAUCUGAAGAGGCUUACAAGAGUAGCCUUGUGCGCAGGCACUCACGACUACCGCACGAGCAACUAUCAAGGUAGUUUGGGAGAUGCACUAAAAUCAAAAUUUAAAUAGGUCGACAAGAAACAAAAAUUGCGACAAGACUUCAAAAUAAUUUACAUUUCAUUUCAUGACUUAUUUAUAUUACAAUAACCUAAUGUUUUUUACAUUACAGCUAUUCAAGGUCUAUUUGAUCGGCUACUUACAUGGCAAUAGGAGCCAUCUCCUACAGGUACUGUUGGAACUGCUCAUCAGAGCAGUCUUCUGUGAUGCCUUCCACGACAGGAGCCAAGUCGGCUUGCGGGUAGAAAGACUUCACCAUCGUCAGCAGCUGCUUGGAGACGGACUCUACCAUCUUCUGAAUGUAGCCAGUGAUCUUCACGGGUACUUCCUUGAGUAUCUCCGUCAAAGAACGGGCCUCCACGCCUUCUACUGGGGGCUCUACCAUGUCGGCGACAGGCUGAGUGGCUUCUGUUAGCUCCUUCAGAGCAAGUUUGGUUGCCGCUAACUUAGUCUCCUGCGCUCGGAGUUUCAUCAUCAGAUCCACCAAUUGGAAUUCUCCAUCCACGUGCAACUUCUUCUCUUUCUCAAGCUUGUGUUCCAGAGUCUCGUAAUCGACGGACAACUUGUCGUGUUGAUCCGUGACUCGGUAGUACGAGUUCUGCCAAUCCAUGAUGCGACCCUGGAGAUCCUUAUUCUCUUUGGUGAGCUCUGCAAGAACAAAGGCAAGGAACAACUCAGCAUCGCCAGGGCCAAACUAGUACUCAAAGACAACGGAGGAUAAUAGGUUACCUUCCACCCGAUGGUUCAAGUUCUUAUUGCACUUUCGGAGCCGGUCCUUCUCCUCCGCAGCUCUCUGAAUGAGAUUCCGGUACUCACGGCUUGCCCGUCAUACUUCAUAUACUCCGCUUCUUGGCUAACUCCUGCUCGAGCGCUUCCGCUCGCAUGAUGGUGUCCCCGUAACCUUGGAUCAUCUACGACUUUCGGCGGCAGCGCUCACUCAGUUUCUACAGAAAUAGAGCAGGUACUUGUAUAAGUAACGAAUACAAAGUUCAAGUCAAGACAAAUGCAGUAGGCAAACUUACCGUUGUAUACUCACCUACACGAAUGCAUCUCCAUAAACGUGGCCUCCAUCUGAAUGGUAACCAGAGGGUCAACUAUCAGCUGGAUCUUCUCCAGGUCUACCCCAAGAGCAAUCUAGUCUUCCUCAAGCUCUUCGUGCUCCUCGGCAUUCGGCGCACCGAGAGGGACCAACACCCGACUAGUUGAUGGACCAACCACUGAAGGCAAGAGGGAGGCAGCGCCAUGACUAGUCGAUGGCCCCACCUCGGACGGUGGGACAACGGCUAGCACUUGGAGUGCCCCGGCAGCCUCAACGUCAGCCUCCGGCUUGGGGGCUACAAGUGUAGCCUCAACUUCACCAGUAGAUGCCACCUCCACCUCGGCUUCUGGAUCUAGCAUAAGCUCUACCAACUCCUCCACCACCGCGGAAGUACUCGCCACAAUAGGCUCGACCACUGGCAGCUCGGGGGUUGGCACUACAACAAUGUUAAGCGAUGCUAUGACAUCAUGCAUAAGGGCUACGACAAGGGAUACUGCACCUGGAGCAAUUUCGGGCGCGGGUUGCUCCUCCAGCGGUGGAAUUGUGGACUCUGGGAUGAUUUCCUGGGCUGAGCAGCUACUACCAUCCGCUCUAGACUUCGGACUUGGGCCCCCAAUAUCCACACUGGCGGAUUUCUUGAAACAAGACAAGUGUCAGAGACACACUACACAGCGAUAUCAAGUUAAAAUCAGUACUUGUUACUUACUUGGUGGACAACUUAAUCUUAAUGGAGGGCCCGGCUCCCAGACGAAGGGACUUAAUGGUGGGCGAUGACUUUUUCGGCGUGGCACGUCAGGGCAUAGCUGGAUCUUGGCCAGCCUUAGUUGUCGUCUUCACCCAUUGAGUGGUCUGCGCCGGGAUGGGGUUGGCCCUGCUCUCAACAGCUUCUUCUAUUCCCGGCAGCUUCUGCUGCACAACUAUCAUAGUCGUUUUUGCCGCCUCUGUCUCCUCCUCGACUACCUACAAUUCGCUAUUGUCAGAAUUAAAGUUAGGCAUGGUGAUAAAGCAAACAUCUUACGGGUACUCGAUCCUCAAGAUCUUGUCCUCCUUCAAAUAUGAUUACCGAAGGGGGACUUCAUCAGUGAACGAGUUCUUCACUGCCUGCUUGACGACGCCAGUACGCGCCUUCUUUGGGGGUGGUGCCAAUCCAGAUUCCAGGAUGUCUUCAGCUUCACGCUUGGCCGUCCCGGAAGAAGACCCUGCCUUGUCUAAAAGACGAGGCUUCACGACAAACUUGUCAACAGCUUCUAACUCAGAGCUGCUGAAGGAGGACCAAUCCUCUGAUUCCUCCUCCUCCUCUUCCUCUAUCGCCUCCUGUACGGCCGCGAGGGUCUGUACAUGCGGAGCAGCGUCAGAGCCAUCCAGUCCAGGAAGAGGAGGGUUGGAGCAGUACAGGUGAACUUCUUGCUACCAACAGAAGACAAGUCAGCAAUUACCAAGUGCAAAAUUAGUACUCGGGGGCUGUCGUCCACGGGCACUUACUUGGUUCGGCGGAUUGGAGAUGCAGUGUUCUCGUAAGACCGUCAGAAUCACCCUGACGUGCUUGAAAAAGUGCGUCAACUGCGCCAUCACUUGUCCACGGACAAGGCUUCCGACGACAUCUGGGACGGGUCAUUGGGACCCGAGUAGUCGUACACCCACGUGCAAUGCAGCUGCAGGGGUUAGACUCGCCUCCGCAUGAAGCUGAAAUCCACACUGGCGCCAGUCAAUCCAUCCAUCUUGAGCGUGGUGAUCUUCGCUAUCAGCUCCGGCAGUUGGAAGCUAUCCGCAGUACUCAGCUCAUCCAACCAAUGGUUGUUCCAUACUGGACGAUGGGCGGUCACCUUGGGAAGACGGGGCUCAUGGUUUCCAAUAUAAAACCACCAUUGCUCCCAGCCAGAAUGGGAGUCUAUGAGUUCAUAAUCCAAGUAUUGUCCCUUAAUCUGCUUCCACAGUUAGAUUCCUACCCCCCCUGACUACUUCAGUAUGAUCCAUUCGUGGCUGGGGCUUAACUCUGAAGAACUUCCUAAAUAACUGGAAGUGUGGUUGAAUGCUAAGGAAUGCUUCGCAGAGAUGCAAGAAGAUGGCAACGUGCAGGAUGGAAUUGGGGUUGAGGUGGAUUAGCUCCAGAUUGUAAUACCUCAACAAACCCCAAAAGAAGUCGGAUGAAGGCAGCGCUAAACCUCGCUCAAUGAAAUGCGCGAAGAUGAUUGUCUCGUUACUGAAGCUCUCCAUGGACCAUGGGUUGCCGUGGACCUCCCUCCAGUAGAUGAAAUCUUGCUAUUGGAGAAGAUCAGCAUCCACCAACACCUAGAUGUCCACCUCCUUCAUCAAGGACUUCUUCCAAGCGCAGGCCUGAUUCGGUGGUGCCCUCUGAUCGGUCUUGUCGUACUUCGGGGUCGGCAGCUGGAUCUCCUUCUCCUUCUUGGUUGCCUUUCGCUUCUUGCUCUCCGCCACCUUACUGGAGGAUGCUUUCUUUGGUGCCAUUGUCACAAGAAUCUUCUUGCGCAUAAGCACGGGGGCUAGGCGGUGGGGAAGGAUGGCACUCGAGCUCAAGAAUGGCAAGCGGCAAUGUUAAGGCUACAGUGUGGAAGACGAACAGGCAAAAUGGCUCGAGUGAAAAUGGAAGGAAUGCGUUCCUCCGUUAUUUAUAACCGCAGUACAGUUAACUAAGAGGCGAAAAUUACAGGAAAUAUUCCAUUUUUAAAAGCCAUCAGUUAUCGCUGGAACGGUUUCCAAUUUUUUUUGGAAGAGAUAAGGUUACUGUUGGCAAACGGUCACGUUGACCAAUGGUUGACCCUUAUGCCCAAACUAGUCGUGUAACAGCUCGGGGGCUGUGUGCCACGUGCCCAUCGGCUAGAAAAUUUUUUCUUUGGAUUUCAAGGCAAAAGAGAUGUGAAAUUACAAGAUUGACCCUCAGCCUGAUUCUUCGAUUCAACCUAAGGCUCGGAGGAUACUCCAUAUGAAGUGCGAUUUUCAUUACACUUCCAUAUAAAAUUGAAGGUUGAAGAUUCAAGACCAAAUUAAAUGAGGUUUGAGCACAUUCUAGCCGCAUUGCAGUACUCGAGAGUGUUUGAAGACUCAGGUCCGAUGGAGUACUUGAAGAGCACCACAAACUAGUCAGAGAAGCCUACAAAACUACUCGGGGCUGCUACAUUUGACUAAAAAGUACUCUGGGACUUGUCGGCAUACAUCUAUGGGCCCAUCGAGAGGUCUGGACAGUCCUACAAUAUAGGGCUGUUCACUGAGACGUGUCAGACAUGAAGACUACGAUGCAGGAUGGCGUGAUCUACGUGGAGGACAAGAAUUAGUCAAGGAUUAGGAAAAUACUCAUGGCAAUUAGAGUAGCACUCUCUAGUCGAAUCCGACUAGUAUUCUUAUAAAUAACCAACCUAUAACCCUGCCCCCGGCAAUAUAAGGCGAGGCAAGGACUCCUCCAAACAAGUUCAAUCGAUACAACACAACCAACAUACAGGACGUAGGGUAUUACGUGACAUAAGCGACCUGAACCUGUCUAAAUCGUGUGUUCGAGUUCACCAUCGAGUUCCUAAUCUCGGCGAGCCCCACACAUAAAACACUACCUCGGGUACCCCCUCAGUAGGUUGCCGGGUCUAAACACCGACAACGAUUGCGCUUAAAGUAGUCGUUGAGAAUUUUCUGCCUUUUGGCGAGAAGAGCGUGUGUAGCCGCGCAUAGGAUUUGUGCCUCCUUAGGGUGUAGCCGCCGCGAGCCUCCAGCACUUAGUGUACCAAACUUCAUGGCAGAGCCUCCUAAUUCGGUUUACCAAGCUUGUGGCAGAGCUUCUCGAACUCAGUGCACCAAAACCGUGACAAUAGCCUCCGUAAUUUGGUGUACCACAUUCAUGGCUGUCGGUCAACAUGCCCCAAGAAUAGUUGACGAAGUGUAGCUCUAGAGGGUAAUUACCAUCAAGAGGCGUACACAAAUAAGUACUCAGCGUGUUGCCCUGCAUGUGGAAAACAAGCCAAAAAAAUUAUAUAAAUAAAUAAAAAAGUGACUUAGAUUGAUUCGUGGACGAUUGUCGACGAAGCCGUAUCGAUUGUUGAUGAAGCCAACUAGUCGGAGUCGAUUCCGACUUGUUGUUGAUCACGUGGAACCCGUCCUUGAGUAGUUUUCUAGUCGAGACGAGUAGUCAAAGUAGAUCAUUUUCGACUAGUUUUCUAGUCGAGACGAAUAGUCGAAGUAGUCGUCGGCGACUUGAUGCGGUUGGAUGUCAGGGUAGCAGUGCUCGCGUACAUCUUCUAUGUACGUUAGGCUAUGAUUUUGAGGUCUUGUGGUAACCUUCCAUGUGCGUGUAGCACAAAUCUCUCAAAAUUGCUUUUCACGGAGAGUAGUCGGAGCUGAUUAUUUGCCUCAAUCCGCGCGUGACUGUAACAGAUCUUUGUCAUCUUGGGAAUUAUGGUAUGGGUCCCUCGGUCUGCCUGAUCUCUCAACUCAAAUCGGAUUUGCCUCGAUCUUGAUCGAUGAGCCGUAUGUAGCAGCCUACGGCGAAAUCGACUCAAUCUUCUACUUGCAUCGAUUUUAUCUUGACGUAGAUUUGUCUGCUCGGAACUCCGACUCGACUCCUUGCUUCUUGUCUAGUAGAUUGAUCUUGAUGAUGAGGUCCCUCAAGCUCGCCCGAUGAUCUCGACGAUCACCCCUACCUGGCGCGUCAGAUGUCGGUGUUUUUAUACCCGGCAACCUACCGAGGGGUAUUCCGAGGUAGUAGAUUGAUUGGUGGGGGAUCGUCGAACUUGGAACUCGAAGGUAAAAGCAAGGACACAAGACACGGAUUUAUACAGGUUCGGGCCGCCAGAGUAGCGUAAUACCCUACAUCCUGUUUGGGGUGUUGUAUAUUGCGCCCUGCGGUUGGAUGUUGUUUGAUGUUGAGGAUUUAGUCCUCUAUUGUAGUUCUAUGAGGUCUUCACCUACCGAUCUAGGGACCCCUGCCCUCCUUCAUAUGCUCCAGAGGGCGGGAUUAUAAGUCGGUUACAAGAAGGAGUCCUAGUAGGAUUACAAGGUAUGAGUCCUAGUAGGAUUACAGAGGAAUUGUAGUAGGAGUCCGUCUUCUUUCUUCCUUGUGAGUAAUGGGGAUCUAUCCCAACACAAAGAAGCUGUAGAAACACAUCAAAUGAAAAAUCUGGUACAAAUUAACUUUAGCUAGGCAACUUCAACAAUAUUACUUGCUGCUUGCUCAUGCCAUCUAUUCCUACAUCAUCGAAAACUCUUAAGUAUUGAAUAUGCAUAAUAUAUGGUUUGGAGUGAGUUACAGAAUAGUUACUUUAAGAAAUUAACCAACAGUGUUAAGUAAGACAAUUUGCAUGAGCUUUGAUUAACAGCGGGAAGUUUAAAGCCAAAAGAUUAUCGAAUUUUAAAAAAUAUAUAUAUAAUUAGUCAUUGAUGUAAAAAAACAAACCAUUUAUGCAAGGUUUAUCCGCUUCUAUUUUUAUGAAAGAUGUACUUCAAAUAUUUGGGGAUUAAGGAGUCAAGGCCUCAAUUGAGAGGCAAUAAGAUGUUUCAAAAGACUUAAAAACUGGAUUGAAUUUGAACAAAAGAGGGUUCAUCGCAAACCCCAGAAGUUGAGCACAAGAUAAUUGUAUUUGACGUAACACAACACAAAAAUUCCAAAUAGGAGAUGGAGGGAGAGGGAGGGAGUGCUGAGUUCGUGCUUACUGGAUAGUUUACUGCAAAAUUAUCACCUUAACGUCGAAAUGACCUCUAACAAAGUCUUCGUGAUGCUAAGACAAUGACCUCUAACAAAGUCUUCGUGACGCUAAGACAUUAGCUCAGCCAUAUGGUCGUUUUCCUCUCUUGGCCAACGAUGAGUCAUGGCAUUGCCUGAAUCCUCCUAUACCUCCUUGUCACGUCAUCAACGGUAAGCGAUGGUGGAUCCAGCGUGGAGGCUGUAGCCCCCCUCCCCAACAAGAUAUUUCAAAAUAUGAUAUUUCUAAAUAUGGGUCUCAAUUCGUAGACCCUUUCAAUACUUAUCAUUCAAUUGGUAAGUUUUUCAAUAUUUGACAUCGGACACGCGAAUUGUUUCAUGUUUGGUGUUUCUCUCCCAUUUUCUCAUUUUGUUUCUUUUCUUUCUUUCUUUCAGACCUAGUGAAAUGACAAUUCUACCCCCAGCCUUAUCCUCUUCUUCCUCCUGCGGCCUCUGUUUUCUUCCUCCCGUCCUUGCGACCGUAAACGUCGUCGGUGAGCAUGGCCUUGAGCUCCGGCGGCAUGUGCAGCCCCCAUUGGAACCACAUGCUCUCGCUGCUCAGCAUCAUUGCAGGGCAAAGGCGCUCGUCCAGGCGCUCGCCAUCCUACUCGCUAGCACCGGCGCAUGCCCUUCCCCUGCUCGCUGCAGUGUUGCGUGUGGGCCGGAGUUGGCCACUUGCCCGUACGCCCGCGUGAGGAUGCGAUGCUUAAAGUGCAGCUGCUUGGGUGUUGCUUUGCUAAUCGAAUGAGGAUGGAUGGAGCAAGAAAAGUAUUAAUUGGGAUUGAGCUUGGAUUUUGGUGCUAGAUCGGUGAAGAAAGGAGCAGCAGGUAGCGGGGAGAGGCUUUGGAUUUUCGUAGGCCAACACACGCACCACUGGGCUGCUUUGCCGUUGAGAGCUCGCGGCGAGGCGCAGGCAAAGCAGUCCUUCACGCGCAGCCGCGGCGACGCAAUGGACCUUUGCCGGCGGCGCAGAACGAAGGAGCAGAAGCGUAUGAGAAUAAGCAGGCAAAAUCGACUUUUCAUCUGGGCUGGAAAUUGAAAAAAAAAAGAAUAGAAGGGAAAUAAAGAAAAGAGAAGAAAACACCUGAAAUGAAAAAGAAUUCGCGCCCACGAUGUCAAAUUUUGCAAGGCAUGCGAAUCAAAUAUUGGAAGGCUCGUGAAUUGAGACCCAAAUACUGAAAUCUUCUCCUCCCCAAAACACACAAAGUUCCCCUACAAGUUUUUUAAACGCUUUUACGGGAUAAAAUUUGAACGGAUCCCCUACACUAGUGCCCCUACAUUCAGCGUGCUGUCCAUCACCCAUCGAACGGCACCGAUUGCCACGCCCAGUCGCCCACGCAUCCUCCACGGCCUGUGCCUGUGCCCGGUGCUGCGGCGCACGCGGCACGCCGUUCUGGUUCCUCUCCAGCUCUCCCCUUCUCUUUUCCAGUUUUCCCCAUUCGCAGCUGCUGCUCUCGUUCUCCGCCAGCAAGCGAAUCACCGCCGCGGCGGGAGGCACCUCGCCUUCGAUCCGGUGCGCGCCCUUCUCGAAACCAUCCUCGCCCUCCUCUUCCGGCUCCCGAUUCGGUCCGGUCGGCCCCCAAGCCGUGUGCUAGGCGAAGCUUCUGGAAGCUUCAGGGUUUAUCCCGGCAUUUCAUUUCCGCGCCCGGAUCGCUUCGGACUGCCGGAGUUUCUAGCUGUGGUUCGGUUGGGGCGUCGCUCUCCGGCUCUUCUUCCAUAUAUAUUGUCGGUGACCUCCUCUGCUUCUGGUCCAGGGGCAGUUUCCUUGCUGCGAGUGCGAGGGGCAGAAGGGGGACGGCGGCUUUGGAGCCAACUUUCCGCGUUGCGGUGGCGGUGGCUGGUCGGCGCCAUGAGCUUCGUGUUCCGGGGGAGCAGGGCGGACAUCGAGGCCGGUGGUUUCCCGGGGUUCGCUCCCGACCGCCGCGCCAUGGUGAGUUUCUGUCUGCGCACCUCUUGGUGCAUUUUGCUAAAAUGCUAGUGCUGGAAGUGUAUCUUAACCGGAUUCCUUGUCCUGGAUCUCUGACUCCAUUCAUAUGUAUGCUUGUGCGCAGCGAAUUCAUGCAGGGGGCAGGCCAGUGCAUAGCAAUUCCUUGGCUUUUCUUGUCACAGGUAAUGUGGGCACGCCCUGUCUAUUGCUAAUUCUGCUGAGCCCUGAGCUGUUAAAAGGUUAGGUUUCUCUUAGCUAACAUUGUGGUGUUUAUUGGGCAGUACUUCUUUUGUUCAUGGUACUGAACUCGCACCAGAUGUCUCCCAAUUUUUUGGUAAGUUAAUCAUGUUGCAUGCAUGGUGUCUGCGAGCCUUUUAUAAUUGGGCUCUAAUGUGUUGAAAUGUGCAAGUAUGUAACAGUUUGAUUACCAUAUAUUUGUCGGAUUGCGCGAUAUUGUCUUUUUCUUGUAGCUUUGGCUUGUCUUGGGAGUCUUCCUAAUGGCCACGAGCCUUAGAAUGUACGCCACAUGCCAGCAGCUCCAAGCGCAGGCGCAAGCUCAUGCUGCCGCUGCCAAUGGUUUUCUUGGACACACUGAGCUGCGUGUGCAUGUACCACCAACAAUAGCCCUUGCGACAAGAGGCCGGUUGCAGAGCCUUAGACUUCAACUGGCACUUCUUGAUCGCGAAUUUGAUGAUUUAGGUGUGCUAAUAUGCUCCAUUCAAUUCGUUUGAUGGUUUGUAGUGUUUCCUGCAAACUUAGCUCCUUGGAAAAUCUUUAUGUUCAGACUAUGAUGCUCUGAGAGCUUUGGAUGCUGACAAUAGCCCGCAUGCUCCUUCUAUGAGUGAAGAAGAAAUAAAUUCUCUUCCUGUCUUCAAAUACAAAGUUCAGGCACAAAAGGGGAAUGCCUCUGCCCGAAAAAGGUAAGAUGAAUUAUCCUUAGGGUUGCAUUGUUUAGAUGGCCCUAUCAAAUUGGUUGCAAUGUCUCCCAUCAUCAACAUGUGGCCAAGCAUUUAAUUCUGAAACGGAGUAAAUUGUCUCUGUGAUGUGUUUCUAACCAUUUCUUUUGUCAAUAGUGAUGGGCCAUCUCAGCUAUCAACUUCCUCCACUGGGUCUGGCAAUGAGGUAAUUGAUAAACACUGACCUGUUUCUCAAGGUGUCAUUACUUGAAAGUGCAUUACUAACAUCAAUUAUGCAGGCUGUUAAAAUCAUGUUAUCUGUGAUGUGAUAUUUGUCAGUCAGAUAUAUAUUGCAAUAUAUUGUUAUCCUAUUCCUUUAUAAAGCUAACAUAUAUGUAUUUUACGUUUUGGUAUAACUUGGUAAUGCAUUUUUAGGUUUUUUAUUCAGUCUUUAUUUAUUGAAGUAAUUGGUUGCUGCCUGGCUAGCUUUGGGAUUGAUAUGCUGUGUUAAUAGUUUUCCAGUUUACACUUUCCUAUCCGAUGUAAUAGCUAUUGUUAAGAAUUUGUGUGGUAGCAGAUACACGGUUCAGACUUAAGACUUUGGGCCAUGAUUCAUCUCUUCUGUGCAGAAAAAGCAGGAUGGUUUCAAAGCAGCAGAUGGAACCAGCAAAACAUCAGAGGAUGAACUAACAUGCAGUGUUUGCUUGGAGCAAGUCGCUGUGGGUGAUCUGUUGAGAAGCCUACCAUGUUUGCAUCAGGUGACCAUGUUCAUUAUCCAACCAUUGGUUUUCCUUGGAUGGCACCUGCAGAUGACUUGAUUUUGUUUCCCGUUAUGAAAUGAUCCUGGUAACACCUGUUAGCUCUAGCAUGGUAUGGUAACUUGGCAUGUUGUUUGCCAACAUCCUAAAAUCAUGUUGUGAAACCAAAACAAUAUUUUGGUGUACCAACAGGGUUGACUGGUGCAUUUAAUGCAUUUUGUGGAUGGAUAUAGUGACAUAGUGAUAAUGAAAGGUUUUUUAACAGUUACUACUGUUGUUAUGCAUGUGUCAUUAAAUUCCAGGGCAAAACCCCUGGUCCAUAUGCAUUGCAACAGGACCCAAGCCAGCGUUAAGCACAUAAUCUGUGUCAGUUUUGUAUGUCCCCUGUUUUAAAUUUUUACAUCAUCCGCGCCACUAGCCAAAAAACACUAAAACAGCACAUCACUUCACUCGUUACUAAUUAGACUUGCUAAACGCUCCUCACUGCAUGUCAUCUUCUAGAAAAAGACUUGGCACAAGCGGCAGCUAGGAGCCCUUGUCCUGCAGGACCAGACUCACUGUGAUAUGCAUAUAUCACACCUUACCUUACUGUGUACAUCUCACACUUGGUUGGCCACUUGCUUUAUACUCCUUUCAGUCACUCAUAAGUGAAGCUUUGGAGAUGAGACGGUCUCCAAAACACAACUUUGGCUAGUGCUUCUUGUUACAAAAUAUUUAUAAAACAUAGAAAAAGUAUAGUUCUAUGAAACUAUGUUUCGGGACAAAUCUGCUCAUAUCAUUUUAAAUAUCCAAAUUUAACAUAUAAAAGUAUUUUUAACCGAAGUUUGAAUUUGUUUACUUAAAACAGCCCCAAAAUGUCACUUAUCUGUGACUGUAGGAGUAUGUACCAGUCUGAGUUGCUGUGCUGUUUAUUAUUCAGAACAGAAAGUAGUGAACCCGAACUAUGUCAUUGUAAUUACUCUACUCAGAUCUGGAAUGCUUUUCAAAGCGACCUUGAAUUUGAUUGGCUAGUUGACACAUCAAUGGCUUACUCUUUUGCUUUGUCACGCUUUUCCCCCAUAGAGCUCUGAUUUGUCAUACUUUUGGCCUACACUCAAAGCCAGAAUAUUAGGUAUCAGAUGUCUCAAAACAACGAUGUAUGUUAGGAAUCACAAAUGAAAUAGGACAAAUGGCCAAAAGGUGUGAAUCCCAAUCCCCUACUCCAUGUCGCCGCACCACUGGAUUCCUACAUGUGAUGUUUGGUAAGAACCUAAGAGGUUAUUGUACACGUCCUAUGUUAGCCUUGUCCCUGAGCACGCCUUAGAUUUUGAUCCUGGUAUGCCAGUGCAGGUACUUGUCAGCUUGUGUUGCAUGCACAUAGGCUUGUCUAUGGAGGGUUGAUGUUGCUGCGUGUGCAUAAAUGAAAACGCACUGUUUUGAAAUAUAUACACCCAACAUAUUGCUAAUGUUGAUGUGCCUAAGGCAUCACCACAAGAUUUCUUACUUAACCCCUUGUUUUUUACAGUUCCACGUAAACUGCAUCGACCCAUGGCUGCGCCAACAGGGUACAUGCCCAAUCUGCAAGCACCAGGUCAGUGAUGGGUGGCAUGGCACAGGAAAUGGCGAAGAGGAUGCUUCUUACAUGGUGUAAGUAGCUGCCUGUGAGCAGGACUUAGCUAAUGCUAGUAGCUACUAACAAAACCCGUGAAAGCUGUUUCGGGAGGUGGAGGUGAAAGCUGUUAGACCGAUCCCCUUCAGAUUGGUGGAGGGAUGACUGAUUUUCCUGCCAAUCUGGGGAUGUGGUCUAAUCCCUGCUUAUCCUAACAAACCGAGUGUGGAACCAGCUGUUCGAUGUGCUGAGUUCUUGUACAACUAAUGUUCACUUCUCUGUGAUGUUUAUGCAUCAAAAGGUUGAUGGCAUGUUUUCUUCCCCGGUCUUAUUGUGCUCUAUUUCUUACUUCUGCUGGAACUUCCUUUGUUCUUUCUGGGAGAAUGUUUGGCCGAGCAAAUGCUCAAGGUACAAAAAGUUCAUAGGGAUAUUCGUACCGGAAUUGCUAGAGUCUGAGCGGACAGCGGUGGGUGCAUGUGAUGCAAAUUCCUCGAGAAUCGGCAGCUGACACUGAUUAGUGGUUACAUGGUUCUUUUCUUUUCAUGAUUACACUCGGUGUACUUUGUUUUGAUAACUUCGAAAGUGUUUUUUCGAAGUUUCGGAGGUAUGCAAUGAGAAGUCGACGAUUCCUUGGUUGGGUCUUCGAUUCGCCAUGGGCCGGGCGGCCGGGUAUCCAUCCGCUGGGGUGUGGGCCGGGUAUCCAUCGCUGGCUCGCUGGGGGUCUUCUACGAAGAAACCGUAAGCCCCAUCGCUCCACAGUCCACACAAGUGCCUACCUCUCUCUACUCCGCAGAGGAUCCGGCCGCAUUAGAGCCCAUGGAAUGGGAUUGGGAUGGGCCUCUCCACUCUCACGCACAGACACACAGACACAGCACAACAUGACACAUGCACACCCCUCUCCCUCCCCAUUUCUUGCAACUGUUCGGCCGAGGUGGUGGCAGCUCUAGAUUAGGCACCACUUGCUCGGUUCCUCCUUUCUCUCUCUCUCGGAUCGCGGUGGGGGUUGCGGCAUGGGGGCGAAGGAGGAGAUGGAGUAUGCGGCGGAGGCGGCGUCGGACGCGGAGGAGUCAGCUUCCACCAACCAGCGCACCCUCAGCCUCAAAGGCUGGUCAGUACCGCACCCUCUCCACCCCGCUGCUGUUUAAGCUUACGUGGAAUUCGUUUUCUUGAUUUGCCUGCCACCAGUUAUUGUUGAUCGUUUAGGAACGUGGGGUGUUCUCCGUUCUCGUCUCCUGUUGUUGUUCAUGUAUGCAGUGAUUAGGCAAGAGCUUGAGGUAGAACGAAUGAGUAGUCUGGCGUGAUUCGGGUGAGAUCUCUUUACAGAAAUGGGGAAUCGGCAAGCUGUCCUUGCAAUGGAUUUAUGGUUACACACCUAGAGCUAAAGCUUUAAAAGUGAACCAAAGGGAUUGGCAUCUUUGUGCAUAUAUUCUGGUUUCGCAUGGUCUCGCGUUUCGGAAGAACUACGAGCUAGGAUUUUGGGGAGAACAAACAUAACAUUAUACACUUCACGUAAUUAAUCUUGUGGUCUAUCAAGCGAUGAAACGAACUGGACAGUAGUCUUAAAAGAGUACUGCAACUUCGUUGAGCAGGAUUUGUGUUGGUAUGUUUAUGGCUAGCAAAGAUAAGGAAAAAGAAAGGACAUCAGAAACAGUAAUUAGGCAGUUUUUUUCUUUUGGAUAAUGGAGGUGCAAACACCCCUUGUUUCCAUUAACAGAAAAAAUGUCCACCCCCAGUCUAUGAAGUUUAGGUAGACUUAGAUCAGGGCACAUCAAAAGCACAGCCUGUUCGCUUCAGCUUAUUAAGCCGGUUUAUCAUCCACCAAACAGUGUUUUCUUCUCACAACAAAUCAGCCGUUUCAGCUUUUCAGCCGGCUUAUAAGCUGAAGCGAACAGGCUGACUUUCCAUGGUAUUGAAAAAUGAAGCCAACCAUCAGUUUAUUGAAUCAUUAGAAAAGAGUGCCUGUUGGUUUGCUGUUCCUUUUAUGUUAUUUUUAUUGAAAGGGAUGGCACAUGGUACUCCAAAGUUUACAGUGUGGCCUGCAGUGCUGUACUUCACCUUGCUAUGCCAUGAUGACAAUGCUUCAUUUAAGCGUAGUCUGGGUUUGUGGUUCUCAACUUUGGAGGACAAACCUCAACAGUACAUUGAGGAUCCCAUAUGUGCACAGUAUUAUCUGAUAUUUGCCCUAGUACAGUUACAGCAUACCAAUUCAAUAAUUGCAACCUGCACCUGUGCAAAGUCAUAUAUGUGUUGGCACGACUAACUGAAAAUCAGUCUUCAUAUGUGUUGGUACGUUCGAGUGACCAGCUGUGAUAACGCGUAAUAAACAACUAAUGCCCCAGAAAGAAUGGAAAGAGAAGUUUAAGUUUUGCAAGUCCUAACUGAAUGCCACCAAAUUAGUGACACGUGUCCUUUUCAUAUGCUCCUCCAUGCCUGCUAAGGGUGGCAGGGUGCUUGAAAUGACCAAAUAAUGUGUAUGAGACUAUGUAUGAGGACACUAAAUUGUCCCACUAUGUGCGUUGGACUGGGUCACCUCAGCCCAGAGAGAAGAGAUGAUAAGAAUGCCAUGUGAAUUAUUAACAAAUGAUAUUGAAAUACUGAAUGAUGAUGUUAGCAGGAACAGAUAAUGACAAGAACAUUGCGUAAUCUAUUGAAAAAAAGCUUUAGAUAUAUGAGGUGCCACCUCGUUUUGAUACUUGGUGGUGAUAACUUUGUUUUCUAGGUGAUUGCUUACUGUUCUGUGUCUAUCUCAAAAUGAAGUUCUAGUUUGUAAGGUGCCUAACAAUUUUUGUUACAGUUCCAGCAGCGUGGAAAAAGUUUACACUAUCAACAGUCCACUUAAGAAAAGGAAAUCACAGUAUGAGCUGGUCGAUCCAAGGCUGUUAUCACUUAAAUACAAGUUUCGGAACCGAUUAUCUUGCCAGGAGGAUGAUUCUGCAACCACAGAAAGCUUGGGAAAUGAUGGCAUUUUCAUGAACAAAAACUCUUGCACGGACAUGGUCAGCAUACCUGAAGAAUUGGACUCUUGUGAGAACACUCUAAGCCUGUUUGGUGGGUGCAUUGAAGUGGACUCUAAAAAUGGAAUUCAGGGUCAGUCUAUGAGAAAAAAGUUUGAGAUACGAACAUUUGCAUCCAGUAGCUCAGAUAGCAGUUCACAUAGCAGUGGCACCAGAGAGACUGACAGCUGGGUUAUGCACGAUGCGGAGCAUGAUCAUUCAGGUCUGAUGCUGCAACCACAUGAUGACCUGGAAAGGAUAUAUAAUGUACUUGAACAGUAUGAUGACCUAAUGAAGGAUGAACUAGCAAGCGACGAUGUCUAUGGUUCUGCUGCUCAUAUUAUGGAUGAGAAGCUUUACUCGAAUGGCGUUGACGAUUUCCAGAUCUUAUCAACAGGCCAAGGUGGCUACCACGGUAAGUACUCCCACACAUGUUUCUUUUGAAUUUGUUUGCUUGAUUUGGAUACUAAAUGGUGGAGUUGGCCGUGUUGAUGGCAAUGAAUCAGGUGAGAAGAAGCUGACGGUUGAUCAAGAAUUUGAGCAGUAUUUUUCCAACCUCAUGCUUUAGGAUGGAAUGGAUAAUCUCAUGACAAAAAUGUGUUGCUCUGGACCUGUAAAAGUGGUUUGCUUCCUGAGCAAAGUGCAAGCCUUACUUACUGUUGCAGUUAUCAGUCUGUUUGUACGCCACCUCUUGUCACUGAAUGUACAUAUGUUUGAUAUGGGGCCCUUUUUCAGUUUGCCCAUCAAAUGUUGGCAUCAUAUAUGUGUAUGUAUGCAGAUAUAAGAACAUGUCUAACCUAAAGAGUAUCCUAAAUAGUGUGUUCCUUGUUUGGUUCUCUUGCCUAUCCUUACCUAGCCUUGCCUAGCAAGGUUAAGAGGAAAGAAAAAUGCAUAUUUGGUUGCUUUGCUUAGUUCGGAUUUGAACAAGAUGGAUUCCCUUGCUUUUGAGGAGAGCCAAAUUGGCCUCGCCCAACGAGGUUUGCCUUGCCUAGCCUUUAAGGUUGGCACUUGGCAAGACAAAUAGGCAAUCAAACAUGUAUUUUCCAGCCGCCAUCCCGGGGACGUGACGUUAUGUCCUUGUGGGCUUGUGAAGUGAUGUUUAGUUUAGCGAUUGUCUAGCUUCCGGACUACUUGUACUUGAACCAUUCGCGCCCAUUCAGGAAUCAGGAUGUGAGGGUUUAUCAGGAUUCCUCUGAAAUAUUUUUACCGUACAAUUCGUUAUUUCAAACGGGACCUCUAGCAGUAGCAAGUGCUUCUGUCAGUUGAAACUUGUGGAGGUUGACGAGAUCUUUUUUUUCAAAACAAAUAUACAUACACACCCACCCUACGAAUAUACACUUUUCUUACGAGCACCUUCGAUUAAAAAUUGAACCAAGCGAUCUUCACCUUGCCACAGGCAUUCGACGUUAAGUAUGUACAUAUCAAUCUUAUACGCUCGAAAAAUCACCUCUAACAACGAUCAAUUUGGUAUUCACUAGUUGGAAAAACAAAAGACGAUGAAUCGGAUUUCAUAAGUUUUUUUUCUUCACAAAACACGUUAUGGCAAGUAUAUUUGCGCUGUUUAAUAAGCAGUUUCGUGUACUGUCACUUGAGAUGAUUCAACCACAACCUUAUAAUGACGUUGUCUUUUUAAAUUGUGUGGCAUUAUGUGAUCCCUUGAUUCGUGUUUUAAAAAUAAAUAAUAUGAUUUGCAUAGAAACAACUCUUCGUACGUUAGCGACAAAAUUAUCUCAUUUAUGUAAACUUUAGUGUAGUUGCUUCGUGAAAUAACCAUAUCGUUGUCUCAGCUCAUUCUCUCCUUCACAUCGUAAAAAUACAAAUUUUACAAAUUUGUCCUAUAUAACAAUCUUGACCACUAGCGUGUUUAUUAAUGUAGUUUGCCUUAUAUAGACACAAGGCGAGGAUCAUAAGGAAAGAAGGUUGACUUUGCAGAGAAAUAUUUCUCAUAAUCCCUACCUAUUCCUUAAAUUUUUUAUGGUAUAUUUUUCAUAAACGUUUAAUGUUUGGAAUGGGGGAAAACUAUAAAUCCGAUUACAGUUUGUUUUGAACUUUGGAUCGAUUAUGGUAGUACAUUACAAAGCGAUGUUUAAUAUUUAAAUUCUGAAAGCACAGGUCCUUCAGGACUUCAGCCCCCGGUUAAAGUUCUGUUUAUAAUAUUGAAAAAGUACAACGUUUUUUUUCAAAUAAAGAAACAGUACAAAAUCUUAGCCCGAUUUUGGCGUCAGUUCCUCAGUUUAUUUUCCGAAAAAAAAAAGUUAGGGUUCAACUAAACCUCGUCCGAACGUUUCGCCGCCACAACACCAACGCCGCCGCAGCCGCCGCCUCUCGCUCUGCUCUCUCGCUUCCUCUCUACGCCAUCCACCUCCGCUCCGCUCCUUCUCCACCCUCUCCGUCAGAUCCAGCGCUACGAGCCCGGCUACCCCGGCCCCCUCGUGCUAUUUUGGUUGGAUUCAGGGGCUAGGUUUUGGAUUCGGAGACAUGGCGGAAGUGGAGGACAAGCUCAAGGACUACGAGAUCAGGAGGGAGGGCGAAGCUGAGAUCCUUUUUCUCAAGAGCAACGCCGUCUUCUUCAAUCCCGUGCAGGUCCCUCCGUCUUCCAUUUUUCAUGUUAACUUUUUUUGUUUUUUCACUUUUAUUUGGGGGCGCUGUUCUAUCCGAUUCUUAUCUGCGUUGGCUUGAGGCUUACAAGCUGUGGAUUGGAGAUACAGGCUUGAACCCUUGAAUUUAACCUGUACAAUUUACUGGGCUGACCUGCCGACUUCCAGUUGAUAGGUCUCUAGAGCUUUGCGGUAUUUUGGAGGAUUCAAAAUUGGGUGCUGUUCCGUGAUUGGUCUGCGAUUGGUUCUGUAGGCUUCAAAUUAAUCUCAUUCUACCACCUGGGUGCUUUUUGCCCAGCUAAAUCUAUUUAGUUAUUGCAAUUCAUUUGCAUAUACUACCUCUUCUAAACUGGAAGCAUUUAAGUUUGAAAUUUCUUGAAGAUAUGUCAAAAACCCAAACAGCUAUUUUAAUUUGUAUAUUUGACAUUCUGUCAUUCUGCCAACCGAGUUUGGGUGCCAGCCAGUGGGUGAUCAAAUAUUUGCCUCCGAGUUUACCUAAUUCUGCCAUCCGGGUGGUUUGUGCCUAGCUGAAGGAAUUUAUCUAUGAAACGUUUUUGCUUAUAGUACUGUGUCACAGUAUAUGGGAUGCAGCGUAAGCUUGAAAUUUCCUAGAUAUAUGGUGGAACCGCGAAGGGUACAUUGAAUUUCUAUAUGUGAUAUUCUUGUGUACUAUUGACAAAAAAAUGUAUUCGAAUGGGUUCAAAUCGGACUGCUUAUUUUGGUUUUCAUUAAAGAAGAUAAUGGUUACAAACUGUGAAGUAUACAUGACUAUGAAUAAUUUUUCUUUUCUAGUGAAAUAGUUACUGCUUUUGAUAGUCAAGAUUAGUUAUUGUUUCGAAGCUGGUAUGUUGAGGAGAAAUUACAUAUGAUUCAAAAGUUUAAGUUUACUGCUUUGAUCAGGUUCACAACCGAGACAUGUCCAUUGCUGUUUUAAGGACCUUUGUUGCCAAGCGCAAGGAAGAACAUGAAGCGCUGGCGAAUAAGAGGAAUAAAUCACAUCAAAAAAACAAACAGGGUGAAGCAUCCGUUCAGAAUGGAGAGGAUGCUUCAACAAGCCAGCUUGAUGAAAUGGAUGUUGUUUCUGAAAAGGAUCUAAAUCAAGCUGAAGGUGAAGUUGAUGAUGUGCCAAAAGAAGCAACAAAAACACCUUCCUGGAAAGUAACCAGAGAGCUUAAGCCACCACUUGUUCUUGAGGUGACACAUCUCAUAAUAUGGCAAUGCUGUAUCUAUAUAUCUCCAAGUUAACAUUAACUUAUAUCUAGUUUGCACUGCUAAAAAAACUGCAGGCUUUGGCUGCUUCUGGGUUGAGAUCUCUCCGGUAUGCCCGUGAAGUCGAUGGCUUAGGAAAGGUAGUUGCUUUGGACAAUGAUAAAGGUAAUUUCACAUUUUCCUAAACUUGCCUUUUGCAUUCCUAGAAUUUGAUGAUCCCCCGCUUGAUUUCAUUUUGGUUCUUGUUUCGUCAGCUUCUGUCGAAUCUUGCAAGCGAAACAUAAAAUUCAAUGGUGCUUCCGCUACUAAUAAGGUGGAAGCUCACUUGGCUGAUGCUCGAGUUUAUAUGCUCACGCAUCCAAAAGAAUUUGAUGUGGUAAGGCAUUUGAGUAUUACAUAUUUUUAUCAAGCACUCUCACGGGCUGAUGGUGAUUGGAGUGCGCUCUCAGUUAGCCAGCCGGUUCGAGACUUGCAUCCUCUCAACAUCUAACCCGGGGGGGGGGGGGGGUCCGCCCUUCCUGUCAAUAUUUUUAAAUCUGACAUUUUUUACCCAUAUUCUUUCUAAGAUGAGGCCUUAUGCAAUAAAGGAUGAAAGCAUGGCGAAUUCAACAUUGUCAUGUAUACACUACCUUUUGAUUGGAAUGAUACAUUUCUCUGGUUAUAUCUCUGGCUAAGACUAUUAACUAUAUCUGAGGCUCUAAAAUUUGAAGUUUGUGGUAUUAAAAGGGUAAACCUUGUUCUUAUAGGUCGAAGGACUCAAAAGUCACACGUAAACAUGGCAUUGAAAUUUGCAUUGACUGAUAACGAUCAUCUCUAUAUAUAUUAAAGAUAGAUUUUACCUAAUGUGGAAUUGCUCCUCUCUUGAUUUUUGUUUUCUCCACGUUCUUAGGUUGAUCUUGACCCUUAUGGGUCGCCAUCUAUAUUCCUCGACUCAGCUGUACAGGCUGUUGCAGAUGGUGGGCUAUUGAUGUGCACUGCCACUGAUAUGGCAGUUCUUUGUGGUACCAAUGGAGAAGUUUGUUACUCCAAGUACGUCAAAUUUGGUUCUUUGUGACUACUUGUUCAAAGGAAAGUUCAAAAUGAGGAGUUUGCAGCAUAGUGAUCAUUUAUGUUUUGUAUAGGUAUGGUUCGUACCCAACCAAGGGCAAAUAUUGCCAUGAAAUGGCUUUGAGAAUCCUCCUUGCCAGUAUUGAGGUACAUAAAAUGAUUUACAAAUUUCAAUAUAUAAACUAUGUAUCGCUUCCAUUGAAGGCUUUUACUAAACGAUUGGUCAAUUCAAUUCUGCAGUUUCCUUGCUUCAUCCUUCGGGUAUCUUAGUUCCUUUUGUCCUUAACACUUUCUUUUUACACCAGAGCCAUGCAAAUCGGUACAAGCGAUAUAUUGUGCCUGUUCUCUCUGUGUUCAUGGAUUUUUAUGUUCGUGUUUUUGUUCGAGUAUACACGUGAGUUUUUUUACUCUGCUAUUUCCUUUUUCCUUCUUUUGUUCAUUGUUUGGUUGAAGUGCUUAAUUUUACUAAUACGGCGUUGGAUAUGGGUUCCAUGUGCAGUUCUGCAAGUGAAAUAAAGAAUACACCUCUUAAACUUUCUUAUAUAUAUCAAUGUGUUGGCUGUGAUUCUUUCCAUCUUCAGUGUCUUGGGAGGACUGUUUCUAAGGUGUGUUUUGAAUACCAUUUAACUCCUUUGUACACGUUCCCUCAAUUAUAUCUUGACACUGCCCCUUUUCCUUGUUUUUUCUGUGUGAACUGAAGAAUAACAGUGUGAAGCAUGCACCUGCUAUUGGGCCUGCUGUCUCCCAAGAGUGUAGUGAUUGUGGAAAGAAAUUUAAUGUGGGCGGACCGAUAUGGUCUGCUCCUAUUCAUGAUCAAGACUGGGUAGUUUCUACUUUGACAGGUGUUAAGUCAAUGAAGGAUAGAUAUCCUGCAUACUAUAAAAUUACUUCAGUUUUAACUACUGUAUCAGAGGUAUUACUAUUACUGUUAUCUCUGUUACUUUUACCAAUAUUUUAUUAUCAUGCAUAUGUGAGGAUGCAACUCUGAAAGCAAGCAUGCCAGUUUUUUAUGUUAAUGUCUUGCUAAUAACACCAGGUUUCCAUACACUUGGAAGAUUUUUUUAGACAAGGCUGAUGUAUUGAUGACCUAUUAUCCAUGGUUUAUCACAAGUCAAAGAAAGAAUGUAUGGUUUUAAUAUUCAUAACUAUGAUCUAGAUGUGUAGGCUAUUCAAGCAAGAAUUUGGUUGUCUAGUUGAUUCGUUACCCCAACUAAUGAACCAUAUAUACAUUUUUCCCUUCCUCUUUCUGCAUGAUAAAAACUGAAUGCUUGCAACUGGCAUUGGUUGCCUUCAAGUUUUAGGACUUUGCUGAAAGUUAAGACUAUAUAGCUUAGCUUUUUGUCUUUCGGCAACCAGCUACAUCUCUUUAAUUGACAAAUUAUGUGCAAUUAAGGAAUUAUUGUGUAUACUCUUUGAACAGUCGACUUCAUUCUAGUUAUUCUUGUGAUGCAGGAGUUACAUGACAUUCCAUUGUUUUUCAGUCUCCAUAACAUAGCUGGCACUGUUAAGUGCACUUCUCCAUCUUUGGUUAUGUUUCGGUCUGCGGUUCUAAAUGCAGGCUAUCGAAUCUCAAGCACCCAUGUUAAUCCACUUGGGGUAAAGUCUGAUGCCCCUUGGGACGUAAUUUGGGACAUCAUGCGCUGCUGGGUAAAUUUUGAUCGUUCCCUUACAUCAGAAGUUUCUUUCAGUAACUAGCCUCAAGUAUGAAUUAGUGGAUGUUAUACAUAGAUCAACUUAUAAACUUUUUUGCAAAUUUCAACACAGGUGAAGAAUCAUCCUAUCAAGGAACAGCCCCGUGACUCUCCAGGCACGGCGAUCCUUUCAAAGCCACCAACACUAGAAGUAUGUUCCUCUAUUAAGCAUUGAGCUUAUAAUGUUCCUUGUAGGGUUUUUUUCUCUCCACAACAUGUGACAAUAGUAUUUUAAAAUUUCCUUUCUAUGUUUUUCAUAGGCGAACUUCUCUAGGGCAGUAGCUGCCCUCAGCAAGGCUCAGGCGAAGAAGGUGAAGCGGUUCCUUCCAAACCCAGAACGGCACUGGGGUCCAAAGGUCAGAGCAGGCCGGAAGAUCACGAGCAAACAUGUCUCUCUGUUGGGCCCUGAGGCUAUCAAUGCUGCUCUGAAUGGAGCUGUCAGACACGAAGAUGGAAAUGGAGCAGCGCCAGAUAAGGCAGCUCCAGAAUCCGAAGGGCUCAAAGAUGUGCCCUCGACCAAACGCCAAAAAAUCAGUGAUGACGAACAAGCAAAUGAACCUUGAUCGACCAAAUCAACAUUAACUUUUUGUUUGCUUUAUCUUUUUGCUUGCGAGCUGUGUGUUAUUUGUAUCUCCUGUUGCCUGGACAACGAUGAAUUUUGAUCGGACAAAGUUUUGAGCUAGGUUUUGCUAUGCUUUGCUUUAUGUACGACGCGCCAGGUAAGAAUGGUUAACUUGUGAAAAGGUAAAAGAGAAAGCAUACGUCUAACCCAUCUACAAAACAAAUGAAAAAAUUACAAGCUCGAUAUGUUACUUCGCUUUCGUUUGUAUUCGAACACUAUUUGUUGGAAAGUGAAUUAGCCAUCGUAUCACUGAGGUUUAAUUUCAUCGAUUAAAUUAUUGAGCAAAGAUUUUAAUCUUAAUAUGCGUGCACGUGCACGUCUUACCAACAGGAGGCGGUCGUCAAAAUCUACGCCUCCUGAAGUCAGGCCACUAGCAGCAUCUGCUCGCAGAGCACCGCGGCGAAGGGUGCGUGCGUGGUCAGUCGUCAGAAAAUAGUCAAAACCACCAACUCUCUGCGGCCGCUCGCCGCCGGAAUCAUGAGUUCGUGACCCCGCUGCCGUCCCGCACGGGGAGGUCGCUCGUAGUCGUAGCGGCGUCAUCAUUCACACGCGCACGCACAUGGAUCCAAACGGCAGCGCUACGUGCGUAUCCCAGGCUCGGCUCCAGCACCCGGCACCUGAAUCCCCCCGGGCACCCACCGGCAGAUUUUCCAGCCGGCGAGAGCCCCCAGAAAAGAUCCCGCGAGAAGCUAGCGCUAGCAGCAUUCGAGGUGUGAAACCUGUCGCCGUUCAUGUGAGCUGCUGCCUGCUGCCGUGCCGGCGCGGCCGCUCCCUCGUCCCUGUCUCUCCCGCACGGUUCGUCCCGGCGUCAGCGAGCGAGCCGAACAGCCCCGCGCGGGCGGCGGGUCCCGCCGCACGUGGCCCGGCUCCCCGACGACCUGGACUGCGCCGACGUGGCGGGCCGGACUGGGCCGCGCGGCGGGCGGCGACGUGACCCGCGACCCACGGGCACAGCAGCAGGCCAGCAGCCCGGGCGCCGGAGUGGGGCCCGGUCGCGGUCACGUCCGUCGCACCCGGGCUGAUCCAGGUCCGGUUGGUGGGGGAGCGAGUGGGGCCGCUCGGGCCCACAAUCCCCCACGUGCGAUGUUGAGGUUGUCUGCCCUUCUCUUCAGCUGCCGCUCUCUCUCGACGACGACGGCGUCCGGGCUACAGGCCUCCUGCAGGUGGGCCCCGGACCGUGGCGGGUCAACGGUCAGCGUCGCCGGCACAGAUCCUGUUUCCUGUCGCGCGCACGUUCGUUUCGGCCGGCGGCAGGUGCACCGGCGUGACCGCGAGAGGUGCGCCUCGCUCGUGAGGAGGGGCGCGGGGGCGGGCAGCCGGUGUCUCGACGCACGGGCUCCACCGCCGCCCCCAACGUGUCCGCACAUGUUGGACAGGGGCGGCGGGCCGUGCCGUGCCGUGCGCGCGGGCGCAGCGACCGGAUGCGGGCACCAAGUUGCCCGGACCGCAAGGCGCGCGUGCAAGUGUGCAGUGCAGCUAGAGCCGGGCACUUGCUUGGUUGCCCGGGCGGGCAUGACGGCACGAGGGUGCGUGCGGAUCGGAGUGCGCGCGCGGUGGAACGCAACCGGCCGUGCCGGCGAGUUUAAUGCGGCGCGAGUCGGUGACGAGACAAGACAGCCAGCGUGGGAAUUGAGUUCGGCCGAGAGGAGGAACCCCGCACGCAAGUGAAGAUGGUCGAGGAAGAGAAGGCUCGCCCUCGUGCGGGAUGCGUCGGCCGCCUCGAACAGGAGUUGCCUACGCUCCACGCGUGCGCGCACUCGGCGAGCUCGCCGAUCGGAUAGGCGGGUUCGGUGCGUGCGUUCAUGUGACCGGGCGCGGCGGCCCUGCGACUGCGAGCUCAACGGUGCCGCCGCUACCUGUUCACCUUGUAUGAUCCCCGCGCUUCUACGUUCCACGACCUCAGACGGCCGCACGGGCUGCGGCUGUUGGUGGCACGUUCCAUCCGGCGCACGGGGGGAUCAUGGGAGCAUGGGGCUCGAGGUUGCAUCCGCCCGGGAGUCGAUCGAGAUGGGCGAGCCAUGCUGCCUUGCCGGCCGGGUGGUUGCGGGCUUGCGGCGGUGGACCUGCGGUUCUCCGCCGUCUCGCUUUUUUGCGUCGCGUGGAUCGUGGACUUUCUCAUAAGAGCUCGAUCGGGGCCGGGGUGAUCCUUGAGCUGUCAGGUCCGGUCACCGCGCUGCUUGCCAUUUCUUGCAAUCUUCCAUUCUGGCACGCGUUCUUUCUUGUUCGGGACGGCGAGCUCGCAGGAGAGCACAACGGGGUCCGGAAGGAAGAACCUAACAAACUUUCGCUGGCUUUGCCCUCGUGCUAUUUCCUUCUUGUCUUGUCAGUCUUAUUGACGCAGAGUGCCAGAGUUUAAUGUUCCCGGGCGGAAUGCUUGCUAGAGUUAUUCCAGCACAUGCUGAAACGUAACCGAAGAGCCAAGAGAAGAACAGGAACAUUACAAAAGAAACCGGUAAGGAGAGGCUAGAGCAAGACUGCCGCACUAAUUAACGAGGUCAAAUGAACCUGGCGGCGUGAAGCCCGGGCGCCCGGGCUCUUGCUGAUAGAAAAGUCUCGGUCAUAAAGAUUCCGAUGCCAAGGGCGGACAGCAUUUCCCAGUACCGAAAGCAAACGAUGCCAUUCACGCUUACGGACCGCGCACCCGAGAAGAAAACAACCCCCAAUAUUCCGCCCGUUUUCAUAUCAGCUCGCAUAAGCAAUCAGCCAAAAUGCUGAAACGUAUCAGACCAAGCCAUCUUUUACGCCUAUCUUAUCUAUCCUAUCACCCCUCCAAUUCAUUUCCCGCGAUCGACGCGUACCCCACAAAUGUUCGGCACUCCUGCACUUGUGCGAUCGUAGGCUCCAAACACAAAAGAGCAGACACGAUACAUCAGCCAAGACCCAAAAGUGCCGGGAGGAAAAUUCGCCCGCUUUGCAUGCGCAAGCAAGUUGCACGGCGGUGGAGCCAGCCGCGAACUCGACAGCUGAUGAAUGGGAGGUAUCGCGCGCGUGAUCGGGCUUGACCGGAGCUGAUCGAUUGGCACAGGACUUGCUCAGCGUCGUUGCGAUAAGCUUCACGGUGACACUGUUUUUAGCGCUGUGAUCGGUUGUGGGAUAGCGGUGCCGUAUCGAUGGAUAAUAAUUGGAUCGUAACGCCAGGCGUGUUUAUCCUUGGGCACGGACAGGGAGCUCGGGCAUGGGCGUCGCAUCAGUGUUUGGCGCGGGCACAUGGAGUGUCUCUUGGCUAGGGUGGGGCAAGGAGGAGGAGACGGGACUACCGGAGGGGCAGCUGGGAAGCACUGUGUUCAAUCACUUGAGCCCUUUUGCUCUACCGCUGAUAGCACUCCUUGAAACCUAAAAGUAGGGACAACGAACAACGUUUCUAGCGUGCCUUUGGAACGCAGGGAUGAUUUCGAAAAGCAUCUUUGUGGCAAUUUUUACAUGGACCAGUUCAAUUUCUCGUUUCUGUUACCGUGCUCAUCUCCGUGCGUGGUCUGAAAUAUCCGUCUCAUGUUCAGAUCGAUGGAGAAGGAGACGCCGUGGAUGGGCAGCCUCGAUCGCGCCGGGUUCUGCCUAAAAGCGCACGUCUUCUUGACCCGACUUUGCUACAUUCCGCAAGGCGAUUCGGCCUGUCUCUUGGAAGAUCGGGCAGUGGCAGCAGCAGAUAUCGUAGAAUACUCCGUUUCGGCGUGGGUUUUUGCAUCAAGAAAAUGAAGCUCUCCGCGUGAUCCGAAGAAGAGGGGUAGAGAGUGCGUGCCGGACCUUUCAGCUCGCCACGACAGCUCCCCAAGAGUCCAAGACCCACGCUAGCUUCGCCGGCCACCAACCCCUGAUUGCUUGCGACUACUGCUGGAUUUGCUGCAUGCGAGCCCAGGAUUUGGGCCUACAUGCUCACCGUAAGGUCACUGUCAUGUUUCCCAGCUCCUGUGAGUACAGGGAGAUUUCGCUUUUGGUGCUGUCACCAUGCGUAGCCGCCUCCGCUAAAAUUUCGAUCGGUUUCAGUCGAUAGCCUGUGAGAAGUUUUGACAAUUCGAACUCCUACGUUCACUGAUCGUCUGCUCCAGGCCAGUGCACUCAGAUUCUGCCAUAUCCUCGCUUCGCGAGAAGAUGCUACCACAUCGUCAAAUCAAACCAAAGAGAUCCACCGGUCGCUGCGAGCCUGCGACAGCACCCGUAUCUUGGCGGAGCGCACGGCGCAGUUAGCACUCGUCAGGUAGGCAGUUCCAGGUGUAUCAGUCGGUAGACGCCUUCCCUCCCCCUGCCGCCCUGUGAGGUCACGGGCCGUCGUGUGGCGCUGCGCCACCCAUGGAUCCACAGGGCAAGAUGGCCCGGCCGCUACACGGGCUCGCAGGCGGCGGCAGGGAGAGCGCAGGGGACCUCGGCCAAUGGCGGCGGCGCCGUGCAGGUGGGUGGAGACACCAGCUGCACACACAAAUCAUUUCGCCUGCCUGUAUCCGGGUGCUCUGUUGAUCAGCAGGGGAGGCGGGGGCCUUCCCUUUUUACAAGGGACUGGGAGGGAGGGGGUGUGGCCCAACUCACCCACGGCCAAAGCCGAGGCAGUUCUCGUGGGCAGUAGCACAUUGUUUGAUGCCCUGAUUCCCCCCAAAUCGACCGUUCCAACUCAUCCCUGGCAAUUAACAAAUGGGAUCAAGGAGCUGGUGGCUGACGUAAUCUGAUUGCCGCGCCAAUUAACAAGUGAUUUGGGGUCAGAUCAGCGUGGAGGCCUGGAGGGAUAGUACAGCCCCUGCAGUCUUCUCUCGCUGUUACAUGUGCGCCUCUGCGUGCUUGCUGGGCAGAGAGCUCCAAGGUGAGGUGAAGAUUGGAGAUGGAGGAAGGGGAGCAGCAAGCAAGUGCAAUAAUGGAGGUCGUCAGAUGGCCACGCCGGAAAUGGCAGUCCCAAAAGGGUGAGGACAAAGGAAAAAAGGGGUGCCAUCACCGUCACCAUCCCCAUUUACUGCCCUGGCUGCCUGCCCCUCCUCUUCCUCCUCAUCCGUAUGCCUCUUGCAUUUGCUCUGCUCACAGCUCUCCUCGAGUCGUCUUCUCCCUCGCUAUCAGCACCCAGUCAUCCAUCUCCCUCCCCUGAUCUCCAACUCCUGUUUGUGGCUGUUACAUUUGCAUCUCCCUUUCGUUAAUCGGCGUCCACACCCAGAGAGAGGUGACAAGAGAAACAACAAAACGGAAAGGAAGUUAGAAGAAUAAUACGCAGUGACAUCAUGACAUGCUGUGGCGUCUGAUUUCUUUAGCUAUACAUGGGCAGUGACAACUUUUUUUUUUUCACCGUGGUCGUGGUACAUCAGAAGAUCCACUAGAUUUCAUUCAGCUGCCUGGCCUGUGGCGCUCCUUUGCAGCAUCUGCAGCUGUAAAGAACCCAGAUCCCCAUCUCCCUGAAGGAGGAGAUCCCAAAAUCGUCCACGAUUCCACAUCUACAUCGCAGCACUAAGUACUGUACUAUUCACUACUACCUAAUCGAGCACUAGUAAUCAAGAAAACGUCCCAGAAAUGGGAGGUAAAGAAGAAGAAGAAGACUACUGACUAUACACACAUCACCUAAUCUGCCUCCUUCCCCGCGUCCCUCGCUUUGAUUCUGCCCCCGUGACUCUCUGAUCUUGGCGGAGAAACUGCGGGGGGGGGGGGGGGGGGGGGGGGGGGGGGGGGGGAAAANNNNNNNNNNNNNNNNNNNNNNNNNNNNNNNNNNNNNNNNNNNNNNNNNNNNNNNNNNNNNNNNNNNNNNNNNNNNNNNNNNNNNNNNNNNNNNNNNNNNGGGGGGCGGGGAUCGAGCUUCUUCGCCGGCCGGCCGGGGAGCCGCCAUUCGCGGCUACGAGCAGUCCUUCCAGCAGACGAGCAUGGUGACGCAGCGGCGCAUGAUGUAGAAGCGCGCCCGCUGCUCCUUGACCAGCCCCGCGCACCGGCUCGAGAACGAAGGCUGCGGCGCACCGCACCCGCCCGCCGCCACGGCGCCGGCGCCGCUCCCGCGCCGGCCGAUCGCCUGGACGCCGUCCCUCAUGCUGGACGACCGCUUCAGGAAAUGGUCCCCGCCGCCGGCCCCGGCCCCCGGGACGCGCCGGCUGCCGUUGUUCCGGCUCUUCUUGGAGAACUUCCACUUCUCGUCGACGUAGAACUCCAUGGAUCGAUGGUGCGCUCCGCUGCUGCUCAGGCUGAGGUGGGUGAGUGAGGAGGAAGAGUGCGGUGGAGGAGGGGAGGCGUGUGGGGGCGUGAGGAAUCCCCGGACUAUUUAUAACGGGGGGGAGAGUGAGACCGAGACGGACCUGGGAGGAGGGGGAGAGAGGGCGUGGGGGGAUGGACCGAGACCUGGACCGUUUUUCUGCAGCGCGGCAGCACCCAUCCACCCGGAGGGUUGAGUUGGACUGCCUUCCUACAAAGCCAAUCCUAUGCUGCUCACCGAACCUGUAUCUCAUCCCAAUAUGCAUUUGGUGGUUUUUAUUUCGCGUGGUCCAGAAAUGAUUUCCAGCCAGUUUGCAUCAUGACCGUUUCCAAAAUUCUAGUCAGAGAGUUUUCAAUCAUUUGUGAAUCCUGUCGUUGAUUGCUUCUUCUUUUGUCCCGUUAGAUUUCAGUUGUAGCUGAGUGUUUUUAUUCCUCAUCUUAAGAUGCUAUAUCCCAAUUGCUCUUCUUUAUUUUACUCUCUUUUAAUACGAAGAUGUACAUCUCUUCUACGGUUAAGUUUUUUUUGAAUAUGGAGAUAAACUAUUCCCUGGAAGAUAUAUUCCAACACUUCAUCAAUGUCAUAAUCCUAAUAUAAUUUUUUUGUUAUCAGCUGGUCAACAUGUUUGAUGAUGUAGUCUACAAUAAUUUUCCACCACUAUUUAGAAUUGUGUGGUUUUGUAUGACACUCUUUAAUUAGCUUUUGUUGUAACUAGAAUCCUACUUUUCAAAUCCUCUUAGUUUGUAGAUACAAAUAACAUUAUCUUGCGUAUGGUUGGGGAGAAAAGAAAUUGAAAUAUGCCUAUAAAAAUGUUGGGUCAUACUGAAAAGCUUGAAAGAAUCCAAACAUCCGAUGAUCAUAGAGACUAAAAGAUAAUGUAUCAAAAAACUAAUUGGAUGAGAGAAAAAAAAAUCAAGCUAAUGAUGUUAUCAACCGAUGAAGAGUACUGGAUGUGAUAAUAAAAUGAAGGUUAUUUUGACUUUUAGGGAACCUAAAAAUACUUAUAUUUUUAGAUGAAAGGCGUAUUAAUUUCUCUAUGUUGUCACGAUGGUGAAGGUGAUACUUUUCUUAUUGCUCGUGUAAAAAAACAGUUCACAUGAAGUGGGUAAAAUGAUAGAGAGGAAUAAGCGCACAUACAACAGAGGAGGGUUGCCUUUAGAAAAUUUCUCCACGGACAUCGAGAUACUUUCUUCGUCCUUAAGUAUAUAGUAACAUUUAGGAUGAUACUAAUUGCUUGUUCUAAAUAUCAUUUAUUUAAGAUAGAUAGAGUGUAUUUUUUUAUGAGAAAGAUACUUAUAUUACGAUACUAGGGAAAUUCGAUAUACAUUCACUUUAAUUAUAGAUAGACCUAAUAUGUGCAACAACUUAAUUACAACAUAUAUUUUACCGUGUUACCAUGAGUUACUGCCGUGUACAAGUGCAAGGCUAGGAGUAGCAAUUCCCAAAUGGUCACAAUUCGUGAUUUCGCGGACCGAGUCCAUGUGAGUUUAAUCAAUGCAAGGGUGUACGGCUGGAUUCUUUCUUGAGACCAUGCAAGCAAAUCAUUUUUUCUUUCCCUGCAAAAAGACCGCGUUCCAACCUAAUCACUGAUUUCCUCGUAAGAAAGCAAAGAUUCAAGAGCGCAAGUACCAUUUGGAGCCAUUCGCGUGUUCCUUCAACGGCGCAACCAUUAGCUGCAGCGGCGCGUAAUCAUGCACCUCGCCUGCUGUUUCUCCUCAUGAUUGAGGAUGAUGCCCCCAAAUCCCAUGGAGAGGCGGGGAUGGGAUUAUAGAUGAGGCGUGCUUGCCUGUGAUUUUUGUGUUCUUGACUGUGUGUGUGAGGUGGCUUUGCAGUCCAAUCUGGGCUGAGUCAGAUGGGCCUGGAGGCGGGCCCUGCCGUGUUCCCUUCGUGUCCACAGAGGCGAGCAGGGUAUUAAAUGCGCAUGUCUCUUGGGGCAGCCCCACAAACCACCGCCGUCUGAUUAUUUUCAUCCCAGUCUAACCAACGUCUAAAAAGGAAAGUCCUCCGAUGGCCUGGAUUAGGCUUGGGUUUUCAUCAGGAAGGAAAAAGUAGGCUACAAUUUCCCUGUUAUGAGUAUCACGCAUCAUUGCAUGCCCAUCCAAAUAGGGUUAUGAUAUCUAUCCCACGAGGGAUUGAUUUCGAGCGCUGGAUUACCAUCGAACCGCCAUGGUUUACGUUUUGCUCUGCCGACUUGCAAUCUCGUGCACGUUCUCAAGUGCGUCCUGGCUCGUGGUCCUGGGCGACCUCUGGCUCCGAAUCCGUUCGGAUCCGUGGGCGCCUUUGACUCGUGUAGACGGGCCUGCCGCGGCGGCAGGUCGCUGCUCUGGUUGCCACCCCCCCCCCCCAGCCCGUGCGUGCGUGCGUUGCUCGGGCAUCCCGAUGCGCCCGCCCGCGCGACGCCCCCUCCUCGCUUUUGGGUUCUUUUCCCACCCCGCAGAGCCGCACGCGGCUGCCCGGUCGGUCGGUCACCGAAUCCCGCCCGCGGCCCACGCGGUGACCGCGGCGGCCGCGGGCGGGAUCGGCCUUAUCCUUGCCUGCUGCUGCUGCUCGUUCGGUUGGUCCCAAAUAGCGAGGGAUGGCCUCGCCGCGGGUGCGUGCAUGCACUGAUCAUCGUAUGUCGCCACGGCGGCAUGGCGAGCCUACGCCGUUUUUAUGGCCUUGCCCGGCGCGGCCAUGCCGACUGCCGUCCGCCCGUGCUACGCCGCCGCCGCAUCCGGCUCCUCCCUAGCUAGGUCUCGUUGGGAACCGGGGCGCGCCUCCCCGUUAUCCGUUUCAUGCUCUUCGAGGUCAGAUAUGCCGCCCUGGAAUGGGCAGGUCCUCGCGAUUAUCUGCAAGCAAGCAGUCUGUCACUUUCGUCUACAAUAUAUACUUGGACGACGGAAAGGAAAAACGCAACCGUGCGAGGCGAGACAUGACGGCACUGUCUGCACAGCUGGUCCAAACUUUCUCCCCCAUUGAACUUGAGGCGAUGACCAGCGACAGGAACUUAACCCCCACGCCACUGUGCCACCAAGCGCGCUGUUCAUGGAUCGGAACCGGCAGCUGGAAAUUAAGCCGAGAGCCCGCUGCUUGAAAUGGUGCCGUGGCAGUGACGGCAUGCCCGGAUCAAUGCACAAAGCCGCAUCGUCGUGGGAACCCCUCGACAGAGCUCAUUGUCGCUGGCCCAACCCAACGCAUGCAAGCGCGGUGCCGCGAUCAACAGGGAGCUCGAUAGCGCUUAACGCGGGUCGUGCUUUGUAGGCGCACGCGCAUGUCAUCUCGAGUGCGCGAGGAGGCCACGAGAUGGCACGUGGGGGGUGACAUGAACGGACUCGCGUGGUUGGUCCCGAUCGAUUGAUGGGCCAUCAGGCCGGGCCCUGCUGCUAAGCUAAGCUAGCUCACCGAGAGGGACGCCGCGCCAUGCCUGUCGUGAUCGCCUUAUCCGUUCGAUGUAGGCGAUCACUGUUCAGGCAAUCAGUUUGGGCCGGACAAGCAAAGGGACUUGGUAAGCAAAGUGUUAAAUUUUCAAUGAGUGCGCGCGUGCUUGCACGGGUUGUGGGAUUAAAUUGCGGGUCGCGAGGUGCAGUAGCAGGCCGACAGUACAUGUAUUAGUCAUGUCCCUGUCUUUGGUCCUGGACCGAAUUGGAAUGAGACAUGAUGCUUCAUCUACAUGGGCAGAUUCUUGCGGCAGUUGAUUAGACCAAGCCUGCGCUACCGCCCUGAAGUACAAAGUGCCAUGUGAUCGGCAAUGCAGUUGCAAUAUCUUUGUUGAGUUAAAACAGUGUUCGGCCUACUGUUUACUUUGGAAAAAGAAAAGGAUUCAUGAUGUGACCAACAAAAACGAUCGGUAUCCUGUGUAUAUGCAACAUCAAUUCGCUCAUAUCACUCCAUUGGGACCUGUUCUUGGAGUUAACAAUAUUCAAUUUAUUUUUCAGAUAACCAGCACAAUCUUCUUCAGAGGUGUCCCGUUGGAAUGCAUUUGCUGACGAUCUCUUCUCCAUUACUGCUGAAUUGGUACGCAUUCAGUAACUCGUAAUGUGAAUUCUGGUUCUGACAGUACCCUGUUCAAAUCUGAAACUCUAAAAUUGACCGUAGGGACUACAUUACACAGUUACGUACAUAGACAUAACACCACUGGGGUAGCUAGUAAUCACGCUGCCGAAUUUUGGCACAACACGCACAUAACAGACGCCUAGAGAAAAAGAGAUACUCUGCUAAAGAAAAUUCAUAUACAACAAAGACAUUGCGCACCACCCUUCAGGAACAGCUUCUAACUGGUCAGAGACCGCAUGUUCAUCUGCAUUAGUUUGCUCGUCAAAAACAGACCAGUCUAGAAUAGGACUUGCGGGACGAUGUUCUUCUUUGCCUUGCACCACAGUGGCUAUGCCAUUAUUCUCGGAUUGUGGAUUUUACUGAUCCUCAGCACUGUUUUGUUGGAAGUUGGUACCGUACUUUUUUCCAAACCUCGUUGAAACUCCAGGAACUGUAUAGCUUCCUGGAGUUGUCCUCACCCUUUUCGUUCCACCUAGAGGUAUCUUGGUCUUCUUCUUGGUUGGUCGACCCUACUUAUUAUUGUUGUCAGUUUCCUAACACACAAGGGACAAUCUGUUAUUAGAACUUGAAUGGAAAUAAGUAUCAGAAUAUAUAUCGGAUAUCGUGAUGUAAAAAACUCCAACCAAUUGAGAAGAGACCUUUUCUAAGCUAGUAUUAACACAUUCAUCAUCGUCUUCCUAGCCCUCUUAAGAUACAGUGCAUGAUCUGUUACUUGCCUUUAGGAACAACUUGUAACUGGUCAGAGACUGCAUGUUCAUCUACAUUAUUUUGUCAUAAAAAACAGACCAAUCCAGAACAAGACUUGCGGGACAAUGUUCUUCUUUGCCUUGCACCACAGUGGCUAUGCCAUUGUUCUCAGGUUGUGGAUUUAACUGAUCCUCAGCACUGUCCUGUUGGAAGUUGGUGCUGUACUUUUUUCCAGACCUUGUUGAAACUCCAGAAACUGUAUAGCUUCCUGGAGUUGCCCUCACCCUUUUCGUUCCACCUAGAGGCAUCUUGGUUUUCUUCUUGGUUGGUCGACCCUACUUGUUAUUGUUGUCAGUUUCCUAACACACAAGGGACAAUCUGUUAUUAGAACUUGAAUGAAAAUAAGUAUUAGAAUAUAUAUCGGAUAGCGUGAUGUAAAAAACCCCAACCAAGAUGAGAAGAGACCUUUUCUAAGCUAGUAUUAACACAUUCAUCAUCGUCUUCCUGGCCCUCUUCAGAUACGGGAAGAUAUUCGGAUGAAUCUGACCCCUCACCAGGAACAUUCUUGUGUGUUUGCUUAUUCGGAUUCUAAGAACUUGCAUUACGAAGAGAAGAGGCCAUGGUAUGGAUACCGAGGGCUUCCAUCUUCCUGUUGUUCUCCUCGAUUUGCAAGGCUAGUAGCCUUUCAUGUACCCUAUUUGUAAACAAAUUUUAGUCGAAUUGAUCCCUAAACCCUAAACCUAAACCCUAAACCCUAAAUCCUAUCUAGUAGAAGGCCUACCUAGAGAACUAGAAGGUGUUUUAGUGCUACACAGGGGAAGUAAAUUUGAAGAACAAAACCCUAAACCCUAAAAGGAGAAGCAAUCGACAGAACUUGGGCUCGGGGGCCAAAGGCGUGUUGCGGGCCGUUUAGGCAUCGUCGAUGGGUGCCUUAGGCGGGGUGGACGUCGUGGUCAUCAUCGUGUCUCCGGUGCGGCUCGACGUAGUGGUGUGGCUCCUACGUCUCCGUCUCCGGUGGGGUGGACGUCGUAGGUCACGGCUCCUCCAUCUCCAUUGAAUGUCGCGCUUCUGGGUUGCGGCUGACUGGAUCUGGGCGGUCGAGGAGUGGAUCUGGGCGGCGGCGUAGUGGUUGUAUGCGAGGGUGGCAGCGGAGUGGCUCUAGGAGGGCGGCGGCGGAGGGGAUGCAGGAGGAGGUGCGACGGCGGAGUGGAUAUAGAGCGGGCAGAAACAAAAUGAGGUGGCUGUGGCUAGGUCUCGGCCUGAUGGGAGGGGAUUCACAAAUAUAUAGUCCUCGGUAAAGUUAACGUUUUGUCCCUAGUCUACUGUUUCAGGAGCCAUCAAGCUGGAGGGCAAUAGGGGGUCUUCGCAGCCACCAAAAUUUGGGCGUGGGAUGCAGGCGAGAAGCGCGCCGAUGGCAGAAGCCUUAGGUGGGAGCUGGAAAACUAUUUUCUUUUUUUCUCAGAAUAAAACUAAAUGGUUUUUUUCUUUUUUGUGGUUGUACUAUUGAAAUGUAAAAUGAUAUUGUUUGUACGAAUUUGAUAUCAAUUUCUAUGUGUUUGGGAUACAAAGUAUUUUUUCUGUAUAAUGAUAUUUUUGUGGUAGUAUAUUUUUAUGGUAGUAUACUAGUUUACAAUGGUGUUUUUUAGUACUUGUAACCUUCUUUGAUAUAUCAAGGAUAAAUUAUAGACUCAUUAGAUGUGAAAGAUGAAAACCUCCUCUGAUGUAGACAUUAAAUGUGCAAGAUGAUAAUAUUUGAGCUCUCAAAUUAUAGGGAGACAUACAUGAUCUCAUCCUCUGAUGUAGACAUUAAAUGUGCAAGAUGAUAAUAUUUGAGCUCUCAAAUUAUAGGGAGACAUACAUGAUCUCUUAUUUGUAGCUAUACACAUACACAUUGUACCUAAAUAUAAUGUGUGUGCAUGAAUGAAUUUAAACACUUAAUAAGUUGAUUAGCACUUCAUAAUAUCACGUACAAUGUGUGCAUGAAUGAGUUGAUUAGCACUUCAUAUACAUGCAUAUGCUUGGAUUACUUCAUAAUGCUUUGUUAUUAUAUAACAAUACACACAUAUAUAGCUAUGCACUUCAUAAGAUCAUAUGCAUGCUUGGUUAUAACCACAUAGUUAUGCACUUCAAUUCAUAAGAUCAUAUACAUACUACAGAUACCGGGUGAGUUGAUUUGCGACAAAUUGCUAUUUUGUUAUGGUCAGAUUUGCAGUCUGUCUGACAAUUUGCUAUUUUAUUGUGGUUGCAAGGAGGGUGGAUGUAGGUUUUGGGUGUGGUUGGAUCCCAAGCCAACAGAUCAUCAGAUUGAGAUCCUUGUUGAUUUGCGAGAUGCAGUGAAGUCUCUGAGUAGAAAGAACCGAGGUCUGGAGGUGGAGAAGAAUGAACUGAAGCUUUUGCUGCAUGAAGCAGAGGUAAAGCAUGCUAAACUGGUGAAGGAGGAGGAGGCUAGGGCAGCAGCCAAGGAGCAUGAGGCCAGGGUAGCAACCAAGGAGAAGGAGGCUAAGCAACUUCAAACUGCAGUCAGAGUAAUUAAGUGUUGUGGAUCAAUGAUCCUUGUUGCUUUGUUUUUGGCAUUCCUGGUGGCUAUGUUCAGUUCAGGUGCCGAGCCAUAGAAGCUGCAACUACAGUUGUAGUGAUUUAGCUUAGUUGCCACUUCUGGUUGUUAACUGUAGUGAAUUAGCUUAGUUGUAUGAAUGUAUGAACUGGUGCUUAGUUGUAUGAAUUAGCCGAGUGGAUUAGCUUAGUUGUCUGAAUGUAUGAACGGGUGCUUGGUAUGAAUGUAUGAAUUGGUUGGCUUAUUUCUGAAAAUGAGCUUAGUUGUCUGAAUGUAUCAAAUGUGUUGGCAACAUCACAGACUUCACAUAAUGUGUGAACUGUUUCACAGAAUUUUUAUAGAAUGUUGAAUUGGUUCACAUAAUGUAUAUUACAUUUCCAUAACAUCAAAAGCCAAAAAAAGACAAUUACAAAUUCAAUGACGGCUUUAACCUAAUCAUCAUCAUUACAUUUCAUGGGAUCUCUAUCAUUCUCACUAAAAUACUCUAAGACAGUGUCAUCUUCACCAUCUUCAUCGUCACUGGCUUCAGCAAUGUCUUCUUCCCUUCUAUUGAUAAGAACUUGUAAGUUACCAGCAACACUUACUAUUUCUCCAUCUACACGCCGGUACACUGGUGUAGGCUCAUCUAAGCCAUCAUCAUCAAUUGGUUCCCCUUCAUUUUGUACCCCAAGUUCAUUAUCAGAACCGGUCUCAUCUUGGUGCACAUUGGUCAAUUCUGUUUCAUUGACAUCGUACAUGCUCCUUUGUUCAAAUUUUUGCACAACAUUUUGGCCAAACAGAUUUUCCUCUACGUAGAAGACCUUUCUUGAUUGAGUUGCUAAUAUAAAUGGAUCUGACUUGUACCAAAACCUCUCAAUAUUGAUGGAUCUAAAAUGGUCGUCUUCUUUAAUGGCUCUAGCUUUGCCAUCUCGACUGAACCAUUCACACCGAAAAAGUACCACUGUUCGAUGGAAUUCCAAAUUGGAGUUGUAGUUUAACUCAAUUAUCUCUGUGAGCUGACCAUAAAAUUCAGUGAACACCCCGUUAUGUGAUCCAUCCACUAGCACACCACUAUUUUGUGUUUGCCUUUGUCUCUCACGAUCGAUAGUGUUGUACCGAACACCACUGACACUGCAUGAUGCCCAUAAUUUCACUCUAAGGUCAGGACGACAUGAUAAUGCUUAUAGCCCUUCACUAACCUCUUCUCGUUUAUUCUUCCACAACGUCUUGAUCUAAAAUAGAAAAAUAGUGAAAAUUUGAAAUAUAUGAAAAUAACCUCUAAAGGAUGACAUGUGAGUUUAAAAAUACUUCUGGAACAACUUACAUGACUCCUAAACCAAGCAGGAAAUUCAUUUUCCAACCUUUUCUCAACAUCAUGGGUACCUUCUUUCUGUAACUCUUCUAUAAACAUAUUGUACACACAGUACAUAAUAUGUAUUGGUCAUGCAUGUUAAACAAAAAACAAUGCUGUAAUUAGCCAUGCAUGUUAUACAAAAAAUACUCACCCCAAAUAUGGCUCUACUCAUCACAGUUGUUUAGCACAUACCAACAAAGCUUGUCAAAUUCUUUGUCCUCAAGAUAUGUCUGCCUGUUGGCUCCCAAGAGUUUAACACCAUGCUGAAAAAUAGAGAGGUCAGCAUGUGAUGCUCCCACCCCUUUGUCAUCAUCCCGAUUGAAUCUAGUGACAACAUCUUCCAUGUACCUUGAACAAAAGGUCAGGGCCUCAUUAGCUAGGUAUGCCUCAGCGAUGGAUCCUUCAGGUCUAGCCCUAUUCCUCACAUACCCCUUCAAAGUGCCCAUUUGACGUUCGAUCGGGUACAUCCAUCCAUAUUGCACAGGACCUCUUAGAAGUGCUUCAUCAGGUAGAUGGACAGCCAAGUGGACCAUCACAUCAAAAAAUGCAGGAGGGAAUAUUUUCUCCAGCUUGCAUAGGAUCACAAGAAUUUCUGCUUUCAGAUGUUUGAUUACAUCAACCUUUACCUUCCUACUGCAAAUCUCCUGGAAAAAUUUACCCAACUCUGCAACUGCUUCAUAUAUGUCCUUGUGCACUAGUCCCCAAAGACUGAUAGGUAAAAUUCUUUGAAGCAAGACGUGUCAAUCAUGGGUUUUGAGGCCCUGCACCUUGGAAUCAUCUGCACUAAUGCAUCUUGUUAGGCUGGAAGCGUAUCCAUAUGGAAACCAAAUACUUUUUAGAAAUCCACAAAAUGCAACCCUUUCUUCUUUCUUCAAGGCAUACCAUGCUACUGACAUGGAAACUGAAUUGCCAUCAUCUUGUUCUAAAUGCAAUUCAAGUCGUAUGUCUAUAUCCUGCAAAUCAAGUCUCGCAUUAAUUGUAUCCUUAUUCUUGCCCUCAAGACGGAGUAUUAUGCCCAGAAGGGCAUCACAUAUAUUCUUCUCUAUAUGCAUCAUAACAAGAUUAUGUGGCAGCUUCAAGUGUUUCCAAUAAGAUAGUUUCCAUAGAGCGGACUUGCGGCUAAACAAUUUUGGCUCAUCAUCCUUCUGUCCACGCUUCCUUUUCUUGCUACAUUCAGCCUUACCAGGGCUCACAUCUUUUACCUUCUCUAGACACUCCAAUGUCUCCUCCAUACUCAACUUUCGUGGCUCAACCCGGUUUUCACGAUGUCCAUCAAAGGCCAAGCUUCUUCACCACUUGUGAGUUUUUGGAAGGUAGUGACGGUGUCCAAUGUAACAUAUCUUUUUCCUAAGACUCCUUGACAAUGGAUCUCUGUUGCAAUAAAUACAUGCAUAGUAACCUUUAGUAAUUCACCCUGACAAUACACCCAAAGCUAGAUAAUCAUGGAUGCACCAUUGUACUGCAGCGCGAAGGUCAAACUUUGAACUAGUGAAUGCAUCAUAAGUUCUGACACCCUCCCAGAGUUUUAACAAAUCCUCAAUAAGAGGUUCUAAGAAUAUGUCAACAUAAAAUUCCCUAUUUAACACUGGGAAAAUGAGUUGUUCCUUUCUUGGCCCUAAAAUUUUCUUCAUUCUUUAUUUGACACUCACUUCAACUUUCAUCCCUAAUAUGACAUUGUCGUUCGUUUCGUUAGCUUCUGCCGUUAGGGACCCUGGGACACGCUGUCAGAUAUUUUGUUUGGGGUCAAAAUUACCCUCCGUCACUGACUGACUCACCUGUGCCUCUCUCCUAUGCGUGCUCUGCUCGAUUUAGGGCCUCAAACCCUAGACUCAGUCGGCGGCAGACGGCGAUAUUUGUGGCGGCAGCCAGCCGUUGACAGCGAGAUGGAAGGCGACCCGGCGGGGGAGGAUUUGGACUUAGCCGGCAGCCCCCUCACGCGGGGUGUGAAGGCGGUCGCGAGGUCCUCCAGGCGGCGCACGCAGGCGGCAGCGGCGAGCUCCCCCAGGCGACACGUGCAGGCGGCAGCGGCGAGCCUCCCCCCCGGUGGGUUGCACAGGUGGCGGCGACAGCGAGCCCCUUCGGGGUGGUUGCGCAGGUGGCGGCGAGUCCCCUCCCCCCCUCAUGGGCGGGUUGCGCAGGCGGCGGCAGCGAGCCCCCCCGAGCUGGUUGCGCAAGGAGCACGCUCGGGUAAUUUGCAUGCUUGUUUCCAUCCAUUCCAAUGGCCAUCAUUCAAUACAAAUGCAAGUAUGCGUUGCAAUUGCAAACAUUGAAUCACACGAACAGAGGUGGCCAGAGGAUAGAUGGGAAUGGCAAUCAUCUCACUCUCCUGGGUUUCCUGGAGAAGGCAUUCAGGCUUGAGAAGAACAUUUGUUCACUGAUUUAUUGACAUGUAUUCAAAAUGCAGGGAGCACGCUCGGGUAGGCUUCGGUGGGCAAUGGAGGGUCUGAUGCAGGGGGAACAGAGCCAGAUUGGCUCCUUGAAGGGUGAGUGCUUAAUGCCUUCGAUUCAUCUAAGCAGUGCAAAAGUGAUGUGCAAGUAGUAGUGUUGAUUCCUUAGAUUGUUCUUUUCGUUUGUAGGAUGGAUCCAGAUUCAAUAUAUUUGCUAGAAAUUAGAUUGUUUGGCAAAAAAAAGAGAGUUAGAAAGGAUUUUAGAUGUUUCUGUUUUGAUGUGACCAUUGAUUCAGAUUUGACAAACUAUAAGGAUUUACUUGAAGAGAUUGCAGAGAAGUACCCGCCAGGUUAUCUAGAACUUGCUCAUCUUCAGUACUAUGACCAUGAUAUGAAAGAAUUCUUUGAAGUUCAUUCUGGUCAAGAUUUGUUGUCUAUGUUUGAGAAAAAUUCAAAGACAAAGGUUAUCGACAUGUUCAUUUCUUACUGUGAUCCCUCUGAACCGUUUGAGCCCAUCAAAGAGUGGCAUAGUGAUGUGCAAAUGCAGGCUGCUGCCAAGAAUAUUGCAGAAGAUGAGGAUAGGUACCUUUGCAAACUCGUACCAGAGAACGAGCAUGUAGGUGUUGAUGAGGAGGUCAUGUACUUAAAGAAGACACCUUGUGAAGAUAGAAAUAUGGCUAUGAUUGUGCAUAAGGAUCAGGACAAAGAAAAGGAUGACAGUGAGGAUGAGGAUGAGGAUGAAUUGGUCAUUGAAUCAGGGACUAAAUUAGAGAAUGACUAAGAGUUUGUAGGACAUAAGGCAGAACAUAUUCCAAACAAGGAAUAUAAUAAAGAAGACCCUCCAAUGGUAGUUGGCUCAACAUAUCCUAGAAUGGCAGAUUGUAUUAUCUCAGCAUGCAAUCAAACAUGAAUUUGAAUACAACACAGAGAAGAGUGCACCGUAUAGGUUUGGAGCCUAUUGUUCAAGAUGGGAGGAAGAUAAUUGCCCAUGGAGACUACAUGCUUCUACAACAGAUGAUAUGUGCAUUGUAGUGGUAAUUAUUCAGCAUAAAUAAUUUCUAUUUUUUCCCUAAAUAUUUAUUCUGUUAUGUUGGUGUAGCUAAACAGUGAUAUUAAUAUUUUGUAGGUGAAGAAGAACCCUUAUGCUCAUCAGUGCUCUAGUACAAGGAGGAAGAAGAAGGUCAAGAAUGCCACUAAGCAUUGGGUAUGUGCUAAAGUUAAGGACUAGCUCAUUGAGAAUGGAUCACUUACUGCAAUGGUGUUGAAAAAGAAGCUGAAAGAACACUACAAGGUGAGUGUCCACUACAAGAGGGUGUAGAUGGGUAAAGAGCUAGCAUUGAGGUAGAUUUAUGGUGACUGGGACAACAGCUUCGACAAUUUGUAUAGGUUUAAGGCACAAGUUAGAAGCACUUGCCCUGGUAGCCUAGUAGUGAUAGAUCAUCACACAAUAAAUGGGAAGAUCAGAUUUAAAAGUUGUUUCUUUGCCUUGAAACUAUGCAUUGAUGGGUUCAUAAGUAGUUGUAGGCCAUACUUAGCAAUAGAUAGCACUUUCCGGACAGGCAAGUUUAUGGGGUAGUUAGCUAGUGCUUCAGCUAUUGAUGGUCACAAUUGGUUACUUCCUGCUUGUUUUGGAGUUUUUGAUUCUAAAACAAAUGAUAAUUGGAAAUGGUUCAUGGAGAGAGUUAGAGAGGCCAUAGGAUCACCAAGGGGUUUAACCAUAUGCACUGAUGUUGGCCAAGCAGCGAUGUCAGGGGUAGGUGAUGUGUUCCUAGAGGAUGAAUAUAGGGAAUGUAUGUUUCACUUGGUGUCCAAUUUUAAGAAAAAGUUUCAUGGCAAGGUUUUUGAUGACCACCUUUGGGCAGCAGCAUACUCAUGGAACCCAUAUUUGUUUGAGAAACAUUGGGCUGCAAUGGAGGCAGCAAAGCCAAAUGCUACUAAUUACCUUAGGAAGUGGCACACUAGGCUGUGGAUAAGGAGUCAGUUCUCAACCAUUUCCAAGAUUGAUUAUGUAACCAACAACUUAGCUGAGUGCUUCAACAAUUGGAUUAAGCACCACAAGUCCUUAAAGUUGGAUGACUUAAUGGACACAUUAAGGCAAAUGCUUAUGAUCAAGUGGAACCAAAGGAGAAAAAUAGCAAUGAAGUUAGAUGGCUUAAUUCUGGCCCACAUAAUUAAAAAGCUGAAUGAAAUGAUUAGAGAAUUAAACUUGGAGGUGCUUGAAUGCUCAGAAGAAGUUGCUGAAGUUACAACAUUGAGGGUACUGGCUUUAGGUUUGUUGUCAACUUGCAAGAUAAGACAUAUUCAUAUAGACAGUGGUACGUUUCUGGUAUUCCUUACAAACAUGCAGUAGCAUUUAUCACAUCACUUUCACAAUGCUCCUAUAGAAGCAUGUAGACAUGUAUUACUUUAUUGACAAGUUUAGAGCAGCAUAUCAACACUUAAUUCUUGCUAUGACUGACAAACGCCAGUGGCAUAAAUCUACACAUGGAUUUUUCAUGCAUCCACCUCUAUUGAAAGCAACUGUUGGUAGGCCAAAAACUGAGAGGUACAAAGGCUGUAGUGAGAAUAAGAGGAAAAAAGGCCAGCACCAGUGCCCUAUUUGUAUAGGCUAUGGGUAUCAUUGGCACAACUGCAAGAAAGGUAAUCCAGAGGACAUUGCUGCUAUGAUGGCUAUGAGGUACUAUACAUGCAAACUAUUUUAUUGUUCAUUGCAUUUUUCUUUUGGCAUAAUAUACAUUCUAACUACUUUCUUCUUUAUCAUGUAGAGGACCACCUAAGAAGAAGGCAAAGAAAACCAAAACAGCAGAGUCAUGUAUUGUGCCUUUGGACAAUGAAGCACCAGCUACUUCUAUGUCUUUUCCACCAAGGUUAGCUCAUGAUUUUGUCACUUUUUUUCCACAACAACCUGCAAGUUUUGAAGCACUUUACUUUUGCUAUGUUAGCCAAAAUUUGGAGACAAGUACGAAGAGUAAGGAUAACCAACUCAUUUCUAGUAUUGAGCAUCAAAAAGCGAGGAGAUUACAUCCAAGAAAAAGGCAAGUAAGGGCAAAUCUAGUUUUGGAGCAUCAAAAUUGUAAUACAUAGAUCUAAAAAAAAGGUCAUACUGCUAUUGCUAUUUAUAUUGUUAUAUUGUUGUCUCUUGUUCAAAUCUAGUUCUGCCAUACACAGGUCAAUAUCAGAUUCAAAUGAACCUGCGCCUAGUGCUGCUCUAGUCAAGGCAAAGAGCAAAAGGAAAAAGGAGAAAACUACCAUUCCUAUGCUGCCACUUGACAACCCUGCAAUGGGCACAAGAAACAAAAGGGUAGAUCCCGUUAGUCUUGCAAUGAACACAAGGAGCAAAAGAAGGCUCACCCUGUAAUCCUCGUGUAUCUGUGAAUUUGGACUCCGCUUUGUGUGUGAACUUGCAUGUAUCCGUGAACCUUUGUGUGUAAACUUGCAUGUGAAUUUAGACUCCUGUAACUUGCAUGUAUCUAUGAACCGCUUUAUGUUUGAAGUUAAUGCGGUGCCAGCCUGUGAACUUGUUGUAUCAUGUGCCAUCAUCAUGCUGUGUAAAUAUUGUAAAAAAUAUUGUAUAAAUGUGUUAGAAAUCAUGUUGUAUCAUAUCUGUGACACUGCUGUAUCAUCCCAACAUCUGCACCAGCCAGCAAAAAUGAGAAAAAAAACGACGGCCAGCCUGCAUGCGCCGCACGUCUAGCAAAAAUGAGAAAAAAAAGGCAGCCAGCGGUCCGCACGUCUGCAUCCGCUGCAUGCAUGUGCCCAACGCCUAGCGUUUGCAUGCGCCUAGGGGCAAAAGGGUCUUUUUAAGAGCCACUUGACGCUGUUAGCUAAUGGAAUGGACUGUUGUGUCAUAUUAGGGAUGAAAGUUCAAGUGAGUGUCAAAUAAGGAAGGGAGAAAAUUUCAAGACCAACAAAGGAACGGGUCAUUUUCCCAGUGUCAAAUAGGGAAUUCUCUCAUAUGUGUUGGAUACAUCGGUGCAUGACCAUGGAGGUAGAUUAAAUACCUUAAAAGUACUGGCUACAUGCUAAGUUGUGUUCAUGUUCCCGAAUGGAUUGAACCCACUAGUAGCUAAACCAAGACUUAGGUUUCUUGCAUCUUCAACAAAGCUUGGAUACACAUCAUCAAAGUCUUUCCAGGCGUCGCUAUCGGCUGGAUGGCUCAUUUCAUUGUCCACAGGAACCCACUGAUCCUUGUGCCACCGGAUCUCCUCAGAUGUUGCUUUGUUUGCAAACAUCCUCUUCAACCUGGGUAUAAGAGGAAAAUAUCUCAAAAUCUUUUUAGGAAGCCGUUUGGCACCAUCUACAUCUACCCACCUAGAUUCCUUGCAUUUUGGGCAGUUUUCCAGAUUAGCAAGAUCCUUCCAAAAUAACACACAAUUAUUGUCACAAACAUGGAUUAACUCAUAUCCAAGGCCUAAUUCUUUGAGAUACUUCUGUGCUUUGUCAUAUGAAUCUGGAAGAUCACAAUUAGGGAAUGACCUUGACAAUAACUUCAAUAUUGCACUGAAUGUUGUGUUGCUGAUCCUAUAGACUGACUUGAUAUGUAGCAUUCUGACUAGAAAAGAGAACCUAGACUGAAUAGAACCUGGGCAAAGAGCAUGUUUUGCAUCUUCAAGAACUUUUACAAACAUAGGCUGUUGUCCAUCUUCUUCUGCAACUGUAUAUAGGUAUGCAAGGAUCUCUGUCGUACCCUCAUCUUCAUUGUCGGGCUCAUCCACAUCCAACACAUCACCUAGAUGACCAGGUUCAUUUGCAUCCUCUACAUAUUCCACAAUCUCAGCAACAACAACUUCUCCAUGGUGUACCCAUCGAGUAUAUGUAGCUGACAUCCCAAAGAGAUAGAUAUGGUCAUGCACAUCAUUCUGACUCUGUGAAAACUGAUUCAGACAAUUGCAACAUGGGCAAAGUAUAGCAUCGUCCUCGUGGAAUCUAUCUCGAACCAAAGACAUAAACUGAUCAACACCGUCGGUGAAGGCAUCGCUGAACCGAGUAGCAUGAAUCAACGUUCUGUCCAUCUACUGAAUACAACAACAAUUACCUCUGAUUAGCCAUGUCUAAACAGCUAUGAAAAGCUAUGAAUUGCAGGCAAUGGGAGAGGACAACACCUCUAAGUAGCUGAAGUAGCCGCCCUAGCACCAACUCGUCGCCGAUGUAGACACCCGCAGCUGGCCGCCGCUGCAGCUGACGGAGCUGGCAGCCGGAGCAGGCAACAACAGAUGCCCGUCGAAGCAGGCUGCAAUACCUACCCACCGGAGCAGCGAAACCGCAACAGCUGCCCGCUGAAGCAGCUACGCCGCAGUAGGUGCCUGCCGAAGCAGCGCACUACGCCGGAGCAGCUGCCCGCUAGUGCAUCCCACAGCAGCUCACCGCUGGAGCAGCUAGGCCGCAACAGCUUGUAGCCGGAGUGGUUCACCGGAGCUGCCCAAUGGAGAGGUCUGCGGAGCACCUGCUCCCAGCCCCUGCACGAACUCACGAUUGAAUCUAGGUGGCAGCAUGCAGGCAUGGUGAAAGGGUCAUAUGAAUGAUAUAAAAUUCCAAUAAGAAAAAUAAUGUUCACAUCUCUUAAUACGUCCAAACUUGUAUUCUAAUGGUAAGCCAACUCCGUUGUGAACUAGCAGGUGCUGGGUUCACACAACUAGCAGGUGCCGGGUUCGAUUCCCCAGGCACCGCACAUUUUUUUUAUAAAUCCCAACGCUUCGAACUCUUUACACGAUCCUUUAAUCUGCCUAUAGGCAGAGCACUAUCCACCAGUAGUCUCGGACCAAAUCCCGCCCAUAACGUAAGCGAGCGGUAAGUACAAAAAAUAGUUGUUGCGACUGGUGUUAAACUGACUUGGUCCUUAAGCAGCUGAGAGCGAGCACUCUACCAAAAGUACGUGCCGAAGCACCUGCAACGUACAAGUGCGCCACUUGCUCCUCAGUAACAAACAAGGCACCCACCAUAGGUACGGGGUAUAGAGAGAGUCCAACAUGCUCUCUCCUGGCAAGGCACUCCUCGGUACCACGGCUCGCUCCUGCCAAAACACAUCAAGGAUUCCCACUCACCCAAAACACAUGCGAGAAUGUUCAAAGAAUCCCAUCACCAAAUUCAUGGCAAAUACGCAUCCAUAACUCAAAAGUAUGUAUAUGGAUAUAAGAGCAGUGGACUAGCCAGGUCUUCCGGAUCGUAGCUCGGAUCUAAACAGAACGAGAUACGACGCAAAGUAAAUUAAACGGCAUUGCAUCUAGACAAAACCCUUCAAGGAAAUCAAAUUUAGAAGAUCCAAAUAACACCAAAGUAGCUACAAACAGUACGGGCUCAAUUUUACGAAGUUAAUGCAACUGGUUUCAUAUUUUUCGGAGUUAAAAUGAAUUUGUUAUGAAUUUUUAAAGAUUAAAUAAUUUAUUUAAUUAUUUAAAUAAUUUUAGAAAACAUUUAUUAUUAAAGUGACACGUGUUAGCAACUGAUUGGGCCACGUGGCAGCACGAGGGUGUGCCACGUGUCCGCUAACGUCAGCGUUGAUCGAUCAAUGGUCAGCUAGGUCCCACCGGUUAGUGGGUCCCACGGGUCAGUGGGCUCCACAUAUGGGCUCGGGCCCUAGGACAUGUUAGUGCCACGUGGAGUGCUUUAUUGACGUGGCAGAGCCACAUAGAUGCCCUCGUGGCAGCCACGGGGCGUGCGGCGGCGGCACGGCGUGGCGGUGACCUGCAACGUCGUGGUGCAGCGAGGCCAGCACGCGGCGGUAGUGGGCGGUGGUGAGCAUGGCACGGCGCGGCGCUACACGUGCGCGGGCAUAGGGCAAACCCCGACCGCGGCGGCGCGCGGGGGCCCCAUAGUCCGAACCCGUGGCGGCCGGUGGCGAGGCAAGGCGGCGGCCCCUACAAGCAACGGCAGCCAGUGGCUCGAAGGCCGGGCAACACUAGGUGGCGAGGAGAGGCCCCGAGCGGCACUAUUUACAGCGGCGGAGCGCGGGCUAAGGUUUGGGGAAGGUGCGACGGUGCGCUCAGGUUUGGGGCGCGGCACCGGCGAUGUGGACGGGCGGGAUGGGCGGCAGCGCGGUGCGAGCAGUGUGGAGCUUAUCCGAGGCCGCCAACGCAAAAGGGAAAAGGUGCGGGUGAGGUCAUGGGCGCACGGACGAGUGCGGUAGUGCGCUCCAGCGCGGAUGGUGAGGCAUGUGGCGUCCCAUCAGCGCGAACGUGUGGUGCGCGUGAGCGUAUGGGCACGGGGAGUAAGAAGCACAGGAGCGGGACACGCUGACAAGCGGGCUCGAGCGGCAGCGAGAGAGAAAGAGAGAGCGGGCGCGCGCGCGAGCGCGCGGGAUGGGCCGACGUGCGGCCUGCUGGGCUGGCGCGGGACGGCAACGGUGCGAGCGCGCGCGGGCUAGGCCGAAGGGGCGAAGGUGACGGCGAGCGGUGGUUGGCGGGCCAGGCCGAAGGGGUUAGCGGGCCAGCAGGUUAGGUAGGUUAGCUAGAUUUGUUUAUUUUUAGAUAUAGGUUUAGAUUUAGUAAACAUGAGAUCCAAAUAAAAUCCAAAAAGAUCUAACUCAAUCCACGCAAAUUUUUUAAAUGGAAUUUAGGGAUGUGAAGGGAAUUUAACUACCGUUUUCAAACGAGCAGAACUUAGACUGUUAUUAGGCCGUAAUGUGGAGAAACACAACUAGCCCGAUUGGCGCGCAGGGAUGUGCCAAGGAGGCGCGCGAGAUUGGGCGGCCCUCAGGUCGUAAUGUGGAGGUCGCACCACCCACGCCACGUUCCGUUCCAUGGGGAAGACCGACCUCAGCACGGACGCGUCAUCGUCGUCAGCCGCUCGCCACGAGGCGUACGGCUGCGGCAGGAGCCAAGAAAGGAUCAGCAGGAGAAGGGAAGAGAGGGAGCGGGAGCUCGGAGGCCAUCGCUGCGGAGGACGGGAGGAGGCUGCGGCGUGCGGGACAUGCCGUGCCGGUGCCGGCUUGCGGAGGAAGAAGAUUUAAGCCAUCGUGGGCUGUAGUUGACCCAUGUCUUGCUCAAAUUGGGCUGUAGUACCCGACUGGGCCAAACCUCUCUCUCUCUUCUCGCACUCCUCUUUAGGUCCACGGCCCGGGCACUCUUCUUCCUCCUCAAGGCGGCAUCGGACACCGCCAGUCCGGCACGGCAGCGACACCACGGCUCCCCGCCGAUCCCCCACCCUCGCACCUGCAGCCUCCCCGCGGAGAUGGCCUCUAAGCUCCCGCUCUCUCUUCUCGCACUCCUCUUCCUCGUUUCUCUACCGCCGCUAUGCUCCUCGUGGCGACCGGCCGACGACGACGACGCGUCGGUGUCGAGGUCGGUCUUCCCCAUGGACGGCGACGUGGCGUGGGUGGUGCAGGUCAGCGACCUCCACAUCAGCGCGUACAGCACUGAGCGUGCCGCUGACCUCGCGCUGCUCGGCACCGCCCUGCGCGCCAUCCGGCCUCACCUUCUCCUCGUCACCGGUGACAUCACUGGUGAGCCCUCUGCUCUCAUCUUUCUGGAUCUGAAUUUUGCCGCGUGAAGUGGAUUCUGUAACUUUGGGCAAUAUGAAUACAUUUCUGGCCUAGGAUAAUGCUAUUAUACAGGGAGCUAUCACUUGUUUGGCUAUAUGCAGGAACUACAUAUAUAAAUGUACCUGUGCAAAUACUCAAUUAAACAAAAAUAGAUGGGAGCUUGAAUAGACAUGGUAUGAUUGUAGCUUCGGCUGUCCUAGUUACUUAUGUUAUGAUCACAUUGCGAACUCUCCCUAACAGAACGCUAACAUAAUAAACUUUCCCUAACAGUACUGCUCUUAAAGGCAUACUAUGCAUUUAAUCAUCAAAAUGUAUGGCUAACAAGACCAAAUGGUACGUUAUAGCAACUAUAGGUUAUUCCUUGCUAGUGUAGUGACAGUUCCAUUAGUUUAUGGUGAGAAAAAUGAUUUCAGAAAGUAAAAAUGGACCAAAUGUAUUUAAAACGUACCGAAUUGGCAUAGCAUCCAGAAACCUGUAGUACAAAAUAUUUAAAAAAUUAUAAACUUUAAUAACUCGAGUUAUUACUCCUGCAUCUUUUAAGAGAACCAAGUCCAAUUUGUUUCCUGCUAAGAGCUAACAACCACGUAAAUCAUACUGUUCUGAUUUCGAGUGCAAAUCGUUACUGUUCUUACAGGAUAUCUACUAACAGAAUAGAAUAAAGCCUUUAUUACAGUAUAAGGUAUGAAGGCAGAACAUUUGUAUAUAGAAACAAAAUUUGGUUUUGAUGAUAAACUACAUCGGAAAUGAUAUUACAUUGUUGCCAUAUUGAAAGAUCUCUUAUGCAUCUCUCCUGUGUAUUCAAGAAAAAUAUUAAAAGAUCUCUCUUGAUACCUACAUUUUUGUGUAUCCAGUCAUAAGAGAACUUUUAAUAGCACCAAGUACAUGCAAGUAUGGUAGAUAGAAAGGCCCUCCAAGAAUAAUAAGUUAAUAGGAUAAGCACCAAGCACACACAUGAUCAAUCUGAUUGACCUGUAUUGCUUUUAUUGUAGUUUUAUGGACCUUUUAUUAGCAUACUCUAACUUCACUUCUUCAUUAUCAUGUUAAUAAGAUGCCAAGAAUCAGCAAAGAACUACUUCAAGACAAGAUGAAUACGAAUGGGUUACCUACAAGAAAACUAUUGAUGCAAUUGUUAGAAGAGGUGGUAUUGAUAAGAGCAGGAUAUUUGAUAUUAGAGGCAAUCAUGAUACGUAUGGAGUGCCAUAUAGAGGAGUAAAAUUGGACUUCUUCUCAACUUAUAGCAUUAACUCACAACUUAAGCGAUUAAGCACCAUCAGUAGUAUAUUGCUUCAGGUACGACUUAUCCCUGUGUCAGCUCUUACUGUUUAUCAUCAUUGAAUUUAUUCAAGGUAUUGUGAAGCACCAUUCUGUACUCAAAUCCAAUGGGUAGUCAAAUUUCAGCUAAACUUAUUAUCAUUUCGUGUCUCAAGGUGUAAACUAUAACAUAUUUACUGGCAUAUAAUGAAUAUUGAACAUUAUUGACUAGUAAUCUGACGCUAACUAGUAAAUCAAUAUCCCAUUUUCAGUAUCACCCUUUUGUGUACUAAAUGUGAAAUAUCCAAUGCCAGUUAUGAAACAUACUUUGGGACUACUUGUGCAUUUGUAUUUUCAUGAUUAUGUUAACAACCCCUGCAGUUCUGAAACUAAAUUUUGUCCUAAAAGGCACUGUAGGGAGAUAGAAGAUACCAGUUUUUGGGUAUUGAUGAUACAAUGAGUGUGGGCAUCCGUUUUCCUGCAAAUCUUUUUGGUCAUCCAACUGAUAAAAGGAUAGAAGCAGUAAAUUCAGAGCUUCAAUACUGGACCAAUCAUUCCAAUGCUCCAGUUACAAAAGUUGUUUUCGGACAUUUCCCUAUGUCAUUCACUGCAUCAUCUGAAAAGGGCCAGCGAUAUGAAAGUGUGUUUGCAAGGCAGUCAAUUUCAGCAUACCUAUGUGGCCAUCUGCAUGCAAAAGUUAGUAAGCAGCUUUGGAGGCAUCAUGAAAUGAGAACAAUAGAAGGUCACAAGUCAAGCUUUUGGGAAUGGGAACUUGGAGACUGGAAGGACUACAGAUUGAUGAGGAUUUUAGCAAUAGAUGGUGGUGCAGUCUCCUUCAUAGAUCACACAUUGAAACAUGCACUCAAAACUUCCAUCUUGGUCACAUAUCCAACAGAUUCAAGAAGUAUGAAUAUGUUGGAAUCAGAAAAGGGGUCGAUGAGAAAUGAUAUAAAUGUCCUUGUUUUCUCUCAUCAAGUUAUCCGUAAUGUGAGUGCUAGAGUCUUUGACUCUCAUAGUGAGUUUAAGAUUGUUGAGGAGAUACCUCUGCAGCUUGUUGCCAGUUCUUCUGCUCACAGACCUUUGUUCCAUGCCAAAUGGAAUGCUGAAAAUUACAGAAGUCCAUCCCCUACUCGCUACUGGUUGCAGGUGUUUGUUCUUGAUUCUCAUGGUGUAAAGGUUUCAAGCGAGCAGAGGCCGUUUUCAGUUGAGGGUAAGAUGGCUAUUCCUACACGCCCCUGGCUCAACUAUCUGGUUUUUGAAGUCCAGUGGGAAGACAUGUACCAAGUCCUUUUGUGGAGUAAUAUGGGCUUCACCACUGUAUUGCUACUCACCCCCAAACUAUUGUAUCAUUUUGUUAGGAGAAGUUCAUCAUAUCAAAGGUGGGCUGUGUCUGUUCUGUCAUCCCCAAUCCAGCUGAGGAAAGCUUACUUUUGGUUGAUCUGGUUUUUAAUAGAGGGCACAAGAAGUAAGCCUUUCUGGCUUUGUCUAGUAAUAUAUGUUCUCUGGCUCAUCGAAAUGCCAUGGUUUUGGGGUUGCGCAACAUCUGAAGAUGGAGAAAUUGCUCAAAUGUACUUAUCUGGAUGGAGCAUGCCAUUUCAUGACGGGGGCUUCACAGGCAACAAACUGAGCAACCCAGAUGUGCUUGUCAUCACACUACCAUUCCUAUAUCUGGUGCUUGUCCCUGUAAUAGUCCUUAUAUAUGGCCUGUUUGCAGAAAAGGCUAUUGCGUAUUUGCGGCGCAGCAGAAGAAUAGAAUACUCUGCUGACUCAGCAAAUAUGCAUACUGAGUCGGCAUGCUUGCUGCCAGUUGCCCCAAGGGCUUUACUAAUGUCCGACAAUAUGGUGUCCAUGAUGAUCCAGUUUUGUGGUAGCUGGACAAGGAGGGCUCUUCUACUUGCAUGCUUGAUCACUGCAGCAAUACAUUUGAAGGUGCGUCUCUCUCAAUUUUUCUAACAAUGCAGUUUUUCAAAUAUUAGUGUUGAUGAUAAUAUAGAUUUGUGUUUCUUGCAGCUUUGUUCAAAGCUAAUGUCAGCUUAUGGAAUGGUACCAGUAGCCUUGUCUCCCCCGUUAACAUGGAUGCCACUGUUAUUAUUAGGUGUUGCUGCCUAUUGUACAAAGUUACAUGCAGAUUAACACCCAGCACUUUGCAUUCCUGAAGUGAACUUAUUUGCGUUUGGAAUACUUGCUGCUGCUGUAUGCUAAAUCCUGGUACGCGUUUCCCUUUAAUGGUUACUGUAUGGGUGCUAGUUUACCAAAGAAAAAGUAGUAACUGAUUUUGGACUCAUUAAGUUAUGAUUCACUUCAAUUAGGAUGUGACACAUCGCAAAACUAGGAUUAUCUCCAUGUGGUCAAACUAUUUGCAGAAAAGAAAAAGUAGAAACUAAUGUUCUUCUAAUAAGGUACCUGGCUAAUUUCAGUUAGAAUGUCACAAACUCACAUAACUAGGACCUUCAUAUCAAUCUAAUGAUAUCCCUUACCGGUCUUUGAUGUUUUCCCUGAAGUUUUGCGUGGGUUCAAUAGCUAAGGAAGGUUGUUUAUGCAAACAGCAUAGUAUGGGUGGCACAAGAAAGGGAGCAGUUCUCGUCGUCGUGUCUAAUCCUGGUGUCAGCAGUAGAGGAGGAGAUGGGGGGCAGCAGCUGGGACAGAGAGGUUGGCGAGGGACGGUGUGGGGGAGUGAUGGGGUAGUCGGAUAGGGUGAUGCAGGGGGAAAGCUGGUGGCUAGGUAUUUUUCAUGCCAAGAGUAGGCUAUGAUUAUGAGAAAAAAGCACGCAGGCUUGGCCCAAAGCCCCAAACUAAGGGGGUACAUGAUGGAGGACACCCUAGAGAUCCAUACCCAACUUUCAGAACAUGGAAAUCAAUUAUACAUCUGUUGUAGGGGACAGUUCAGAUGAGCGUGGAAGUUGUGGUGGAUUUUGAAUGUAGAGUGGUAGGCGCAUAUAUUUUUAGCACAAGUUACCUUAGUGCUUGCAUUAGUUGGUACUGUAUCAUAGCUAUAGUUGGACGAUAUAGAUCUGCCAUACAUCAUUUCUUCAUCGCUAGGAAACCACUAUGCACAUAUGGUUUUAAUCAGUCUUCUAGAAUACUUUCCCCUUAUUGACCAGAUCUGACACCCACAGUCAGUCUCGCCAUAUCAAGGACCAGAUGUUGUAUCUUCACUCGUUGAACCACGCAUAGGCUACACCUGAAGCUCCUUGUCCCUUGAUCCUGACGUAGUCUUCGCUUGUGGUUCCUUGGCCUUUCCAUAGAUGUAUAUAUAAAGGCCGCUCAAAACCAGGAAACUGCCCAACAAGCUGUCGUAAAACAGUAAAAUGUAUCAGUUAUGGCAUAAAAAUGAUUGAGUAGAUAUAUUCUUAUGUGCAUUUCUUCCGUGUUUUCAACCCCAAACCCCAUAUAUCGCCUGAUGCAACCUGCACAUCUGCAAGUCCUCUUCCUUCCCUGGUUGACAUUGCAAUUAUAUACAGAAGAGGAUUACUUUCCAUAAUGAUUCUAGUAUGCUGGUAGACAUGGCUCAAAAGGAACAGGAGAAAAAUUUCAAGUUAAGAGUUUCAGGCAGUUGAAAGAGUCUUUCAGCAAGUCAAGAUGGCACUAGAAUUUGGUGCACGGUGGGUAUGGCACAUUUACAAGGCAUCAUCAUCCAAUUGGAUUUUGUCCUCUUCAAUAUCUAGUUGGGGUGGCUUAUGCCAAAUAUUCCUUUUGCACCUUUAUGUAUAGCUUGAAACCAGUAAUGCUUCUUGGAUUAAUAAUAUAAUGUUAGCACUUUGUUGGAUCUUAGAAGGCAGAAGCAUCAGAUAAAAAUUAAAACGGAUAUAAAAUAUCAACAUUCUAAUAGUUAAAUACCCUUACCAAUUUAGAGAAAAACUCAUAUAGGGUUUUGUAAGCUGUGUAAAUUGGAGAUGAUGUUGUUUCAACAAAAAUAUCACAACUCUGCUACCUUUUAGUAAGGAAGUUAUUAAAUCUACUGGAGUAUGAGCAAAGGUAUAAACAGGGCAACUUCAAGGAACUGGUAUGUAAUUGUUACUUACCUCCCAGCAGUGAGGCUCUCUCCUAGUAAUAGUGUUCCUAGAAUUAUGAUGAACACUGCAGAUAAUGUGCUGAACAUUGGUGGGUACACAGGGCCUCGUUUUUCCACAGCAUACAGAUUCAGCCAAUACUUGGCUGCUGUGCCAAGCGCAGCCUGCAGUUCCAAAUGAAAUAAACUGUUAGGUUCAAAAUUUCUAGGGGCAAGUAUUUUGAAUAUUUCAAGUCACCAGUGGUAUUCUUUGAUAGUCCUCAACCAUAGGGUUCUCACAGGCAAGUUCCGCAUAUUUGAACUGUUAACAGUUAAAUUAUAUUAUGAUAUGCCCAUAUCUGCUAGCUUCAGUAAAUGCUGAAUUCACCAGUUAAUAAUCACAUGGCUACUAGAGUACUAGUGUUGCUUGAUUAUGCAUGAUAAAUAAUAACGGCCUGCAGUAGGUUGUGGCAUGAUAAGAUGACGGAGAUGUAAACAAAUAUGUGGAAAGUCAUGACAUUUUACACGAUAGCAAAGGAUUCCUCACAGUAUUCUGGAAAAAAAAACAUUUUAUACAUUCUGAGAAGACUUACUGAGUAGACAAUGGUGAGUAGUUGAAAAUUCCAUCCUAUUUGCCAGGCAACUUUGUCCCUUCUCAUGAUUAUUCCUAUGGCAAAUGUUUGCAGACCUCCGAAAAAACAGGUCACCACUGAAGACCAAUGUUUCCAUGGGUAUACGCCUAGAACUUUCACCUAAAACAUUGUAUAUAUACGUUAUUACCAGUCAGAUCUCAAAUGUUGAAAUUGAAGACCCAAGAAGAAUUAGAAUAAACACUAGUAUUAUGGUAUGCGUGUUGAUGGAAAAAAUAGAAGGUGAGCAGCAUGAGCCUUUGCUCAGAGAAUACCCAUCUACAAUGGAAGACCUAGAGAAUAACUAGCUGCAAUGAAACCUACCUGUAUGGGGUACCAACAUGCAUAGCAUAUGCAGUUACCCAACAAAAGCAAGGUGCCUCUCAAAUGGUGUUGACCAGCAGCUCCAUUGGAAUCCUUAUGGCCUGCUCUUACAAUUGCAUGCCAGAGCAGCAGAACUUUUCCUUUGUAGAGACUUAUCAGUAGAGCCCCACCAAAGCAAACCAUUACUCCAGUAACCUUUGAACUGCCCUCUUUGGACCUGAGGCGCAGUUUCUCCAUGCUGCAGAAGGCAUAUACAUACUGAUGAAAUUCACUUUGACAGGGGUGCAUUUCUAGAUGCUUAAAGUGGUAUAAUUUCAACUCAACAAGAAUGAUUAUUAGGUUUAGGGGAAAAAAAAACAUGUGCGUGUGAAGCUUGUAAGUUGUAAGAUAACAGUAUAUGGUGAUCACAUAUUUCAUUGGCUGACAAAAUUUGGCAAAUCUGUUAAUUCAAACUUAUUCAAGGACAAGGUUGUAUGGUAAGCGUUUUAUAUUAGAGGAGAAUGGUGUUUACCCAAGCAGUAUGGACAGGACGAAAGUAACGAGGGGAGUCAUACUUGCGAAGAUCACAGCAUAUGAGGCAGCUGUGUCCCGUAGCCCGAAGUAGUACAGGGCCAUGGGCGAUGAAUAUCUGAUAACUUAAAGAUAUCACUGUCAAUACACAAUAACUAUUAGAGAUUGUAUAGCUGAUUUAUGCUUACCAUGUAUAUUUGAUUGUAUUCCUUGUAUACCAGGCUACAUUGGCUAUAUAUUAAAGGCCACCCCCUCAUUAGUUUGUGUGGUGUUUUCCUCAAUCCUAUCUCUCUACAUGGUAUCAUGAGACCUGAAUCAAUCUGACCCGGGACUUUCCUUCCGCUCCCCUCUACCCUAAACGUGUCAUGACUCCAUCGUGCCACGUCCUCCCCUCCCCGCGCGCUGUCCUCUUGGCGGUGCCCCUGCCUUCCUCUCCCUGACGACCAUGGACUCCACUGUCGAAUCCGUUCUGUCCGGCACCAUGCCUGCCCUCAGCGUCAGCUCCAUGCCUGCACUCGGCGCUGGCACCCCACCCGUCAUGGGCGUCGGCACCCAGCCCGCGCUCGGUGCCAGCACCGCGCCAGCCAUGGGCGCAGGCACUCCACGUUCGCUCGGCUCUGGAUCGUCCCCUGCCACCGUCGAUGACACGGCGCAGGGCAGCGGCGUCGGCUUCAUCUACUCCACACCGUUGGCCGUCGUCCACCCCUACACCACCGUCUCCGUCAAAUCCCAUGUCCCUGUGACCCUUACGAUGAAGAACUCUACCUACUCCAAAUGGGCUUCCUUCUUCAAGUCGAUGUGCGGCAAAUUCAGCCUCCAAUCGCACAUCGACGACGAUGAUGGCCAACAUGUACAGGUAGCAUUGGAUUGUGCAAGAUUCGGAAAUGACGGAGAGGGCGACAGGCGAUGCAGCGGCGAACUAGAUCAUUGCCGCCGCUAAGAUCCGCAACCCUCUGGCAUCAUUCGUCUGCUGGGUGAUGGGGAUGUGAUUGGAGAUGGCGAUGCUCUUGCGCCUCAUCCCGGUGAUGAGGGCGCAGUCUGUCUUCUGCGCUACCGCCCGCGCUGCAUGCGGCGUGGCGGGUGGAUCGAGAGGCAUUCUUGACGCCCACCAUUGUGAGUCCUCUUACGGAUUCGGCUGCGUGUUUGAUCCAGGAGGAUGCCUCAACCCAUCCGUCGUGGAUUUCCCUAUUCAAGUUCGUCUAGGCCUAUGACGGCUCAAGCCGGUCGUACAGUGCUAUGCAGAAUCCGGGCCCUUUACGCGAUACUGUCGUGCAGGGUUUACUUAAACCGAGGAAGGCUCUCGGGUCUUGGUACCUCCUUUGGUCGUUCCGCCGCCGCGCAACCUCUUCGUCUCCUCCUAGGUUUCAAUCUAAGAUCUGCGGUGGGGAUGAUAAGGGAUCUCCGAUGAGGAGAUUGCCCACCCGAAGCCAAGAUUCGGUGAUAUGCCCGGGUUGGGGAACAAUCUAGUCGGUGACGAGAAAGUCCGGGAGGGAGAUGGAUCCAUGGGAGCAGCAGUUGGGCGAGAAGAUGGAUGUGCCGGCGGGCAGCACGGAAGGUUCAGGCAAGGCAGAGGCUCGUCGUCAGGACACAGAUGGACUAGGGGCCGCAUCCCAAGAGGCUAAUCUGGACAGGAGGCUUAUAGUUCAUGGUGGUCCAGCGGGAGAAGACCUGGAGGAAGGAGAGUUCGAAUAUGAUUUUGAGGAAGAGGAACCUGUGGGUGGUGCGAAAAAGAGGUGGUUUGCGGUGGCGAGAUACUACUCCAGCCGCAUUGCCAAAUCAAAGAUCUUGUUCUCGGAGCUAAGCAAUGUGUGGGGCGAUGUGACUUCUAGAGUCCUGGGUGACAACAGGUAGCUGCUGGAGGUCCUACCAGAGAGCUCGCUCAACUUCGUUCUGAGGGGAGGUUUGUGGAGCUUCAAGGGGGAUGCUCUGAUCGUGGUUCGCUAUGACGGUCUGGCCAGAUUGUCUGAGGUGAUCAUUGAAUCUAUUCCGUUGUGGAUUCAUAUGUAUGAUAUACCUGUGGGCGUGAUGUCCAUAGGCUUUGUCAGUGCCCUCGGUGCAAAAGUUGGAAGAGUUCUAGAGGUGGGAGAAGCAGUAAAGGGUUUCAAAAGAGUGAGUUGAUUUUGCCCUGGCUGAUGCUCCGAAGAAUAGUGUGCAGAUCAGAGUCAGGGGGAGAGGCCUAAUGGAGUUUAUGGUAAGUAUGAGAAUGUUCCCCAUUUCUGCUUUUGCUGCGGCCGCAUUGGCCAUGCUGAGAGGGAGUGCCUGGAUGAGGAGCUGUAUGAGGGCAAGGCGAGGUUUGGUACAAAACUGCGUGCUUUGCCGUUCAAGAGGGAGGUAGCUAGGAUGCUCUCUUUCCAGGCAACGGUCCCUCCAGCAAAGAGGGAUCUCAACUUCAGUGGUACGCAGAAAGAUAAGGUUAUAUCCUUCUCUGGCUCCUCGUCGCUGAAUGGUGGACGUCAUGGAAGGAUGCAACAGCACCCAAAAAGGCAGCAGGAGAAGGAGGACAAAGAAGCAGACGGUUUGGCGACAGAAGGGCGGGUGGAGGAGAGCUCUAAUUCUAAGUUUGUUGUUACCCCGGAGGUUGCGGAUGGCUUAGCAAAUGGCGUGCAGAAGAUGGUAGUGGAUAUGGCUGUUCCCAACGGAAACAUUGAUCCAUCAGUGGUGGCAGGGUGCAGCCAGGAUGCUAUGAUGGGCUUUCCAGAAAUGGUCUCUGGCAUUGACUCCUACGACGGCUCGAGUGAUGGUUCCCUAUCUAUUCAGGAGGAGUUAAUGAUGAGCAAGACGGCUGGUGCGCCACUAAGCCUUCAUGAACAGCUGCUACGGCUAAGGCUAAGGCCAGCGGUGCGCGCUAACGCAGGUCGCCUGUCAAGAGCCCGGGUGCAUCUAAAGACAUCAACAAGCCAAAGAAGCAUAGGAGCGCUCUGAAGCUGGAGGUGAUCGCUAAGUCCUUGAAAGAGAUGCAGCAGGGUGGAGUGCGCUCGGAUGGUCUCCAUGUGCCACCGGGUGAAGUGGACAUGAAUGCUGUAUCUGGAAGUAGUGGGCGCAAAUAAGAUGUGGAAACAAGGAAGGUGCAAGGCUCGUUGAAGAGAUCGUCGCCGUCGACUACGGACAACCGAGUGGGUGCUCAGGAUGAGCCCCACCAGGCGUAAUGAAUGCCUUGUGUUGGAACUGCCAAGGGACCGGGCUCUCUCGGACAGUUCAAGAAUUAGUGGCUCUUGUGAGAGCUAAAAGCCCAAGUUUAGUUUUCUUUGUGAAACCCGUAAUUCAGAAAAUAGGGUAGCAAAUUUGAGAUGGAGGUUAGGUGUUAAGAACUGUAUCGCAGUUGAUAGUGAUGGUAGAAGUGGGGGAUUAGCCCUGUUUUGGCAUGAGUCAAUUGAAGUUAAAUUAAUUUAGAAGAACUUUUGUUAUAUUGAUGUAUCUGUUCGGGCUAGUGCUAAUGAGCCCUAGGUUCAGGGUAACUUUGUGCACGGGGAACCUAUAACAGAGAACCGCCAUCGCAUGUGGGAAAGUCUUAGAUGCUUGCACUCGGUUUUGGAGUUGCCUUGGCUAGUUUUGGGUGAUUUUAAUGAGGCGAUGCGGGGCUUUGAAUACUUCUCUGCCUGUGAGAGGCCGGAGAGACAAGAAGGCCCAGUUAAGGGAUGCCUUGAAUGACUGUGAUCUAGUGGAUUUGGGUUUUGUGGGUUUACCUUUCACGUAUGAUAAUGGGAAGGAGGGGAUGGCUAAUGUGAAGGUGCGUUUAGACAGAGCUGUUGCGGAUACUAACUAGCGCAAUUUGUUUGCAAAUGCUACCCUGCACCAUCUAGUGUCGUCUCGCUCCGACCAUUGCCCUUUACUGUUGGAGAUCAAAAAGGAGAGCUGGGAACGGCACAAGCCCCGGAUCUUUUGCUAUGAGAUUAUGUGGGAAUGGUUGGAGUCUUUAGCACACGAAAUCAAAGAGGCUUGGUGCACAGCGCCGUGCAGAGAGGGCUUGGGGGGUGUUGCUGCGGCAUUACGCCGUGUGCAAGGUGCUCUACGCUCCUGGAGUAAGCUAAACUUUUGGGUCAGUGACAGUGGAAUUGGAGUCCCUGCGUGCAAAGCUUGAGGAAUUGAAGGGCAGUCCAUCAUCUGGGAGGAAUGACCCGUAAAGUCACUAAUCGCAUGGAUGAGUUACUGUACCGGGAGGAAAUGAUGUGGUUGCAGUGCUCGCGCAUUGCAUGGUUAAAGGAAGGAGAUAGUAACAUGGGUUAUUUCCAUAGGCAAGCUGUUUGGCGCGCACGUAAGAAUCACAUUAAGAAGCUGAAAGAUGAUGAGGGCAACUGGUGUGAUAAGGCGCACGGGCUUAAGCAGAUGACUACUGAUUUCUUUAUGAGGUCAUAUGAAGCAGACCCGGGUGUUAUUCUGGGAGAGCUUUUGGAUUUAACGGAGGCCAAGGUUACAGAAGCAAUAACCAGCAGCUGUGCAAGUUCACAGAUCAAGAAAUUUUGGACGCUCUAUUCCAGAUGGGUCCCUUCAAGGCCCUAGGGCCCGACAGCUUCCCAGCGUGUUUCUUCCAGAGGCAUUGGGACACAUUGCGGGAAGACGUGACUAGGGCUGUCAAGAAAAUACAGCCAUUGUGCUUAUUUCCAAAGGAAAUAACCCACAGGAACUAAAGGAUUUCCAGCCUAUUAGCUUAUGUAAUGUUAUCUACAAAGUUAUCUCAAAGUGCUUGGUGAACAGGUUGAGGCCAAUUUUAGGAGAAAUUAUCUCGCUGGAGCAAAGUGCCUUUGUUCCUGGCCACAUGAUUACAGACAACGCCAUCAUUGUGUUCGAAUGCAUACAUGCAAUCCAGAAGGGUUCCGGUGAUAGGGAAGAAUUUUGUGCAUAUAAGCUGGACUUAUCGAAGGCGUAUGACCGAGUUGACUGGGGCUACUUAAAGCAAUUGUUGGAGAAGCUAGGUUUUCAAAGUCAGUGGGUACACUGGAUCAUGACCUGUGUGUCCACUAUUCGCUACACAGUCCGUUUCAAUGGGGCUUUGUUGGUGCCCUUUGCCCCGUCUCAUGGUCUACGGCAAGGUGAUCUGCUUUCACCCUAUCUCUUUCUUUUAGUCGCUGAUGGCCUCUCUGUCUUACCGAAGCAUUAUGAGCGUAUGGGACGCUUGGAGGGAAUCAAAGUAUGUAGGAGAGCUCCGAGCAUCUCCCACUUACUGUUCGCUGACGCCAGCCUGCUCUUCUUCCGUGCUACUGCCGAGCAAGCGCACCAGGUCAAGGCUGCUUUAGCUAUUUUCGAGAGGAACACGGGACAGCUGUUAAGCCCCAGCAAAUGCUCCAUGCUGGUGCGGGAAGGAAGAGAAGGGAAUGGUGCCCAACAGGUUCGUAGCAUCCUGGGAAUGGAGAGGUUGGAUUUUGAAGAAAAGUACGUGGGCUUGCCUACACCCCAGGGACGCAUAAAGAGAGGAAUUUUUCAACCCUAGUGGUGAGGUUUGUGAAGCGCAUGACUGCUUGGAAGGAAAAGGAGUUGUUGGCAGCUGGGAAAGAAAUCCUUAUCAAAUCCAUAGCACAAGCGCUACCGAACUAUAUAAUGAGCGUGUUCAAGCUCAGUGGUGGCCUGUGUGAGGACCUCAUGAAAGCUAUCCGUGCUUACUGGUGGGGAUCAGAGAAGGGCAGAAGGAAAGUGCAGUGGGUUCCAUGGACGACCAUGCUUCUGCCUAAAGGUUUUGGUGGGAUGGGCUUUAAAGAUUGGAUGUUGUUCAAUCAGGCUCUUCUUGCUAAACAUGCUUGGCAUUUACUUAUCUUCCCAGAAAGUCUGUGUGCCCAUAUCCUAAGAGCAAAAUAUUUCCCUACAGGAAACCUCUUGGACACGGUGGUGGCUGGGGAGGCCUUGCAGAUAUGGAGAGCUAUCGAGUACGGUCUAGAACUGCUCAAAAAGGGUGUAACCUGGCGGGUUGGGAAUGACAAUUGCAUACGUAUAUGGCGAGACAACUGGAUUCCCCGGCCGUAUGGUAUGAAGCCAAUCGAAAGUGUGAGAAUGUGUAGGUUACGAUGUGUUUCUCACCUCAUCGACCAGACGUCCAAUAGUUCGAAUGAAGCUGUUGUCAGAAGAUUUUUCUAUCCCUAUGAUGUUGAUGAAAUUUUGAAGAUCAAGCUACCGUCCACUCCGUGCAUAGACUGGAUUGCGUGGAGUUUUGAGAGGACAGGCAUGUUCUCGGUUAGAAGUGCAUACAAGCUGGCUAUGCGGGAAAAGUAUGAGAUGGGCGUCAUUCUAGUGCAGAAGGAGAACGGGCUCCGUGGAAAAAGGUGUGGGGCGCAGAAGUACCAUCAAAGGUCGGAGUUUUUGCCUGGAAGGUUGUAAACAAUGGUCUACCAACCAGAAGGAAUAAGCAAUACAGACAUCUCAAACAGGAAUAUAGCUGUGAGCUGUGUGGUCAUUCGGUAGAGGAUGUUUUUCGUGCUGUCAUCUCCUGCCCACAUGCCCGAGCUCUUAGGGGUGAACUAAGAAAGAAGGUGGCUCACCAGCAGAACCGGAUUUGUGUAAUACAGGACCAGAUUGGCUCCUUGCAACCUUGGACAGGUAUGAUGCUGAAUCUAGUUCAAAUUUUCUCAUGCUAAUACAGAGAUGUUAGAACGGGGAUUACUGAGAGAUCGCUGGUGGCGCCCAUAGUUCGUGAUGCCCUUAGGAUGUGAAGCUCUUAUCAAGUGUGUGCUUCGUCAAGAUUAGGAAAGAGCAGAAUAAAGUUGCGCAUGAGCUAGCUCACUUAGCCAUCUGUAAAAAAGAGUGCAGGGUGUCCUUCUCGGAUACUCCGAAUUAUAUUGAGUCUCUUAUUUGUACUGAUGCCACUUAAUCAAUAAAGCUCUCUCCUUUCGAAAAAAUACACAAUAACCAUCAUUUCUUCUUAAUCACUGUCAAUACACGAUAACCAUCAUUUCUUCUGAAUCAAACACACAAAAAAGGUACUCAGCAUCCUAAUUCAGUUAAGGCUGUCAACAAAUAAAAACCACCAGACUAUAGUAGACAAUGUGUGGUUUAUUCAGUUAAGGCUGUCUCGUGCCGUUUUCUGCGCACGUGAGAGCAAAUAAAGUCCAUAUUUGAGUGUUCGGUUUGUAAAGAAAUUUUGCAGUAAGUGCUUCCUGUUCCCAAGAUGCCACCCAAGUACAAGUCCGGGCACUGAUUUUUAAGGGGCUAUGCAUGGUAGACUUGACAUAAAUUUUUCUCACGUGAAUGUUUAGGUGCAACCUCUGGUGAACGAUGCCCUCAAAAAAAAAAACUCUGGUGAACGAUCAAGACUGAAUUCAGGGAAAAUCUGAUCCAGAAACACAGCAACAACGUUGUAAGUUGCAUCAUGCUAUUGUGUCUAUUUCACUUGUGGCUCAUGCCAAAAAGGUCGCAUUCUUUUGGUACUCUAUCUAGUUCUUCGGAUCGAGGCAUUGGCACCUCUAGCUCGGUCGUCCUGCGUAGCAAGGGUAGCUAGCUCGGGGUUCCGCUAAGCAGCAGAUGAAAAUCACUCUGAAGGAGACGACGGCCAACAGGGAAGAAGGGACAAGACAUCAGAAAUUCAGAGAGGAUGGAAGCCAUGGGGAUCCUCAAGAACACGGAACCAGCUGCAUGCGGUUGCCGCAUCUUUGGAACGUGAACUGGCUCCGGCGCUCUCCCGAUCUAGUCGGUCCAAAAAAGGCGUAACAAAUUCAAAACGAGUGGCGAUUUUGAUGGGAAGGAGAAUCGUGUACGUAUACGAUGGGAGUAAUCGCGAAGGGACUCGGAAAAAUCGAUUUCACAUUGCUAGUGCAAAGGUCCAAAGGAUAGUUCAUCAGAUACCCGGCAAGUGCAUUCAGGAAGAGCCAUGCAAGAGCCCUCUUGUCCAGGUCCUUCCACUUCCCACUGCGGAAUUGGCAUUUAUCUGAGUCAAUGGAAGGGUAGUUUGCUUCCAUAAAAGAAAAAUAAUAGUAGGCGGGUACAAAUGAAGGAGAAACAUCCUGACCUCUCGAAGAACAGGGCAAAAGGCAGGGUGAAGAUGGCGCCCAAAAUGCUGCGGUAGAAGAGCAAAGAGAAGACGAACGUGCCCCAGUCGAUUGCAACCUUGCUUAGCAGUAUAGUCCCCGUGUUGAAGACCUCAGAAAGGACCACGCACAGAGCUGGCUUCCAUCCUCCUGCUCCAUCCACCAUUUCAAGCACAGUAUCAGAGAUGGCGUACUUCGAAUGUCGCAUGAUCUCUCAUAAAAAUCAGUAACAUCAGGGGAUCAAAACUUCGAAGAAUUCCCUAAGACAAACAUAGAUGAAGAACUCCCAACAAAGAACAUCGAUCAAAGAGUUGGAGCGACCGAAGGUCAGUCUUGCUAGAUCCUAUCUCUCAGAACUGAUUUCAUCUUCUUCCUUGGCACCCUUCUCUGUCUAGAACACUCUAGAACCUUCUAGGUUUCUCCUCUUGUUCUACAUGCAUAUCGACAUAUCGUUUUGUAUCUAUUUGGGUUUGUAUAAGCACGGCGAAAGAGACGGGACGGCGGCUUGCCUACUAGUUGCAUUGCACAGCACGUACCGGAGUUGGCAGAGACCGGCGGCGGCUGGGUCGCCUGAGCCGCGAGCUCCUUGUCGUCGGGAUCCGACAUGCAAUCGCCCGUCGUCGGCGAGUUCGCGCUUGUUGGACAGAACGAGGAGAGGACAAUGCUGUGUGCCUGUGUUCUGUGGAGACGGUAUAUGUGUUCUGUGUAGACGGGCGGCCGGAGAGGAGAUCGAGUAUAUAUGCUGCGAGUAGAAUUACCAGCACGGCAACGCCCAGCAGGGAAGGACCCUUUAUGAACGUAAAUUUGUUGAAUCAAUUCUGAAUUAAUCACUUUGCAUUUACGUGUUCUGUACUGGAGUCCUAUCAGGGAAUUCAAAGGUUCAAUUUGGAUUUUGCAACCAUGUUCAGCAUUUCAAUCCCUGUUGCCAGGUCAUCAUGCAAGUUUGUGCUCCGUGUUUACUCUCUUGAAAACAUUAAUAGCCAUUCUCUCCUUCAUUCCUAUCAUAGUCACCUUGGUCAUUCCAACUCGUCUUGCUUCUGUAUGCUCCUUAAUGCCGUGUCUAACUAGAAGAAGAGGGAGUACAGAUAAGGCUUGUGUCAAGCUUACCCAGAAGCAUGGGUGGAUGUCUUAUGAGUGCUUAAUUGGUGCCGCUUGGGUUUGCUGUAUUUACCUUUUGAUUUGCUAUUUGGUAGCAAUGGUUUAUCAGGAAGGCUGCAACUUGUAAUGAUGAAUAGUUGAGUGCACUACUCAUGCAGAGACCGAAAUAAAGACUAUUCCUAUUCCUUAUUCAAAAAGAAGUUGAGCAUGUAAUACCAGUUGGCAUGAUAUCCUUUUAUGUCAGGCUUGCACAUGCGAUCUGUUCAGCAUUUAAGGGGAGCAUAUAUAUAGCUAGGCAGAAGAGACGAUUGGUAACUCUAAAUGUAUAAUGUAUUCUCAUUUCUAGAUGUGCAUGCUAUGUUUGCAAUGAAGUUGCAUGUUACAAGCAUAAAGCAUGUUGAAUUGUAAAAGGCCUUUCAAAAUUAUUUAGGCAAGGAGAUAGGUCCAGCUGGCCGGCCCAAGGGUACAGCAUGUCGUUUUAAGAGUGCACAUAACACCCACCUUGAAUCCAAGACGAUUAAAAAAAUAAUGUGCUAAUGAUUGCCCAUUGUUAAUAUUGAUGAUAUAUUGAUAUGUCACAAUAGUUAUAAAGAGAGGAGAGAGGUGUUUCAUCUAGGUGAAAUACUGAAAUUGUGUGUACAUUGCUUCCAAAAAAUGAAAAGUAUUCCGCGUUGGCAUUGUGGGUAAAAAUUUUAGUUCAUCCAGCAAUCCCCAAUCCCAAAAGUCAUGCAUUAAAUUAUAUGGCCAGCAUAUGAAACAAUAAAAUGACACUAUGCAUUGGAGGCGGUUGUUUCAUUCAUAUGCUCAAAGCACUCUAGAUGAUUUGGGGUUUCUAGAAACAACAUGAUAAAACUUUCCUUUUGAGAUCGGCCUAAUUCCUUUGAUAAAAAAUAUAAAAUCUAUUUGGACAUCAACACGAUCUCCAACAUAACAUUUAACAAGCAAUAUAUAUAUAUAUAUAUAUAUAAACAUAUUAUCUUAGAUGAAAAUAAUUACUCCCUCUAUUGUAAGGGGUAUGCUAAAACAAUGAAGUUAGAUUAGAUUUGGACACAAAUUUCUCUUACAGUAUAUUGUCAGUUGCUACAAAAUUAACAUUAUUCCAUAAUUAAUUCGAAUAUGAAUCUGUUAAUGUAAUUUUGUACACUAAACAUCAUAUAUUUUAACUAAUUCUUUGUCAAAAUUUACAAAGUUUGAAAUAUGGGUUACAUUGAUAAAUGAAGGUGGUAUAUAUUAUGAAAACUAUAUUUCAUAAGAAAUCUAGUCAUAUGAAUCUUAUAUUCUCAAUUUAUAUAAAAUUUUAAAUUCAAAGGUAAAACAGGGUUGACUAAGAUGAACUUAGGUUAACUCACAUCUGCCAUCACAGAAAGCACUUAAAACCCUUCACCGAGUACACGAUCGCGAGUAGCUUAAGGUUCCUUCCAAGGGAGAUCUAGGUGGUAUGGUACUAGGGUUUGGGAACAAGUAGAGCAGUCGAACCGAGAGAAUUUUGGUGGAGAUCAUGCAUGCAGGGAGUCAGAUUCAGGAGAGGUACUGAGAGGUUGCAGGAGAAGCAGGCAAAAGAAUUUCUAGUAGGGAGGUGCAAGGUUAUGUAUUGCUGCUAGGAUUUUGUAAUGGACGUACUAUGUUCGUAUGCUGGGUCCACAGCCCAGCCAGUCAAACGCCCGGCACGGCCCAUGGCAAAACGUCACUCAUUUUCUAAGAAGCCAUAAACAUUGAUUACAUAAACUGCAUAGUAAGCAUAUACCAGUGUACAAAAGCAAAUGACACAUAAAACAGCAAACAGCAGGUAGAGGCAGCCAAACACCAGAAUAUUGUUCAUACACCGAAUGCCUGAAUCCAGUCUUUCGCACUGACGGAAUAAAAACUAGUAAUAGCAGAUGCAUAACUCAUCAGCAAAUUGCAGACUGUCAACAAGCACUAUGAGUCCAUGACAAAUAUCACUACAAACUUAGGGCCUGUUUGGCAGAGCUCCAUGUAGCUCCAGAUCCUGAAAAAUAGCUCCGCUCCCGAUUUUUCCAGCCAAACGGUUUUAGCUCCAGCAACUCCACCGCAGAGCUGCUCCACGAAAACGGUGGAUCUACCCCCAGAUCCAUGGAUUUGGUGGAGCACCUCAGGGGGUGCUCCACGAAAUCAAAUUUGGUGGAGUUGGAGAGAAUUACCCACCACUGCCACUCAUUAGUGGAAAAUGACCGGUUCGUUCUAUUUCUUUUUCUUCUUCUCCGUGCGACACACUGGAGUCCUUCCUCUUCCGUCGUUGUCCACCCCUGCCCGCUGGAGCGCCGCCCGCCCCUACCUGCCGGAGCCCCACUCGCCUCUGCUCGCCCCGCUCGCCACGCUCGCUCCGCCCGCCAAAGCCCCGCCCGCCCCUGUUCGCGCCUGCCCGCCCCUGCCACUGGAGCCCCGCCCGCCCCUGCCAUUGGAGGCCACCCCGCCGGAGCCCCGCGCGCCCCUACUGUCGGAGCCCCGCCCGCCUCUGCCACCGGAGCCCGCCUCUGCCGCCGGAGCCCCGCCCGCCCCUACCAUUGGAGGCCGCCCUACCGGAGCCCCGCGCGCCCCUACUGCCGGAGCCCCACGCGCCCCUACCGCCCGAGCCAUGCCCGUCUCUGCCGCCAGAGCCCCGCCCGCCCCUGCUCGCCCUUGCCGAUGGAGCGCAGGAGAGCAGCGGGUCCGCAGGCGCGGCAACGCUCGGCAGGGAAGGCAGCGGAGGCGUGGAGAGGCCACACUCGCCGUGAAGAAGACGUUUUUUUUUUCUUUUUUUAAUUCUGAUGCAUGGGUCCAAAUUGCCAGUGAGACAAAGAUAAGAGUGGAGCUGUACCAAACGCUUUUUGAGAUUUCAGAUCCACGGUGGAGCAGCUCUAUGGUGGAGCUAGGUGGAUCUAUGGAUCUGGAGCUGUUUUUUCAGAGUUGGAGCUCUACCAAACAUGCCCUUAAGCAAGCAGGAGAGAUUAACAAGCGCUAGGAAAUGCAUAAGGAAAGCAGAUGGCACAUAGCAGGUAUCCAGCAAGCACCUUAAUAAAGUUCACACCGAAACGAACCACCACAAAGGCAGCAAGCGCACACAUUAAACAGCAAAUAGCAGGCAGAGGCAGCCAAACCAGAAUAUCGUUCAUACGGAACUAAAUGUCCUAAUCUAGUCUUGGAACUGACGAAACAAAAACUACUGAUAGCAAAUGCAUAACUCUAUCAACAAAUUGCAGGCUGUCAGCAAGCAUCAUGACAAAGAUUACUACAAACUGAAGCUAGCCAUGGACACUGAUGAAGUUUACUUAACAAGCGAUAGGAAAUGCAUAACAAAAGCAGAUAGCAUAUAGCCAGGUCUCCAACAAGCACCUCAACAAAGCCCACACGAAACUCACGACCCAAAAGACAGCAAGCCCACACAAAAGCACACCACGGCGGCCUGCCUACACUUCGCCAGCCGCGCUGAUCCUGUCCAUAUUGUUCGCCACCACUUCCUUGGAUUGGCGAAGCAGGACGAUGCUCUUCUUGAGGCGCUCCCUCUUCGUCCCAGUGCUCGGCGACGGCGCGAGCAUCUUCUCCACCACGGCGAGCUUGUUAGCCAGGAGCUCGUUGCCGAGCUCCUCCUCCAGGUCUUUCUCCACCAGCAGCUUGACGCUGAGCAAUACGUGCAGCGCCAGGCCAUCAACGAGCCUCAGCACGAUGCUCUUCCAGUACGCGGUGAGCCGCGCCCUCAGGUCGAACGCCUUCCCUGCCAAGUCAGCAUGCACCCUCAGAUGGGACACGUCCACCUCGCCAAAGCCUUCCAGGAUGAUCUUGGUGGGCUUCGACCUGCAGGGCCGGUCCUGAAGGUCCGUGACGAAAGUAAAACUCGGGGCCCUUUAAUAUAAAUAUUAUAACAAAUAUAUAUGAAAUGUAUAUGAAAUGUAUCUGAAAGUAAUACUCGUAUCAAAUUAUUUAUACAUGCUAUCUAAAAGUUUUUUCUAACAUUCCUCGAUGCAAAAUCACUUAUGAUAGAGUUGAUGCCAAUCUCAUCCAACAAUUUCUUCUCGAUGCAUAACGUUGCCAAACCAUUUAACCUCUUUUGAGUCAUUAUUGAUCUCAAAUAGUUCUUCAAUAACUUUAGCUUUGAAAAGUUUCUUUCAGCCGAUGCGACAGUCACAGGCAAAGUAAAUAAGAGUCGGUAAGCAAUGGAGACAUUAGAAUAAUAAUUCAUAUUUCUGACAUGCUCAAAAAUCUCCAUAGCAGACAUUACGCCAUCUGGCAAAGUAAAUUUCAUAAUCUUUAAUUUAAAAAUAAGAUCAUAUACCUCAACAUAAGAUGAACCAUCAAAAGAAAAAAAAAUUUAUAAAUUUAGUGCAACAUUCUUCAAGUUCAUUAUCAUUUAAUGACUUCAAAGUGCUUGAGCUCAAUAAAAGUAUGAAGAUAUCUUUAAACACCAUGACUUCUUCAAAUCUGUUCUUCACAGAAGUGAUCGCCAUAUCAAUCAAAAUAAAAAUUAACUUCAAAAGGCUUCUCAGCUUCAAGAAUUUCUUCUUGGCAAUUACUUUCAUCAAACUAUUUCUUCCUCGUAGCAUGACGUUUUUCUGAAAAUGAUGCCUCUACACCCAUUUCUGUGGCAAUACCUUUGGCGAUGAUCAAACUAGAAGAAAACCCCUUAUUUCUGUAAUUCUCAAAGUAUUGCGUUACACCUUGUAUUUGCUUCAAACUAGAGUCAAUGCACAUGGCUGACGAUUGCAACUUUUUGCUCACUUUAUUUAUAGCAAAUAAAAUAGUAUGCCAGAUAACCGUACCAAGUAGAAACUCAAAGCUGUCAAGUGCAUCAAAUAAAUUUUUUGCAUAACUUUUAUCCUUAGGUUCAAUGUCAUAAGCAUGAUGUAACUCAAACAAAGCAAAUCUUAAUUCAGUAGCUUGAUAUCUUAUUACUGUAAUAAUUUUGAUUCGACUCUCCCAAUAAGUAUUGGAUAAUGGUUUCACAGUUAAACUAGGAACAUGUUUAAACAAAACAUUCCACCUUUUCGUAGAACUAGCAAAUAAUACAUAUAUACGUUGAACAAUUCUAAAAAAUGAAACAGUUUUCCCACUAUAUUUUGCCAUAUCACAAAGAGUAAGAUUUAGACUAUAGCACGCACAUGGCAUAUACAAUGCUCUUUGAUUGAUAUCAAUUAACCGUUUUUGUACCCCUUGGUGUUUUCCUUUCAUAUUAGAACCAUUGUCAUAGCCUUGAGCCCUUAUGUCACUAAUAUUUAGGUCAAAGGACUCCAUAGAUUCAAGCAAUACAUUAAAAAGCUCCAAACCAGAUGUAUCAUCCACCUUCAAGAACCCCAAAAAGUACUUCUCAAUUUUUAUCUUACUAUCAGACAAAUUAACACAUCGAACUAAUAAAGUCAUUUAUUCUUGAUGACUGACAUCAGGGUACAAUCUAGGAUAAUGGAGAAAUACUUAGCUCUUUUAACAACCUUUAUGAUAGAACUUGUAAUAUCAGAAGCCAAAAGAGAUAUCAACUUAUUCUAAAUUUUAUAACUGAGAUAAUGAUAAUGAAUUUCUUUGUUCUGAAUACGUCCUUUGUUCUAAAUACAUCUAAGGUGGUCUUACAUUACCAAGUCAAAUUCUGCAAUCCUCUCAGCACAAGCUAAGAAAUUACUAUUAUUAUUAUCAUUAUAAAGUUGAUCACUGCUUCCUCUAAAAGCCAAAUUGCGUUUAAUAAAAUUUCAUAAUGGCUAUUAUUCUUAACAAAAUAUGCCUCAACCGUUCUUUCUCCUUUGUAAUUUGCUACUGCAAUUUUUUGUCAAUUAUUUCCUUUUUCCACAGUCUAGCUCUCAAUUCAUUCCAACUGCUUUUUCCACAGUCUAGCUCUCAAUUCAUUCCAACUAUUCGUGUUACUAAUAUGCUCGACACUAUUUUCAUGUUCUCUAAGAUUCUCAUUGAUAUGCCUCCAAUUUUUAAACCCAUCACCUGCUAAGGAACUAGGACUCUUGCUAAUGCUAGACUUGAAGAUCUUACAUCAGAAAUAAAAAACUUUGUCAACAUGCUUCGAAUAAACUAACCAUUUUCUAUCAUGUACCUCUCCAUUGCUUAAUUUUCUACAAUAAUGAGCAUAUGAAAAAUAUCUUGAAGCAGCAUCUAGAGGAAAUUUGAUAUUUUCUUCUCUUGUAGGCCCUUUCUCGACUAAUAUGUCUCUUCCUUUAUUAUCAACAUUAUCCUAAUUUCUUGGAUUAUAAAUAUCUAAAGUGUAAACUGGUUGCUCAUCAACACUAGCAAAUUGUGCAUGUGCACCUGAUGCAUUUACUGUAUUCUUAGAGUCACUUACAUUGUUAUCAUCGACGUUGAUGUUAACAUUUUUUUCCUGAUUCCCAUUAAUUGGUUCAUCCACAACAACUAUUGCCAACCCAUCUGGGUUCAUCAAAGCACCCGUAUUACUAUCAGAGCCCUGAUUACUCUUGCAAAAUUUAUCCAUAGCUCCGCUCUGUGAUUCUAUCAACUCAUCCACACGUUUUUUCUUUUCCUUUUCUCGUUACCUGAUUCAUAUUUUCUAGAUAACAUGAUAUCCCACAAUACUAAAAUUAUUAUAAAUAUACAAUAGUUAUAAAUCAGUUAAGAUUAAAUAACUUGUGAUAGUGAAUUAAUAAUUAAUGGUAUGGAGAACUGGAGAAUUAGCAAUCGAAUCAACUGAUCACAUAAGCGAAUUGACGAUCUCCUAUCUGAUCUCCACCCAUCCGUCGUUCCGCGUGACCUGUCGUUCAUACCCAGAGGUUAUUCGCCAUAUGAGGAGAGUCCAGAAUCCUUGCUGAGUAGUGAGUACUACCUACGCAAGCGCCAACCGCAAGCAACAAGCUGAGAACCAGUGGGCGGCAGCAGCCCUAGCCCCUGAGCGGCGGUUGAGUACAAAGUACCAGGCUCGAGCGAAGGAAAGGAUCAGAAAUUGGAUCUAAUCGUGAUUAGAUGAUCGAGUCUAUUGAUCACCUCAAUCGCGUCGUCUACUCGUCUGUCGAGCUGCCGCAUGCGUAAAUAAUUACGGCUCACCGAGUCACCGACCUUGAGCCAUGUUGCCAUGCUGCAUGCGACUUGCGCAGCAGGGCAAUAAUUACGGCUCACCAGCCUUGGGCCAUGCUGCAUGCGACUUGCGCAGUAGGGCAAUAAUUACGGCUCACCAGCCUUGGGCUAUGCUGCAUGCGACCUGCGUAGCAAGACAAUAAGCACACCUAGGGUGGAGCCCCUGGGAUUUAGGGCCUGGGACAGCCGCAACCCCCCCCCAGGCCGGCCCUGUUGACCUGUCCUCCACAGCCUCCAUGAACUUCUCAAACCCUUCCAUUAUCUCUUACCAUGCUUUCAUCUUCCAUUAUCUCUUACCAUGCUUUCAUGUAGUUGGGGUUGGCGGUGUAGUCCCCCACCAGCUCCAUCGCUAUGAGCUCCUUGACGUGCUGCGCCGAGCGCACCCGCACCUUGUCCAUCAGGCUCUGCACGGCGCGGCGGCACGAUGACUGCAUCUGCGGGAAGUUGUCGGAGCGCUUGAGCAGUUCAUCACAAGGUCCUUGACGUACUCCCAGACGCCGUUGACAAGGUCUUGAGGAACCUGAUCGAUCGUCUCGACCUUCUUCUUGAGCAGGACCAGGAACGCUGAUCGGGGUAGGAAGUUGGGGAGGUUGAUGCCCUUCGCAUCCGCUCAGCAUCUCGGCGAUGCGCGUCGUGCCAUGGAACUCCCGUUCAUAAAGAUACUCGUCGAACUUGCCUCUCACCAGCACCUUCUCUAGUAAAUUGCAGACCUGCUUCACGUUGUGGAAGAACACCCUGACGGCAUCAGCGAUGUUGUUCUGAUCCUGCGGCAUCUGGUUCAGCUCGGCGAUGCUGCGGCUGAGGCAGUCGUUGAUCUGCUUGACGAUGUCGGGGAGGCACUUGGCGAUGAUGCUGGCUUGUGUCUGCAUAAGCCUCUGCGCAAGGACUGGGAUGCCGACCAUGGACUUGUCGAUCUUGGAGAGCAAGGGGUGGUACUUGAAGAGCCGCUCCUCCUUGACACGGGCCUGGUCGUACGUCUCAUCGCCGAUGCGGUUGCAGACGCAGACGUAGCCGAGGCCGAUGUUCACGUCGUCCAUGGUGACCUUCUCGAGCAGGCCCUCGGGGGCCUUGUCGACCUUGGUGACGACGGCGAGCGUGCGCUCCCCGGUGCGGUCCACCUGCUGCGACAUGCGGAUGGACUCGCACGUUGGGAAAUCCACCGUGGCCGACAGUACGUUCAGGAUGAUGCUCUCCUUGGGGGCUAUGUACUCCAUAAUGAUCUUGGCGACAAGGUUGUAGAUGUCCUCCGGUUGGCCCUACACGGAGACGCGCGUGAUGCCGGGAAGGUCGAAGAGUGUGAGGUCCGGGACGCCCCGCUUCCGCACGACGAGGGUGAUGGGCGCGUCAGAGAUGCCCUUACCGCUCCCGACGAUCUCCACUGUGGCGGCGUUGAUGGCGUCCGCGACCUUGGCCUCAAUGGUGGCCACCACGCGGCCGCUGCCGUACUCGAGCUGGAGCUUGGGGGAGUCCGCGAAGGGGUCGUCCUGGAGCCGCAUGACGAGCGGGACACGGGUGCAGAUGCCCUAGCCGCGGGGGAGGCUGAUGCCGGCCAGGGACUCGAGCACGCUGGACUUGCCGCUGGACUGGUCGCCGACGACGACGAUGGUGGGCAGCUGGAUGCCUUCCUGCGUCACCUUGAGGUGGCGCAGCCGGUCCACCGCGUCGAGGAGCGGGCGGAUCUGGUCGUCAUACGAGGCCGCGAUGGCGCUCGCCGUCACGGCGCUGUCCACCGUGGCGCUCUUGGUGUCGGCGGCAGCGUUCGCCUGCUUGGCACCCAUCUGAAGCUUCUUGGACAUGUUGGAAGGAGAGGUGGCGGUGGAGUGUGGCUACUACUACAAGUUCGUGGCGCGAGUGUGAGAGGCUUUGGCCGGCUUCUUAUAUGAGCAGCGAGGCUAGGGAGUGUUUCCACCGGAAGGCGAAGGGGCGCGCUCCCCAGCUCAGGAGGCGAGUGCGCAUGGGAAAUCGUAGCAGCGCUGCCUGCGGGAGUAGUAGGCCAGGAGGCCGUCGUUCCGGCUUCCGACGCAGGAGCAGGACAGCCGUGCGCCCGUGCAGCGCAUUUUCCAAUGCAGCAUUUAUGAUCGGUAGCCGUUGCAAUCGAUCCUUGAGCUGCUGGUGGUACUGUUGCGAUUUAGAGCAGACUCCGCUCCUAAAAAAAUAGCUCCGUUUACGGCUCCUCCACUUCCUCCAGUGAAGUAGUUUCUGGGAUGGAACUGGAAUCGGUUUAAAAAAUAUUUGGCAAAAUGACUUCUCCUAUUUUUACAUGAUUAGAUGAAGAGGUCAAAUGUUCAUCGUACCCCCUCACCAUCUUAUUGUGAUUUUCAUCAAUUUAUAGUGUGAUUUGUGGUGAAACCAAAAUGAUUAAUUAAUACAACUAUAUAUUAACAUACCCGAAAAAAUAAUUAUAUAGUUACUAACAAUUUUCCUUUUUCUAUUUAAUUCCCUUUUCUGUUUUCUCUUUUUUUUCUUUCUCUCUUUUUAUUUUUUCUCUUUUUCCUAUCUUUUUAUUUAUGAUCGUUCUCUGUUUUACCUUAUCCGAUCCCAUCUGUUUCCUCCGCCGCACAGCUUGUUCCUCCGUCUCUUUCCUCCCCCGCGCGCUUUGCUCCGACCCCGCUGCUUCACUGAGCCCCGCCCCGCGCCGGGCCACUACCACGCCGCAUCUCCGCUCCGCCAGGCUGCUCACCGACGCCCUACGCCCACGUGCUCCGUCAACGGCGCUGCUGCUUCACCGAGUUGGCGGCGGCGGCAGCCCCGACCCCGCCUCCACGCCUCGGCGGUGCUGCCCCUGGACCUCAGCGCCGCCCACGUCCCCUCGGUUCCACGACGCUGCUGGUCAGCGCGCCACCAUCCGCAGCCGCUGGCGAGCGCGCCCUCGCCGCUCCACGAGAUGCUGAGGACACACCAUCGACAUUUAACGGGUGUGACGUCAGGAGGAGCCGAAGAAGCCACUUCGUUCUCACAGUGGAAGCCGUUUUGGGCUUCUUCUCCGGCUUCAGCAGUGAAGCUCCUUUCCAAGGGAGUCCUGCCAAAGGGAGCCUUAUUAUUUCGGACAGGUAAUGCUUUUGGAUGGACGGCCCAUCCAAAAAGGCCCGUAGCUACUGGGCUCAUGGGAUGGACCGUGUAGCUCUCGAAUUGAUUUUAGCCCAGGUAAAAAGUUCGGUGGGCAAAGUUCAGCAAGAUUAGACUAUGUAGGCCCUCCAGAGCCCAGAUGCCAGAUGUCAAAUUAUUGCGUCAAUCGUUUCAUAACUAGUGCCUGG